Molecule: long non-coding RNA, 99300 nt
Filed under: Linum usitatissimum (flax)
Lineage: Eukaryota; Viridiplantae; Streptophyta; Magnoliopsida; Malpighiales; Linaceae
Description: long non-coding RNA (LUSI_LNC006886)
Source: RNAcentral
AAUAGCUAACUCUGGGGUUGGAACUUCAAUCCAAUGCCUAUAAAUAGCCACUACUUCUCCUUCCACCAAUCUCCAAACCCAAGCAACUCUAUAAACAGUAACAACAUAUACAUGGCUAGUUACAAGCUCCGAGGAGCAUUCUUCUUUCUUUUUGUGGGUUUGGGGAUCGCCUCAGCUGCUAGAGCCCUUUUCACGUUUGAUGAGGGGAUAGUCGGUCAUGUUUCCGGUUCGGGAUAUGGUGCUGGUCAUGGUGGUGGAAGUGGGGGUGGUUAUGGAAAUGUUGCCGGGUUAAUAGGAGGAGGAGGUGGUGGUGGUUCUGGAGGUGGAGGUGACGGUGGAGGUGCUGCUGGUGAGAGGAGGAGGUGACCAUGGUGCUGGUGCUGGUGCUGGGUAUGGAAGUGGUGGUGGUGAGGGUGCUGGCGGCGCUUAUGCUGGAGGUGGUGCACAUGCUGGGGGAGGCGGCGGAGGAAGUGGAGGUGGCGGUGGAGGAGGUGCUGGUGGUGGUGCUGGAGGACAUGAAGGUGGAUAUGGAGGUGGUGAAGGUGGGGGUCAAGGAGGCGGAGCUGGAGGAGCUGCUGGGGGCUAUGGUGGGGGGGGUGGACAAGGGGGGGGCGGGGGGGGAGGGANNNNNNNNNNNNNNNNNNNNNNNNNNNNNNNNNNNNNNNNNNNNNNNNNNNNNNNNNNNNNNNNNNNNNNNNNNNNNNNNNNNNNNNNNNNNNNNNNNNNNNNNNNNNNNNNNNNNNNNNNNNNNNNNNAGUGGUUGGGGGGAGGCGGCGGGGGUAGGGAGACAGGGGGCGGAGGAGGAGGCGGUGGCGGUUAUUAAUCAUAAAGGGAUAUGUACGUACCAUCUCGAUAAAAAAAAUCAGAUGGUUGAUUAAAAUGUGCGAUGUGAGAGGACAAUGACGUCGUAAAAUCUUAAUUUAUAUGUAUGCCAAAAUAAGAUUAUGAAUAUAAAGCAAGAAAAUGAUUAAUGAUCACAUAAAUAGGGGAAAAUAUAUUAUAAAUAUUUGGAUUAAUACAUAAAUUUAGUCAAACAUAUUAAAAUAUAAUUAAAACUAUUCUAACUUAUUAAUAAUCCGAGAUUAAUUAGCCAAAUGUACCUUUUUUGGGUAAAAAGAUGGAAUUAAUUAGCCAAAUAUACUACUCCAUUUGAAAGAAGAUGAUGAGCUCCAAGGUUUGUGUUUACCCUUCUCUGCCUUGGUUUCCUCCUCUCCAGUACUACUACUGCGAUGUCAGUAGAUGAGACAAAAAACAUGGGUACAUGUAGAUUACAUUGGGUUAGGUUUAGGGAGGAUUUGGGUUAGUAUGAAGCUGAAUUGCAUUUAUUUUUUUUGUCAAGCUUACACUCCAUAUGAUUUCCUAUGGAAAAACAAACAUUUAUAGAUGGAGGUGAUUAUUGGUAUAAAAUGUCAAUUUUUGUGUAUAUUUUGAUAGUUGAUUUAUUGGUCGACUAAUUUAAUUGAGAAUAAUUUUUGAAUUAAAAUUUUAUUUAUCUUCUAACAGUUAUUACAAAUUAAAAAGUAAAUAAUUCCAUUAAUCAUUAUGUUUUUACAUGCCUUUUGGCAAAUUGAAGGGGGGAACUCUCAUUUCCAUUUGUCCUCUUUUUUAGCCAUCAUCAAACUACAAGAUCUCUGCCCCUCUCUGUAUAAUCUUUUUAUUUUUCUCCAUUAUUCUGCACAAUUUCCAAUUGAUGAUCUUGUUUUCCACCUUCAUUCGUUACAAUAUUCUCUUCAAUAUCUCCCGAUAUUUCCUCACUUAUUUCCAUCAUCUUAGAACAAUAUAUACCUGGGUUUUUUUUAUGUUGGGUUCAUUAAAUAUCUGAUGGGAUAUCCCUGAAUCAGGUAAAGAUGCAACCUUUUGCCCUUUUUGUAUUCUGGGUUUUGUUCUAAAUGUCAUUUUAAUGAUUGGGUUCUCUGUGGAAGAGGGGUUAAUAUACACAUCCAUCAAACAAAUUUUGCAUGAUUGUGGUGGCUUAGAGGAAGGUUUCAUUUGGGCCAAGAAAUUUGGUUCAUGAUUCCUCUGAGCAGAGCAAGACUAUUUAAAUUUCUGGGGAUCAAGAAAGUUUGGGUGGGUGUUAUGGGCUGCAUUUGCUCCAAAGGAGGCCAGCAAGCGAAUGGUAGUUUCAAUGUAGGGAGUAGCGAUGGCAAAACCAGCAAAGGGAAGAGCAAAAAAUCUUCCAGACGGUUAGUUUCGAAAAGAGACCAAGAUACCGAGACCGACGAGGAGUAUGAGAACGUUUGCUCCAUUAUUAACCAACAAGGUAAUGAUGUCGACCAUGAUGUCGGGUCGUCCUCUCCGUUGGCAGUCCACGAUCAUCACCACGAGGUCGACAGGAAGAGCAAAUCCAAGAUGUCGGGCGUAGGGAUUCGAAGCAAGGCGGUUGGCGAGAAAGGAGCUCAAGUUGUCGCCGGUUGGCCUUCUUGGCUCACUGCUGUUGCUGGUGAAGCCAUCAAUGGUUGGAUCCCUCGAAGGCUCGACUCCUUUGAAAAGCUAGAAAAGGUUGGUUUUACGAGUAAAGUUUUUUUUGUCACACUCUCACUGUUCACGCAUAAUGUUACAUUUUCACGUAAAUUUGUUUUUAUUUUCAUGCACAUAACAUAUUUUUCUAUUAACAAUUGUUACCUUUCUCUAUCUUACUUGCUAAUCAAAUUUAUAAGCUGCAUGAAAAUAGCUUAUGUGUGUGAAAAAUAGUGAAUCUGCGUGAAUAGGUAGCAUUUGUGCAUGAAUGGUGAGACAUAUAUUCUUCUUAAUGGUAAAAAUAUCCGGAUUGGGUGACUCCAAAUUGCAAUUCUUUAACUUAAUCUCGAAACUUGUUUUUUUUCCAGAUUGGACAAGGAACAUAUAGUAGCGUUUACAAAUCGAAAGAUCUCGAGUCGAAGAAAAUAGUCGCACUAAAGAAAGUUCGUUUUGCCAACAUGGAUCCAGAGAGUGUCAAGUUCAUGGCAAGAGAGAUAAUCAUAUUACGUAGACUAGACCAUCAGAAUGUUAUGAAGCUUGAAGGCAUCAUCACUUCAAGAAUGUCCGGUAGCUUGUACCUCGUUUUCGAGUACAUGGACCACGAUCUCUCUGGUCUCUUAUCAAGUGCAGGGUCUCAAUUCACCGAACCUCAGGUGUUCGUUUUAUUUGAAGUCGCAUUUCUCAAAAUCGAAUCAGUUACAUUGGUUCAACAUCAACUAAAUUUCAACAUGUGUGACAUGAUGAGCAGAUUAAAUGCUACAUGAAGCAGCUACUCCAGGGACUAGAACAUUGCCACAGCCGCGGAAUCAUGCACCGCGACAUGAAAGGAUCGAAUCUUCUGAUCGACUCCAACGGCAUACUCAAGAUUGCUGACUUCGGUCUUGCAACCUUCUGUAAGCCUAGUGACGACCAGCCUUUAACGAGCCGGGUCGUCACUUUAUGGUACAGACCUCCCGAGCUUUUGCUCGGAUCAACGGAGUACGGCGUGGAAGUCGAUUUAUGGAGUUCUGGUUGCAUCCUGGCUGAAUUGUUCAAUGGAAAGCCUAUCAUGCCUGGAAGAACAGAGGUGGAGCAGAUUCAUAAAAUCUUCAAACUUUGUGGAUCGCCAUCAGAUGGGUACUGGAAGAAGUCAAAAUUGUCUCAUAACACAGUCUUCAAACCACAACAGCCGUACAAACGACGUGUCGUUGAAACGUUCAAGGACAUGAUUCCCUCGUCGGCUAUGUCACUUCUUGAAGUGCUUCUUGCCGUAGAGCCUGAAGAUCGUGGGUCAGCAACUUCAGCACUUACUAGCGAGGUAACUGAACAUCGAAUCCUAGCUAAUUGGUACUUCAACUUAUACAUUGUAACUAUUUGAUCAUUUUUAUCUCUCUUUUUGAUCAGUUCUUCACCACAGAGCCUCUUCCAUGUGACCCGUCUAGCCUGCCAACUUACCCUCCCAGCAAGGAGUUUGAUGUCAAGUUCCGCGAAGACGAAGCUAAAAGGUAAAACCUCACCGUUACCAUUUGGUAUAAUACAUGUCUUGUUGCGUAUAUUUCAGUUUACAAGCGGAAUAUGAUCAAAACAUAUAAUAAGCUAAAUUUUAAUAGAAAAUUUGUGUAUCGAACAACGAAUUGACAAAUAUACUUUUGGUUGCUAACGUUAGAAAAAGCAGAGCAGGAGGCAAAGGCAGGGGAAGGGAAUCAGAAAGGAUCACAUUCACCAAAGGAACAAGACUUGUCGCAGCUCCUAACCCCAACGUGGUAUUUUUCUCCAUUCCUACACAUAAAAUUAGCUCCUCUAAUGUUAUUGAGAGCCUUUUCUAUCAAAUUAAUUCGAUAGCCAAUUCAAUGAUCCAAAAUUAUUUUUAUUAAUUUUAAUUUGACAAUUGAAAUUUUAUUAGGAAUACAAUGGAAAUUUAAAGAAUAUUUUUUCUCUUUCAACUUUUCUUUUUAUCUCUUCUUUUUAUUUUUCUCACGUAAAUUGGAUAUCAUAAUGACAUAACAAUGAUGUAAAUAUGAAGUCAACAUAAUGAGUCUAUUCAAAUGACAUAAUAAAAACGCAUAACAGACUAGUAAAGUGUAUAUAUCACCGACAUAAAAGAGUGUUAAACUGGACAUAACGAUGAUAAAUUCAACUAAUCAUAAGGUGGACGUAACAACGACAUAACGAGCCUGUAAAAUAGUUGUUUUAACGACAUAACAUGCUCGUACAAUGACCACUCAUGUGAUUUUUUUCAACUUUUUUUUGUUUCGAAACUACUUCUUCAAAUCAAUUCGUUUGACUCAUUUUCAUCUGUUGGAUGAAAAUUGCCCCAAAAGCCUCCUGGUCCAAGGGCCCACGAUCUGUCGGAUCAGAGCUCUCGGAUUAAUAGGCGCGUUGCUAGUCUUGCUUCUUUUUAUUGAUGUUCAUAACUUAUAACUUGUUACAGAAGAGAUCAAAAGCACAGGGGACCAAGGAUAGAUCAAUCAUGAACAACGAAAGGCAGAGCAAUAAAGAUGACGACGGCGAAGCUUCCAAUAAGGCCUCAACAUCAACAAAUGCAACUUCUACUUCUUCAAAGCAAACACCCAAGUCUCCGCCGUCAAAAUCUGCAGCGCAAGCGGCUCAACUGUCGAGAUUUACGAACUCAGUGGUCAUUAGAGACAACAGCUCACACUAUGAUUAUGGCGGCGGUAACUCCGACCACUGGCAGAAAGUUCGUGAUCACGCCCCUACUGGCAUGGAUGCCACCAGGGUAAGUUAGUGAAAAUCACACGUUAGAAUGACAAGGAGCUUAUAGUUAACUUCCAAUUUUUGUGUGAUGAUUAAAGGCGUUUUACGGGAAGAAAGGAAGGAUGCAUCAUUCGGGGCCAUUGAUGACGGCGGGAGGGAACAUUGACGAGAUGUUGAAAGAGCACGAACGGAGAAUUCAACACGCCGUGAGGAAAGCAAGGUCGGGGAAGAAUAAGAACUUCCAAGCUGAUGGCGGAGGUGAACAAGAUGGAUCUCAGUUAUAUCGAGUGGAAAAAUGACGAGGGAACUUAUUUUGGUCGAUCGUAAUUGAAGAGAGAUUUGUAAGAAUGUAUAUUCUUUGGAAAUUAGUGUUAUUUAAUUUGUAUGGAUUAGCAUGUACAUAAUGCUCAAAUAGCUUGAACUGAUAUGGUUGUCCGCGCGAUGCCGUGAAGAUUUAAAUUGAUAAUGAUUUAGACAUUGCAUGUUCGUUGUUCAAAAGUUAAUUGUAAAUGAGAAAGAUGAUAUAAGAUUAUAUUGAUUAGGUACUAAUAGAUUUAUUAUUAAUAAUAUAUAAAAUAUUUACAGGACAAAAUGUAUGAUAAUUAAUAUGUGCAAAAUUUACAUGACAAACGGAUUCGAGCAUGCGAUGAAUCGGUACUUAGGUACUUCUCGUUGACUUAUUCUUAGACCGAUGACUCGGUACUUAUAUCGAGUUUGGAAACAGCAAAAUCGAACAAGAAAAGGUUGGAGAACGGAGCAAAAAAGUAACGGCGGCAGGGAAUAAUGAAUAAUCCGGUUCUAGGGUUUAUGUUAACCCUGCAACCAAUCACCGGGAAACUUGGCUGGAAAAAUAAAUUGAAAAGAGGAAAAGCGAAUAAAAGGAGAGUCGCCGUAAACGCCGCCAAGGCAUGGCCACGUAGGAGCAGAGUGAAAUCCGAAGCUGGUGUCCGCCUUCCAAACCUAGAGGCUCGGAGCUUAGUACAGCUGGAGACAGGCUGUCAACAACGAAGACCCACUCACCUAUUCCCCCUAACUACGUUCCCUCUGUCUUUCUUCUUCCUCCCUUAUUUUUCCUUUGCCAUUCUCUCUCCUCUCCCCGUUGUUCUCCUGUCUUUCUCUCCCUUUUCUGUUUGCCUCCUCUUCUCCCGUCUCUUCGUAUUCGACCUAGGGUUUCGCUGAUCUCCUCCGGCGAUUCGCCGAUCCUCCAUUGACGGUUGCCGGAUCAACAUUCUCUGCUUCGUAAGCUUUCGAUUCGUUCUACUUUUUGCCUGUUUUCGUUCUUGUUUUCUCCGUUUGUUUCUAUCGAUUUUUUUAUUCAUCCUUUUCCGCUCGGUGUGGAGCUUUUGCAUGUUUGUUUGGAUUUUGUAAUUUUUUUAUUUGAUAUCUCCUUUCUGCUGCUUUUUCAUUCAACAUUCGCUGUAGAAUUUUUCUGUGUUAGUUGAUAAUGCCGUUCAUGUGUUGCUCUUUUGGUUUUUAUCUGUCUGCCUCUCGUUCUCACUCUUGGAUUUUGGCGAUUUUCCCCUUACUACAAGUUAUGUAUGUUCUUUGAACUCUGUACAAUUGUUUUGGAAUUGGGGAUGUUAGGGUUUUGUUAUUAAUGUUGGCUGAAUGCUUGAGGUUAUGGUUAACAGUCCAGGGCCAAUGGGGGUUAGGAGAAGUAGGAGAGUUCCUGGAAACGGUUAUACUUAUUUGCUCAUUGGCUACUUAUUGCCCACUCAUGUGUUGGUCAUACGAAGGGAGUUAAUGAAUUUUGUGCUGCGAAAAAGUAUGAUAUCUGAUUGGGCCUUGAUGUGCGUCAGAUCUUUUCAGCAUAUAUCUUUGCUGUAUGCUUGUGGACAAGAAUCAAUAGCUGAAUUCUGACUACACGUAUAUUGGUUUUGUUACUCAUAUAGCUUGGGGCAUUUGUGUUGAAAUUGGAUGGAUUGUCUGUGGUUAAUGUUUUGCUGUUAUUACCUGCGAUGUCCUGCUUAGUUAGUUAGUUGGCUCUGGUUAGUUUACUGAAUGGUUGCAUGUUCUGCUGUGCAGGUGUUUAGGUGGCUAAUUUACAAUUUCAGAUUUUGGAACGUUUUGUAAUCUGGGAUAGAUUGGUAAAGUUGAAGGUGAAUGACUUUACUUCUGUGGAUCUUGAGCUCUCCACAAGGGAUAGUUGCACCUGGUUUUAUAAGCAAAAUAUAAUCCUGGGAAGAAAGCGACUACCCAGCUUGAGGACUUUUUUUAUCCAUGCUGGCUGAGAGCAUGCGUGGAAUUUGUGUUUCGGGUAAUGCCCCUGACGAGAAGUACUGCCGAUGGGCUCGGUGUGGUUUAAAACUUUUUGUUGGGUUCCUCUGUUCUAUCUUGCUCUUAUUGGGGUUCUUGGACUUGUGUGCAUUGUCUACUCAAUUUACUUCCGAUCUCGCGUUCGUAAUCAGGGCUUCACCCAGCUCAGUUAUUUCAGCGGUCCUUGGAUCAUUCGAAUCACCUUCAUUAUAUUUGUCAUCUGGUGGGGUGCUGGUGAAAUUGUCCGGUUAAGUUUCUUGAGACGUGAGGGUAGGGUGCUGAAUGCACUCGACUUAAAAUGGCAGGAGAAUGUCUGCAAAGUCUACAUCAUUUCGAAUCUCGGGUUUGCCGAACCAUGUUUAUUCCUCACGCUUGUGUUUCUCCUGCGUGCGUUUCGAAUCUCGGGUUUGCCGAGCCAUGUUUAUUCCUCACGCUUGUGUUUCUCCUGCGUGCUCCCUUGCAGAGGAUGGACUCUGGGAUUUUAACUCAGAGAUGGAAUUGGAAAACAGCAGGAUACAUUCUUCUCUUUUGCCUACCAGUGUUCAUUCUUCAGCUCUUUAUUAUUCUAAUUGGUCCAGAGCUACACAAGGAAGAUAGUACCUUGAUGAAGAGCUUGCCCCACUAUUUUACCAAGGCAGCUACAACGCAGAGUAGCGCUGUUAUUGCACUCUGUACUUACCCUUUAUUGAAUACAAUCCUCCUUGGGAUUUUUGCCACCGUGCUUACAUUCUACCUGUUCUGGCUUGGAAGGCGCAUCUUGAAGUUGGUUAUCAACAAGGGGUUGCAGAAGAGACUAUAUAUACUAAUAUUCUCAGUUUCAAGCUUCCUUCCUUUGAGGAUUAUUUUACUGGGGUUAUUUUACUGGGAUUAUCAGUUUUAACAGAACCAGAGAAACCACUCUAUGAAGUGCUGGCUUUUACAGCAUUUCUUGCCCUUCUAUGUUGCGCCGGAAUCUCUAUUUGCAUGCUGGUUUACCUCCCCGUUACAGAUUCAUUGGCCUUGGGGUGUGUAAGAGAUUUGGAGGCGAGGAGGAGGAUUAGUGAAGAGCACAAUGAAAAUGUCUCCCUUAUUGCUGCUAACCAGAGCUACCCGGAGGAAGAAAGCAGUCGAAUUAGCCCUGACAGGACAUCUGAUGAAUCAACGAAGCGUGGAUCUAUAUCAUUCCGUGCUUACGGAAAGGAUGGGACAUCGACUGGAGCAUUUGUCGAGCUAAGCCUAUUUUCUCCUAGUCGAGAUGCGACUCCACCGGGGUCACCCCCACUUCUUGGUUGGCCAAUGCGACCUUGUGAACAAGCUCUUCAUGGUCAUGGACCUUAGUGAAUAUCCGAUUUUGUGGUUAAAAUAUAAUGGUUGAGGGGAAGAGUGGAAGAAGAAAGAGACUGAUUGUAAAGGGGGGGUGGGGUUGGGUUAGUUUCCAAUAAGGAUUUUUGAUUCCUGGUUUGCUUUCUAAUUCUUAGAUAUGAUGGGUUUGCCUCUCAGGUUUAAUGAAUUAUUUUUGUGAUCUCCAUUUCAUCCCUUGGUGUCUUACACAUAUUCAUUCCUGCAAUUUGCAUCUGUUAACGAUGAUGCUCUGAAUCGAUAUCAUUUCCUGAUGUUAUCCAAGUUGCAAGCAAAUGAUUGUUGGCGUUGGACCAAUUUGAUUAUUGUUAUCCAAGUCAAGGUUCAAAAAGGCGAAAGGUGCUAGGCGGGCGUUGUGGUACCGUCUAACUCGAUUAAUCGUUUUUAGGCGCGACUAGGCGAUUUCUAUGGUUGAUCACACGUUCAAAACGCCCGGAUCGACACCUAAGCCCAAUGUGCGGCGUUUUCUUAAACCUUGAUCCAUGUUAAGCUGUAACCUGAAAGGAAUGAGUUAGGUGUCGUUGGUGGGGGGUAUAGCUGUAAGGAGUUGGAGAUUUCCUCCUGGCUUGGAAGUAUUGGUUGUAAGUGUAAGGCUUAGCUGUAACUUUGUAGAUGAAUGUUGUAGUACAGCUGUUUAAUGCGCAUUUCGAGUUGGUAAGAAUCUAUUGUUUAAUCAGUUCGUUCAUCCCCUCACUCCUUCUGGCUUUUGGGUUGACAGACUUGCAGCACUAUUCUUCCCCCCCUCCACGUCGGGGGAAGCAGGUUUCAACUGCUUUUAGUUACGUCUUUUGUUCUGUGUAUCAUCUCCCUCAUACUCUCCAGCUGGCCUGUUACUUCAUAGUUAAGUCGAAAUACUCAAGACCCACAUCUUUUAGACCCGAAAAGUGACCUUUUUGCUGUAUAUUGUAUUCUCCAUCUUAUCCAGAAGAUUAUAGUUAAGUAGAAAUGCUCGACUCAGAUCUUUUAGGUCCAGAAAGUCCCUAGUCAAACGACCCCUAGUAAGUGAAAAAAGAGGAGUUGCCUUCCCCAUUAUCACUUGGAUUAUUAGAGGGGCUGACGACCCCUACUUUUCUUUUAUCGGUUAGUCUACUUUUGCUUGGCCGGCUAUCCUGAAACUGGGCCUGGGUCCAGUGGGCUCAUAAUCUGCGAACUAAGUGCAUGCAAUCAUGGGCUUGCAGGAUCCGAUCCACGGUCAAAAAUCAACCCACGGAUUUAAGGAAGAAGCUAGGAAAAGAACUAGUGGUUCUCCUAUUUCCACGCCAUUAAAAUUUAGAAAAAUGCGCCUGGAAAUUUCUAAAUGUAAUUACAGUAAACAAGCGAGGGCAAUAUUGGCAAAUACAGAAGAAAGGUCCUAAAAAAGAGGCGCCGCCACCGCCUGACGAAACGGCGUAGUUCUUUCCUAUUGUUAAAUUUAGCUUACAUCUCAGGCCCCCCUCCUUCAAAAAUCAUACCUUGAACAAACCCAAGCGUACAUCUCCCUCUCUUCGUCUCCGAUAAUCCGAGCUUUCGUUCACUGUAAUGGCGACCUUCAACGAAGCUCCUCCCGGUAAUCCCGACGCCGGAGCUAAGAUCUUCAAGACCAAGUGCGCCCAGUGCCAUACCGUCGACAAAGGCGCUGGUCACAAACAAGGUAUAACGGGAUUGUCUCUGGCUCUUGAUUUCGCUCUAUGGAUCUCUUCUGGAUCCGAUCUAUUUGAUGCCUGGGCCUCGUUCUUGUGAGAUGUUUUCUGUAACUCGAUUUGCUCUGAUCUGUUUGAUAUCUUUCGGGAUGGAUGUGUGUCUAGUGGAUUUUUUUUUUCAAUUGCAACGGAAAUUGUUCACUUUAUUAGAUCUGUGGGUGAGAUUUGAAUCCAGGAUUUGUGUUGGAUCUUUUUCUUGAUUGUUUCACAGGCGCUUUAUCGUUGUCUUGUUCAGAUUAAAAUGAUCUUUGGCUCCCUGAUAUUGGUUUUUUAGUAUUUGAUUGGCGGGUUUUUCUCAACUUGCAGGUCCUAAUUUGAAUGGACUUUUCGGAAGGCAGUCUGGAACUACCCCAGGCUACUCAUACUCUGCUGCCAAUAAGAAUAUGGCUGUGAACUGGGCAGAGAACACAUUGUACGACUACUUGCUUAACCCCAAGAAGGUAUGUCAUCAGGGCCCUAAGUUCUCGCAGUAAGAUCUUUCAUGUAUGACGUUGAUAACUUGUUACUGAUCCUUUUUACCAUCUUCCUCAUGUUGUGAUUUCGUUGUAAUCCUGUCGUUGAAUUCACUCUUUGCAUGGAAAUGAUCCUUCACUAUACAUAUGAUUGAAGUUACUGCGAUCGUAUGAAGCCUUCCACAAUUUAAUGACUAAAUGACUAAUGAUUCUACCAUUUUGUUAUACUGGAAAUUAUAAAACUUUAGUAGCUUGGUGGAUUGUGUUGUGUUGGUUGUCUUUGUUUAAUUACCUACUGGAUUUAUGGGGUUUGUGGAGUUUCUUUGUUUGCAAUGAGUACGAUCAGGGUCUCGAUUGUGAAAAGUAGAUACAUUUACUGAAGGGAUGAUCCCCGUUUGUGCAAGUAGCUAGAUGUUACUUGUACAUAUACCAACAUGUGCAACGAUGUCGUGUUUUCUCGCAGUAUAUCCCUGGAACUAAGAUGGUGUUCCCUGGACUGAAGAAGCCACAGGAGCGUGCAGACCUUAUUGCGUAUCUGAAGCAAUCCACUGCCUGAUCAUAUUGAUUUUGACACAGAUUCGUGUUGCCAUUAAAUGGUAUCUGUCCCAAAUUGGACAUGGUUUUUCUUUUUUCAAUCUUCUGAAAUUGAAGCAGUAGGCAUUCCUUAAAAUAAAGAACGCCGUUUUGGAUUUGAAAGUUCCCUAUACUAUAUUCAGUUAGGGAAGGUAUAUUGGUUGAGCUUGCGACUCAGUCAUGAGUUUUCUCUGUGAGGCCGUUUGCUGGACCUCUAAAUUGAUUUCCAGAAUAGCCAUAUAUAUAUAUACUAUUGGAUUUUUCUUGUUUCUCUUGUGUUUUCAGUUAAUAUCUCUUAACGUUCUAUUUAAAAACCGUGCUCGGUCGCUUGGAUUAGCUGAAAUGCAAGCUGAAUGUAUGUUAAUUUUCUGUUGAUAAACCUUGAGAUGAACUGAGACGAUUAUUGGGGAUGGAAAAUGCCUGCUAUUUGUCCGCAUGGUUUGUUUCGAGGAUGACGAAAUAAGAUGGAAGGGCGGACAGUUGUGUCGGUUUCGGUAUAUAACAAAUGAGAUGAAGGAUGGGCAGUUGCGUCAGUAACGUGAAUUGUGGUAUUUUGUCUGAGGCGUAUCAAAUUGUAUCGUUGCUGCACAAAUUCUGAUGUGGUGGGAAGUCCCAAGACAAGUCUGGUAAGGUUGCUGUUUGUCUCACUGUUAAGUGCAAAGUCCAAUUACCAGGAUUAGCCAGUUGGGUUCAGAGUUUUGUAAUCUGUUCCAUCUGCAAUUGUUCUGGUUGCAACGUAUCGAUUUGGUGAACCCUUUCAGAUAGCUUGCUGAGUUGAAGAGCUUUGAAGGUUCUAGUCGGCAGCAGUUGCGUUCAAGAGUUUUGUAAUCUAUUUUGACGAGCAGGAUAACUACGGCGAUUCUACGAGGAACAAACUGAUAAGUUAAAUCCAUUUGAUCGUUGGAUAACAAAUGAAAUAAUCAUAUAGUUACUGCUUGUGUACUGUACCAAAAGAACACGAGAGAGUAUCUGGUGAUAUAAAUAUAGAAGAGAAGUGAUGGAAGCAGGGGACUAGCAACAAUCUGGUUAUCUGCCAUGCCAUGGAAAAGAAACAUUACUCAAAUAUGAUACCAAAAGGACUCUUCACACUGUACCCAUCAGCCACCCAAAACAGGCUCCCUUGAACAAACCUCGCACUCGUCCCCUUCUUCGCCAUGAAUGUCACCGAAUAUUUCGCCUUCUCAUUCAACUUACUGAAAGCAAUCUCACUAGGCUUAACUUCAAUCCCCACUGCUUCUUCUGGUGCAUACACCUCCACUUUGUAAACUGAGUUCGCCUUCCCAACAUUAGUGACCGUUCUCGUGUACGUCACUGGCUGAGAACCCAACUGUACCACGAAAGACGGGUAGUUCAGCUCAGCUUCGGAUAUCGAUUCAUCAGAAAAGCAUUUGACCUUCUGCUGCACAAUGGUGGACACCUGAGCAUUGUUGUAACCCAAACCACAUAGGUAAGGAACAUAGUCUUCCGGCUGGAUGUCAUAAACCAGUCCGGGAUUGCUGGCUCCAGUCGGAUUUAUAUGACCGGAUCCCAUAUCGAACAUGUCGGCUAGAAGAUGCUGCUCAUCCGAAAUCGGCUGCCCACCGGUUUGAGUCAAAUGUGCUGUCGUCAUCAUGGCUGAUUUUACUGCAGCUGGUGACCAAUCCGGAUGAGCACUUCUGAGCAAAGCUGCAAUGCCGCUUAGAUGAGGGCAUGCCAUUGAUGUUCCUGAUAUCAUAUUGAAGUUCGAACCAUUGUUGUUGUUGGCUAACUCGUCCAGAGGAGUUGGCCAAGCAGCUAAUGUGCUUACACCAGGUCCAAUGAUGUCGGGUUUCAUGAUCCCGGGGCUCGAUUGGCUAGGACCCCUCGAUGAAAAGGAAGCAACUUGGGGAGCAUUUUGCUUGCGAAUCACGGUUCCUUUGAACGCAAUUUUUGCAACCGGCGAUGAUGUGGAGUUGAUGUAACCCUUGAUGGAAUUCCCUGCUUCAUAGCUGACGUGUGAUGCUGGUAGCUCAUGAGCAUCAGCUAAUGUUGUGAAACCAUAAUCUUUGUUAUUAACCAGGAUCAUUGCAGCUCCACCGUUUGCUUUCACUUCGAUUCCUUUAUCAAGUCUUUUGAUUUGGCCUCCGAUUUCACAGACGACUAUUUUGCCCUUGACAUAAAGAUGGCUUAAUGAUCCAGGUGCACAGAACACAGCUGAUGAGUUAUCAGCUGAGCCUGCAUAAACAAGUGGCAACAUUUUUUCGGAAUCGAAAUCCUUCGGCUGGAAAAGGGUUUGACCAUCAAACUCUUUUUUGUUGCCAAGAUAAACAGUUGAUAUCAUCUGUCUAUCAACAGUGCUAGCUCCAACGGUCAGAAUCCAUGGGGCUUCAUUAGACAGAGUUCCGGUACCCGGACCAUUGUUCCCUGCAGCACAGCUGACAAAAACUCCCUUCUUGAUCGCACCGAACGCUCCGAUCGCGAUUCCAUCGUCGAAAAAUGGAGCCGAGUCCCCACCGAGUGAGAGUGAUAGAACAUCAACACCGUCCCCAACUGCAGCAUCAAUUGCUGCCAAUAUUGCACUAUCAGGACAACCUUGUGGGCCACACACUUUGUAUAUGGCCAAGUGAGCCAUGGGUGCCAUUCCAACAGCUGUUCCGGAACCUUGCCCUAAAGCAUUGGCAUUUAACACAGCACUGCCAGCUACCGUGCUGGCAGUGUGAGUCCCGUGGCCUUCCUCAUCGGCCACGGAAUCGCUGCUCGAAACGAGGUUUCGAGCACCGAUAAGCUUGUUGUUGCAAGCUCCUUCCUUUAGCUCGCAUUUCCCUUUCCAUUUCGCGGGGGGAGGAGGCAUGCCUUUGUCACUAAAUGAAGGAUGGUUCGGUGUUACUCCAGUAUCAAGAACACCAACAAUGACUCCUUUCACAUAGUUUGAAGUGUUCCAUAACCCUGAGUUCUGAUUUAGCCCCAAGAAUUUUGGAGUGUAAGUAGUCUGAAGAGACAGGAUUCUCUCAGGACGCGCUGACACGAACCCUUGCUUCGAUUUCAUCGUCUCGAGCUCUUCCCUGGUGAGUUUCGCAGCGAAUCCUGUGGCCACUUGGUGGUAAGAGUGUACCAUCCGUGAAUCGUCAGAGCUUAGUUCAGUAACUGGCAGGAACUGCUGGUAGUACCUGUCUAGAUCCUCCGAUUCGAAUGAUUCUAUGCCAAGAGGUUUCUCCACAAAUACCAGAUAUGUAUUCAGUGCAUUUGUUCCAGGAACUACUUCUUCUGUCUGGGAGAAACAGAACAUAGAAGAAGCAACAAGUAGAAACAUAAUAUGGCCCAACAUCUUGCACUUCUUGUUCUCUUUGCCGAUGAAGAGAACAAGAGAUGCUGGGUGGGAUGGAGUGGAGAUGUUCAUGUGAUGCAAAAUAUAUAGAGUUAUGUUUUGUUUAAGGAAAUGAGAUCAUGAGAUAAUUAACCAAAGGAAUGUAUAUUUGAGAGUGGUACUGGUAGGGCUAUUCUUCAAGUUGAUAAUUGAUGGACAAAUUUGAUGAUGAUGGGGCACUGUUUACAACUGGUGUUCGGUUACAAAACAAAUUAAGGGACAAAGAUGUAUGGGAAGAGUUUUGUUGAGUGCAGAGAUCAUUUGAUUCUGUUUGUUGUCUUUUGUCUGGGUUUGUCAGGACACUUGAACUUGGAAAAGCUAACAGUACUGCAAUUGCUUUUCUAUGGAUAUAUUGAAAUAUCCAAUUUUUUGUCAUGGGGAUAUGAAUAGUUAGAGUUUCGAACUUUCGAGUUUGGCUCAGGAUAAUUUUAAGUUCGAUUCAAUGUUUGGUCGUGUCGGAGCUAGAGGGAGAGGAAGAGUUCCGACUAUCUUAUUUCUUUGUUUCGAGUACUAAAUUAUAUGUAAAGUACAGAUGAUUUUGUAAUCCGGUUUAUGAUAUUUGAAAUUCUGCUUCUGUCCACUUAUUUUUUCAAACUAAACAAAAUUAAACUUAUAACCAAUCUAUAGUUGUUAAAAAAAAUUUACAUAGAAAAAAAACUCGNNNNNNNNNNNNNNNNNNNNNNNNNNNNNNNNNNNNNNNNNNNNNNNNNNNNNNNNNNNNUAAUAUCUUUUGUUUUAACCUCUAGCUUUAUUCCUCCUUGCCUUGUUUGGAGUAUAACUACAUAACAAGAAAUUUGAACACAUACUUUCUAAUAGUCGAAUAUGAAUAUUCAAAUUUAGUCCGAAUUUUUAAAUUUAGCCCAAACUAGUUUCAAUUCCAAAUAUGUCUUUUAACGAAAUUUUAUUAAAUUUUUCGUCGAAAUUAGUGGAGAUUAAGACUGCUAAAAUAACGUAUCAGCUGACAUGUCAAAUAUAACCAUGUCAUCAUCCCUAAAUUAAAUAAAAAUGAUAAUUAAGAAAAUUAAUAAAUAACAAAAUAAUAAUAAAACGUGUUAGGUUUGAUUUUUAAUUUUAUUUUGUUGGGAAUAAUUAAAUUUUGUUUUAUAAUUAAAAUGCUGACGUGGAGGCUGAUAUGACAUUUAUUUGGCCGGUCAACUGAAUGCCAAAUGCCAUGUCAGCUCCGCCUGUCUCGUCACUAACGGUGUUAAAAAUUUUGACUGAAAAUUUAUUCAAUAGGCUAGAAUUAUCGGAAGACCGAAACUAUUGGUUAGAUAACGAUCAUCAAAAUAAUUCGAACUAGAUUUGGAAAUCCUCUCAAAGUUUAGGUUAGAUUUGGGUAUUCGGUUCUUUUUAAUUUACAUGUGUGUCAUGUCACAUGUAAAAAACGUUGAAUUUUACGUUAAUUAUUUGUGAGAGUUGGCUAGACUUUUUAUCAGGUAUAUGUGUUCAAAUCAUUUAUCAGCAAGAUUUAGCGGACCCAUUCAGAGAAUCAAACCGAGUAAGCCUAAUUGAAACAGCACAUAAUCGAACAACGGAUCAAAUCCAAAUCGAAAAGGAAACAACGCAUAUACACACACAAAACUCACAAUAGUGCUAAAGGACACAGAGAUACGAUCGUAUACGACACAGGUCCUGUUCAAAUAAGGUCGUAACGAUGAUAACUACUGCUUCUUGAAAACCUUGAUCCCUCUCCAACGAGACUCCAUGUAGUUAGACGCGUCAUCCUGAGUGUAAACUCCAAACUUGAAAUAAUGGGACCUGCCGCCGUGGCCAGGUCCCUGAUAGACGAGACUACCGUCCACAUAAAUCUUCAGCUUUCCUGCAUCAGCAUCGUGGAUCACAUUCAACCGAAACCACCUAUUGUAGAUGUCCGAAAGGAUGGGAGCACGGUACGCCGAGAGUUCCCCUCGAUAAACUCGAACCAUCAUCGUAGUUGCACGACCACUCGCUCCAAACACUUGCAUCACACACACCCCUGAUGUCCCGCUUGGCACGAACCCAUGGCCUUCGAAUUGCCACACUCCUGACGAAUAGUCAUUCCCCUGCAGCCAUUGAGAAUGCUUUAGAAUGGUCUUUUGAAUAAUUCAGAAAUUAAAUAAUAUUGGCCUGAUCAUGGGGCAAUAGGGUAAUGUAUAUCGGGUUAGACCCGUUAUGGUUACGGAUUAAUCGAAACAUUUUAUGUAUAUAAGGAAUGUUGGUCUCCUCUGUAAUUAAGUCAUCUCUCACCGAAACCUUUAAUAAGAUUCUCAUCUUCUCUCCGUGGAGUAGCCGACCUCAAGGUCGGAAAUCACAUUAAUCGUCUAUGUUGUUCUUCUAUUAUUCCUUCAAUAUUCUAGUGUUAUUCUCUUUUUAUCAUGUUAAGAACCGUUGCAUCCCAAUAACUCGAUUGGUAUUUAUAUUAUUUACUAACAUGCCCCUUCAAACGGAAGCUCUCAAAAAAGUUGAGGUUUGCACAUCUUCGAUAAAUCAUGUGCAGAGAUUGGGGGCUAUAUAUCGGAAUUCGAAACGGAGACCUCUCGGUCAUGUAAAGCUCUGAUACCAUGUCAAGAAUCGUUGCAUCCCAAUAACUCGAAUUGUUGAGAAGAAAUUCUGAUUGGUAUUUAUAUUAUUCACUAACACAAUAUGCUCUACGGCACAUGGUCUAAAAAUUUUCGUGGCCUCGAAUUUUUCGAAUUUACAGUAUUCGGUUUAACAAAUCUUAAUAGAAUUGAGGACAAUUAACCAAAUAUAAUAUCGGCUUACGUACAGUAAUACGGAUUUCAGUGCGAGGUCUGGUGUUGCUACCCUUGAAGUGUGGUUUGUCAGUGGAGUAAACCCAGAGCUUGUGGACGUCGUCUUGGUAGCUGUAACGUUGGUCCUUCUGCAGAUCGUACGGCCACUGGACCUCAAAGUUCGAAUCACUCAGCGGAACAGCAACGAACCCUUCGGUUGGAUCGACAGCACCAAAAGCUAGCCAGGGGAACAGCUGAACAAGGAUUACAAGACGGCACAACAACAAUACUCCUCCACCGGAAAUAGAAGCCAUAAUUAAUCAAUGAAAAGGAAGCAACUGUAGUAGUUUUAGAAUAGUGGAAACUCAACUCUGGCAAUUUAGGUGUGAAAGGUUUACUCUGAAUUUUGGUUCAUUAUAUAGAUAAGAGAUUCCAAAGGUGGCGGCAGCAAGGGAAUGUUUCGUUCUCUUGAAACCUACUUCGGACGUAUCUCGUUUCCUAUACAUUCUGUCUUUGUUAAGAGUCCGGGUAAGUAGCAAGGAGAUCGGUCUCCUUACGGGCAAUAAAGAGUAAUCCGAACUGUCCAUAUUGAAUGCCAGAUCUAGUAGACGAGAGGGCCAAUUUAAACCAGGGAUAAAUUUGUCUUUUCGUAAUUUUCGCACACAACUUAUACUCUUUGGUAAACGGACCACGGAUCGUCGUCAACAUGGUCGUACCCAUAGUAUCAGAGUCAACAUUCACUCCAUACCAUUAUCGAGAAAUGGCAGGAGAGCUAAGUGAUUGCAGAAGUAAGUACCAAGAUUUCAGAAUCAUCGACAUCUUCCGUAUGGAUGCUAACAUCGAGCCUCGAUUUUCCUUAAUCCUUAUACUUGAUCUUCGACGACGUCCGUCUCCUCAUUUUACAGUACACAAUCCCUCUCUGUUAAGCUUCACAAUCCUGGUUCGCUACACAUCCCUCUCUUCUUCUCCCAUCAUAUCAUCAAUAUUUACAAACACAUCAAUUAUAUUUUAAAAUUUUCAAUUCUUUUGGUGGACCAGAUUACCCCUCGUCGGUUAGAGGUACAUUGGAUUUUGAAUGUCUAAAUUAGACGGCUACGAUUUAUUUGCUGGAACUUUGCAGCCUAUUCGGGUUUCUUUUUUGUUAGUGAAGAACCGUAGUCUCAGUUGCUGAUAUUGAACCAGAACAAAUACAUAUAAAUUAGUGUUCUUUACGCAGUUAACUUUCGUUUUAAUUAACCAGUAAUGACAAGUUAAAAGUCUUAUUACUUUAUUAAACUAACUUUGAAUAUACAAGUAUGUCAAAGUUUUAGAUCAUGUGAAUACAAAUACGUCAAAGUUGUAGAUCAUGUAAAGAAUCGUUUCGUCACAAUAAUUCGAGUUGUUGGGAGAGGAUUUUGAUUGAUGUUUAUGUUAUUCGUUAACAAUCUCCAUCCCAUAAAUUGAUUAGCAAUUUUCAAUAAAGACUUUAUCACCAUAUCGACAACAUUAACAAUUAACUCAUUCAGCAAUUUCUUACCAUCUAAUUAAAAUGAACCAAUGAAAUAUCAUUAUCUAUUAUUUAUCUUCAAUUUAUUUUCAUUCAUAAAUACAUUUCUUAAAAAAUGAGUCAUCUUGUUUGUGUGGCAUUAGCAAUUGCUUAUUGGAUGCCAUUUAGAAUUAUGGUUAGCAUUGAGUUAAAAACUCUAUUUAUUAAUUAUUUUGCAGUUGGUAAUUAUUGAUCUAUAAUUAAUAGAGGGCAUGAUUAAUGAAAAAUAAUGAAAUAUUUUGCAGCAAUUAUAUAUGUUGCUGAAUUUUUAGUUAUAAUUAGACACGAGAUGUCGUUAAAUGUGUAUGAUGUUUGUUCUGGAAAAAAAAUAGUAACACAUUCGAAGACAGCAGUAACUAUGGUGAAAUAAUCUGACAACUUGGAUGCAUAGCUUUUGGACAUCAACAAAAUGAAACUACUGAUAGAGAUCAUAGUCCAACUCCGAAGUCAGAGAAGUCGAAAACUAUGGUGUAAAAUCAUACAAAUGUUAGCAAGUUCUUACACUUAUUGACUACUACAAAGGGAAACAAAAUGCAUAACUAACUUGAUGCAUUCUUAAAGUUAACAUACCACUCUGUUCCUGCGAUUUUCGUAAUCCGAACCCGGACUUUGAACUCGAGCAGAUCCGAAGUUUCCAAUCACUUUGGGACGACUGCAAUUGCACUGGUGACCGUAUACCGAGGAGCCGUCCAGAUCAAGUAUCCUUGAGAGUAAGGCUUUGCACCAUAUUUCCCAGCCUUUCUAGUGAACGUCACAGAAUAUGUUGCCUUCUGAUUCAGCCUGCUGAAAGCAAUCUUCUUGGGACUCACCUUAACAUCAACUCCUUCCGGCGCGAUCACCUUGGCAAUGUAGAUCGAGUUUGCCAGUCCGACAUUCGUCACGGUUCUCGAGUAAGUCAGAGGUGUGGAUCCCAGUUUGAUCGAGAAUGUAGGGUAGUUGAGCUGAGCUUCAGGAAUGCUCGAAUUCCCGCAACGCACUUUGCAGUUUACGAUCGUCGAAAUCUGGCUGUUCAAGUAAGCCAACCCACAUAGGUAAGGAAUGUAGUCAUUGGGGCUGAGGUCGUAAACCAGCCCCGGAUUAGCAGCUGCAUUCGGAUUGACAUGUCCUGCACCGACGGCGAACAAGUUCGCCUUUUUAAGCUGUUCGUCCAGUAUAGGCAAGUUGCCGAGAUUCGAGAGGUGGGCGGUGGUCAUCAUGGCUGAUUUGAUUGCGGCGGGGGACCAAUCAGGGUGAACACUCUUGAGCAGAGCAGCAAUGCCGCUCAAGUGAGGGCAAGACAUCGAAGUUCCAGAGAUCAUAUUGAACGGGAUGUUGUCGGUUAUAUUGUCCACCGAAACCGGCCAUGCAGCUAGGAUGUUGACUCCAGGACCAAUGAUGUCAGGUUUCAGGAUUCCUGGAGAUUCAAUGCUGGGGCCCCUGGAGGAGAAUGAAGCUACUUGCGGGGAAUUCGGGUUACCAAGUAUUGUCCCUUUGAAAAAGAUGGUAGCUUUCGGAUAUUUCGUCGAGUUAAUAUACGAUUUGAUUGCUUCACCGGCUAAAAAUCCGACGUGUGAUGCAGGGAGGACAUGGGGAUCUGCUAAUGUAUCAAACCCAUCAGCUUGAUCGUUCAUCAGAAUCAUUGCAACUCCACCUUUGUUUUUCACUUCCUGUCCCUUGGCAAUUCUGGCAAUAUUACCCCCUCUUUCACACAAGACGAUUUUGCCCCUGACGGAAUUGCUCAAUGUGUUGGGCCCACAGAAUUUUGCACCUCUUCUUUUCCUGUUUGUACCUGCAUACACAAAUUAUUAAUGAAUGAUAUAAAAUCGAGUUAUCACAUAAUAAUUUAAAUUAUUAAAAUAUAACGAUUUUCUAGUUUAAUUUAUACCUGCGUACAAAAGUGGCAGGAAUUGUUGGGAAUGAAAUUUCCUGUCCUGGAAUAGAGAUUGACCAUCAAAUCCUGCUUUGCUCCCAAGCAGAACUGUUGAUUUAAUCUUCCUAUCAAUCGUGCUGGCCCCGACGGUUAAAAUCCAUGGUGCCUCGUUGGACGCUGAUGAUUUUACCGGGCCAGCGUUUCCUGCCGAGCAGCUUACGAAAACACCCUUCUGUAUGGCUCCGAAUGCGCCAAGCGCAAUCGGAUCUUUGUAGAAGGGUUCUGUAUCACCCCCGAGCGAGAGAGAAAGCACAUCAACCCCGUCGGCUACCGCACUAUCCAUUGCUGCUAGUAUAGCAGCACCGGUACAACCGAGCUUCUCGUCGCAGACUCUGUACAUUGCAAUGUGGGCUAACGGUGCCAUCCCGACUGCUGUACCGUUCGCCUCACCGAAGGCGUUCGCCCACGGGAUCGCAUUUCCAGCUGCCGUGCUGGAAGUGUGCGUCCCGUGGCCAUCAUCAUCUGACGCAUCCGGAUUAUGCGAGACGAGAUUCCUAGCGCCGAUUAGCUUGUUGUUACAUUUGGCUCCUCGUGGUAGCUCACAUCUGCCUUUCCAUUUCGCAGGAGGAGGAGGCAUGUGGUCGUCUCUGAACGACGGGUGGUUGGGUGCUAUACCAGUGUCGAGAACUCCGAUAAUUACACCUUUACCCCCGCCGUUUUUCCAAGGGUUCCAUAACCCUUUGUUCUGUUGCAGCCCCAGGAACUCCGGAGUGCGAGUUGUGUGUAAAGAGUAAGUCUUGUCCAUGUGAACUGAGAGGAUCCCUUCCUUUUUUUCCAUUUCCUUCACUUCGUGUUCGGUCAGCCUGGCAGCAAAUCCUGUCGCGAUGUUGUGGUAGGAAUGGACCAUUAUGGUAGUGUCCUGAUCAUCAGUUAAGCUUGUUGUCAGAGUCUGAUGAUCUGGAAGGUAGGAAGUGUACCAUUUGUUCCAAGCUUCUUCAUCUUCUUGUUGAAAGGUGGAACUUUCUGGCUUCUCCAGGAACACAAUGUAAGUGUUCAACUGGCCGCGGUUGGAUAAUUCGGAGGAGAAGCAAGAUGGCAGUGAAGCAAGACUGAUCAGAAUUGCUAUAAUCAUCGUCACUGUCAUCUUGUUCUCCAUUUUCCUUUGGAUUGUGAUGUGCUGUUUGUUUGUGUGUUGCACUGGAUAUGAUGUUUGUAACGAACAUUAUAUAGUGGUGGAAGGUGUUUGUUAACUUCACUAAUCUGGAAAGUGGCCGGCAAUGCUGCGGUGCAUCCAAAGCUGAAGCCACCAGCCAAAAAUUUUGGACAUUUGUAAGGCGAUUGAACUUAAGUGUGAUGGGAAAACCAAGGGGCCGGGAGCGAGCAAGCAAGUUAGAUCAAUAUGAGCGAGUCCGAUUCUAGAGCGAACGACAUUGCUCCUUGGUGCCAAAAUUAAUAGUCAAAAUUAAUCAUGGGUAAUAUUGUUACGUUGUUUAUAAUAUUGUUAUGGUCCAACAAUAAUAUUAAAAAGUUUUCCGAUCAUUUUCCCAGCAAUUCCGACCUCUGUUGAUUAAUUUUGUUGCAGCCACAUGAUCAUCUUCGCUAGCUCUAGAUAUCUAGGGAAUAUUUUUUAUUUUUUAGAAUUUUUUCCUACGACCUGUCGUACAAUUUUAUACAGAGAGUUGUACGGAUCAUACAUUGUGUAUAAGUUUGUACAAAUCCAUACAGAAAUGUAUACACAUUUAUAUGGAUUUUGUACAAAGUAUUAUACUAAGUAUCGUACUAAGUAUCAUACUAAGUACUAUACUUAGUACAAGACUUUAUAUACACAUUUGAUUUGUAUGACCGUGUGAUGUGCUGUAUUUUUUACACACUUGUUCACAUUAUAAAAUAUAUUUUUGUGUGUCGAAAUGUAUUCAAACUUAGGAUUUUGAGUAUAUGUUUGGUUUUCUUACUCCUCGAGGCCGUAUUACAUUGUUUGGGAUGUUUUGAUGCAUUUCAGGCGAAUUACAGCGUAUAGGGACAAGUGGGAACUAAUAUGGACAAUUGAAGUUGCUUGGAGCGAAGAUUGGUUGGAAUUUAAGAGGAACACACCGUGUCCCAUAAGAACACACCGUAUCCUUUGGAACACGACCGUGUCUUUUGAUUUGCAUUCUUAGUUAAUAAUUAGUUAGGAAAACAUUCAUAUAGAUGAUCAUUCACUGUUACUUGGUCUAGUUAGUGUAAUCAAGUUGAGUAAUAGCAUUAGAAGACCCUAGGGAAAUACGAUUCCAUUAGUUCAUUCUAGUGGGUAUUUGAUUAGCGGUGUAAAAUCCGUUCUUCACUAUAAAAUGUCAAUUUUACCCCAUAUUUUCAGUCGUUAUAUUUAAGAUAUAAUAUUUGAACGAUUGAGAUUGUGCAAGCUUUCUAGAUUAGAUCCAGUUUCCAUUUCCCUAACUCCAAAUUCGGACUCGUCUACAGGUUAACAUUUUAUGGGUUGGAGUUUAGUUAAGCAUCAGCUAUAUGUUGUGUUUUUCGUAUUUUCUGAGUAGUAUCAGCCAAAUAUUUUCCAGAAAUAACAAGGGAGGUGUCCAGAAGUAAGCUCCACCAUUAUCAUAAUUAGAAUUAUUAACUAGACUUUCACUUAUAUGUUGUAGUAAAUAUCAACCACUCACAAGUUAGCUAGUAAUAAAAACAAAAUCAGUCUUGAUCAAAACUUAUUAUAUUGUUUACCUAAAGUCAUAUCUAAUUAUUCUAUUCAUUUUUUCUUUUUAAAAGUUUAAAAUUAAAGAAUUAUUGAUUCCUUGGUUGUGGAAGGAGUAUUUGUUGUUGGCAUCCAAAAAUCAAGCAAGGCAGGAAAAAUAUUGAAUUGGUGUGGAAUGAAGGAGGAAGGGAGGAGGUAUUUAUAGAUUCGUUGGAGUUAGCGGCGCACCCUCGGAUGUGUGGCGCGUUCUAGGGGCUCCAAUGGCUAUAUUGUAACGGUCAGGAAACGACCGUUACAAUAUAAAUGUUGGAGUAUCUCUAGAACGUGCCGCACGUCCUAGAGUGCGCCCAGUGUUUUAGGGGCUCAUAUUGAACAUUUUGUAUAAUUUAUGUUUCAUUUUAACCGUUUAUGUAAUUUUUUAUUUAAUCGUGCGUAAUUUUUUUACUUUAUUUAAUACUAAUUGUAACUGAAGUCAUAUCUAAUUAUUCUAUAUCAAGUAAUAUUCAGAUGGGGAAGAAACGUGCAUACACCUCCUAAUUCCUAUUUGUAUUUUUACUUAAGAUUUAAAUGAUUUAACAUUGUAUGCAUAAAUCUGUCAGAUGUAGAGUUUGCAUGGUUUCUUCAUCUUCUAUCAACUUGCUGGAUUUAUGAUAUAUUAAAAGAAAGAAAUAAAAAUUGCAUAUGAAAUAUUUGAAAUAAAAACUUAUAAGAAUAUCCCUAAUUUAUUUUCUUAUUAAUUGAUAUUCUCAUCUCAGCAAAAAUGAGCACAGAACUGAAUCUCGAUAGGAUAUGGAUUUAAUGAUUGAAAUUACCAGUUCUUCAUGUGAAAAGUAACACCUUGGUUAUACCUACUAUCUCUCUCUCUCUUUGCGACCCAUCCACCAUGGCAGCAUGGCCUACAUCACCGAUACCACCGCCAACUCAUUCUCCUCGGCUGCACUUGACGCCGCCGCCAACUCACCAUCCUCGCCUGUGCUCGUUGAUCGCUGUGUUCAAAAUCUCUCUGUAACGACAGCGAUGACGAGGAACUUUCGCUGAAGGAAGCACAGCCAAUCCUCCUUCGGAGGUUGUGAAGACUGGAUCAUCUCUGACAAUGUGCUCUCUUUUGAAGCCAGAUGGGCUAUCUCUUUGUUAGUUUUUGUGUCAAACUAUGUUUUCUGAAUUUCCUUUGGAUAUUCUUUUAUAUGCUAGUUUUUCUUGUCUUGAGCUGAUUUUUAUUUGGUUCUUUGAGUUUUACUGAAUGAGUUACGAUAUUGAAAAGAGGUACGUGCGAAAUCAAUUAAUUAAAAGGAUAAUUAUUUUUCUCGUUAUAAUUUAUUUGUAGGUUACACUUUUGAAGUUAUUAACCAUGCAGUGUUUUUUAUGAGAUAUAUAAAUAUAUGUUUAUAUGGCUACGGGAAAAGCAAUCAAAGGUUUAGCCUUUUGCAAAGUAAUCCCAAACUUAUCAUCCAUGUCCAAGCUCAAUGGGUCAACUCCAUCUUCGAGCUUCCAGUCAAAUCGAUGAACUAAUGAACCCACCAUCAUAUGCAACAUCCUCAUUGCCAGUGGCAAUCCAGGACAGAUCCUUCUUCCACCUCCGAAUGGUAUGAAUUCGAAGCUGUCCCCUCCGGCAUUAAUCUCCGAUCCCAUAAAUCUCUCCGGCAUAAAUGAGUCUGGGUUGUCCCAUAUGGCUGGAUCUCUGCCGAUAGCCCACGCAUUAACUAUAAUUUGUGCUCCUUUUGGCACAUUAAAUCCAGAAAUGACCACAUCCGAUCCUGCCUUUCUAGGAAACAGCAGAGGACCUGCUGGAUGCAACCUCAAAGUCUCUUUGAUUAUUGCUUGUAGAAAAGGUAACCUGGCAAUGUUGGAUUCAUGAAGAUGAUUGUCUUUUCCAAUGAUCUGGUCUAGUUCUGUCCUUGUUUUAGCAAAUGUGUUGGGAUUGCGAAGCAGUUCAACCAUUGACCAUUCUACUGUGGUUGCAAUGGUAUCAGUCCCAGCAACAAACAAAUCCUGAACAAUCAUAAACAGAAAUAAAUAAAAGUAUUACUCUCGAUUCGACGAUCAAACAUGCAAUGGACUCCAUUGUGAAGAAAGGUAUAUUACUCUUGAUCUGACAAUCAAAUAUGAAAGUUUUUCUUUUUUUGUCUACUUUCGCGUUUUGCCGCGGGAAACAAUAUAGUUCUAGUACGAAAAAUAUAAAAACAAAUUCAACCAAAUAAUAAAGAAAUGCAUAUACAAAAUCUAAAAAUAUAUAUGAGCAUUAAAAUUGAAUAUGGACAUGAUUGACUUGCUACUACAGUUCAUUAGUAAAUAUAAUUGUGAAAUGAGUGGUAUGACAUACUAUAAUUUGAAUUCAAUAAGUAAUAUUUUAAGAAAGUUGAAAUGUAACGAUUAACAAAAAUUUGGAAGUAUAAAUACUUGAUUUCUAAUGCAUAUUAUAUUUUUAUUAGAAACUAAUGUAUAUUUUAAAUUGGAGAGAAAAUGAAUUUAUAAAAUCUUUAUUUUAUAUUGAAGAGAAAAUAAAUGUUUAAAAUCACAGAAAAGUUAAAUUUAUAGAGUAAAUAUAAGUCUUACAUUUUUUGUUACACAUAAGUUUUACAUAGGAUUUGUUGGAGGGGAUCUUAUUUUAUUGUGCAAUAGUAACUCUCAUCCUACUAUUGCAUAAGAAAGUAGGAUUCCCUCCAAUAUUCCGUUAGUUUUUUUUAUUUAAAUAAAAUUUGGAUGGAAAAUUAACAAAAUAUUAUGUUUGUUAAAACCGUCAAAAUUUAAGAGGUUUGAUCAUUAAAAUUUAGUAAAGAAAUGGCAUGAUAAAUUAUAUAUAGAACAAAGGGUGUAAUUCUACAAUGAAGAUUUAGCGUACAUAUCACAUCAAUUGUGUUUAGCUUGAUUUGAACGUGAUUGUUAUGGUUAGCGUUAAAUAGCACAGUAUGAAACUGCAAGAAGCCAUGGAAAUAUAUGGACUCAAAGUAAGGGAGUGAAGAGUUCAAAUGAAAGCUCACCAACAAUAAGUGAUUGAUGAGAUCUAGAUCCAUUGAAGCUUCCCGACUCUCUUGAUCAACAAUGUCCAGCAGCGUAUCCAGCAUGUCAUUACUCGAUACAUACUCCUCCGACUUUCGCUUCUUCAAUCGCUCCUCGAUUAUUCUUCCGAACAGAUUCAUCACCUUCUCGGAAUGACUUCUCAUCCUCCUUUGUAUCCCCUGCAAAUCCAUUGCGCUGAGAAGAGGGAAAAAGUCUCCCAAAUUGGGCUUACCGGAUUCAGUCAUUAUACCCCUCGUGGCCUCUUCGAACUCCGCAGCAUCAAAACCACACCAUGAAGUAGUAGUACGGACCUCCUCCAUCAAAUCCAACGAAAGAACCGUCGUCGAAAUAGAGCCGAAAACUGCCCUGAAUGCCGCCCUUCCAAUAUCCACCGCCUUUCCCUCGUUGGCAUUUUGUCGAACAACUUUGAGAAACUCCAGAACCUUUUCCCACCGAAGGCCUUGGUUGGAAUCCAGCCUCUGGGAGGCGAAGAGAUGAGUGUUGCAGAUUUUCCUGAGGUUCCUCCACUUGGAUGACUCGAAAGGGAGCAACGGCAUGCCGAAUUCGUGGUGAUCGCUGGCGCAUAGUGCCUGUGUAAGCUGGCGGUUGCAGAGGAUAUGGUCGUGUUUUUGGAGAAUUUGUUUGGCUACAGCCCGAGAGGAAGCGACGAUUGUGGUUACUUGGCCAAGCUUGAGGCUCAUUAUGGGACCGUGAAUUUUGGCAAGUUGGGCUAGGGAUUUGUGUGGUUUGUCGUCCAGGUUGUGGAGGUUUCCUAUGAUCGGAAGGCGGGUAGGACCGGGCGGGAGAUUGGCCGUAGUUUGGUCGGAGAAGAAGCGGCGGAGGAUGGCCAAGGUUGUUAGGAGGCAGAACAAGCAGGUAAUGAUCUGUAACAAGUCCAUUUUAAUGUGUUCUAUUGGUUACAAUUUCAAUUUCUCAGCUUACACAGCUUUGAUAUAAAUACACAAGAAGAAUGAAAAUGAGCUUUUCUAUAUUUCCAGUUGCUAUAUUGCGGCUUGUUUGUUUGCGGCCGAUUGAAACAGAAUAUUUAUCGCUUCGAACUUUAGAGGGCAAAAAGCAUAUUGUGGGCUACUUAUAAUUUGAAAUACAUAUUUUUUUCAAUUUUUUUUAAAUAGUUAUAAUUUGAAAAAUAUAACUGGUUAUAAUUAUCACUAAUUAUUAACAAAUAACUAAUUAUAUUUAAUAAUCCUAACAAAUAACUAAUUAUAUUUAAUAAUCCUAAUUGAUUAUAGUUAUGACUAUUUAUUAACAUAUAACUAGUUAUAUUAUUAGUAAUCAUAACUAGUUAUAAUUUUUCACCGGAAUAGUAGAUGGUGACUUGCUGGAAAAGGCACCGUCGGCAACAGAAGGAUGUCGACUGAUGACCAGAGUCUCGCCGGAAAAUGGCUGGCUGGUGACCGAGGCCGGGUGACAAAGAACGAUGCUGAUGUGGCAGUGGUGUUUUUAUAANNNNNNNNNNNNNNNNNNNNNNNACAAAAACAAAAUUGUGACAAAACUUUACUAACUUCUUAUACAAAUCACUAAAUUAAUGAAAUUCGGAAAUUUAACGGUCCACGAUCCUUCUAAACAUCCUGAAACUACUAAAAUCUUGAAAGUUGAACAACUCCCACCUAUUACCAUUUCUUGCAUUGGCUUGUUUAAAUGACAGAGGUUGACAUACACACAAAGAAAGACAAUAUGCGAAGGAAAACAAACAAACAGGCUACUAACCAACGGAUAAGCUAAGAUUUAAGGAUCUAUUUGUUUGUUUGUGGUCGUUUGAAAGAGAAUAUUGCGGCUUCGGAUCAAAUUAAAUUAGGCCAAGUUCCGGCACAUUUUAAAAUCAGAAAUCAUCUCUAAUUUCAAUGAUUAAUUUUAAUCAUUAAUUUUUUAUUUAAAUAUGUUUAAGUGUGUACAUAAUUAAUUAAUAAUUAAUAUUCUCUUACUUUUUUCUAUCAAAAUGUGCCAUUAUUCAUGAAUCUCAUUAAUAAAGUUGACUUAGAUUUCUAUAGUUAAGUAUAUUUGUCACGUAUCGAAAGACAAUCCACCAUAGGUAAAGUUGUAUAGAGACAAUCGUUUUAUAGAGAAAUAGACCAAGUUUGGUGUUGUUAUCAGUAGUUUAGGUGUUGAUGGACCAAGUUAAUACUAAUUCCAAUUAUUUAUGCACUAUUUCCAAUUACUUGUGAUUUCCUUUAAUUCUUAAAGAGCACCUUAUCAUUUUGUAGAAUUUCUCGGUGUUCAUUACUGGUUAGCCUAGUUGAAGUGAUUUCAACCUUGAUUGGGAAAUUGAUAGUGAUAAUCCGUGCACAUGAUCGUGCUACAGAUUCAUACGAGUAAUAAGAGGAGUUUUAAUAUUCAAUUCAAGUCCAACAUUUUUUCAAUUCGAUUACUAUUAGGAAGUUCAGCUUGAUGAAUCAUCCCUUCCAAGAACUUGUUUUUUUCCUUCUGUUCAAACCUCAAUUGUUAGUUUUAAUUGAAUUAAUAGAAUCAUUAGAAACCCUGUCCAAAUUGUUAAGUCUAGACCAUGUUGAUAAGUUUGAGUAAAAGUAUAACGAGAGAAAUCUUUGGACACAUACGACACUUGUGUUGUCGAGAUAAUUGUCAAGUUAUUUUGGCGACCAAGAUGCCUCCGUGGCACUCUUUCGACCCGCGGACAACUUCAACGCAAAGGAAUGGAGGUUAGCGACACCUGCAGUCAGCUACCCUCGGAACCACCUUUGAACAACCUCAAAGUAACAAACCAUCGAUUAUCCGUAACCCCAAAGUGUUCAAUUAGACUACCCAACACUACAACAAAAUUUAACAUAUAUCGCAGGCGGCUGAUCGUAGAUACGUGCUCCCGCAACCACCAUCAAACUCUAACUCUCCAUCAGACUUCAUACUCCAUUACUACAAGUUAUCUAGGCGUGGGAAUAGCCAGCAAUGGUUUUGCUUUCUGCAAACUGAUCCCAAACUUCUCUUCCAUAUCCAAACUCUCCGGCUCGACUCCAUCCUCCAACUUCCAAUUAAACCAAUGAACUAAGGAACCUAACAUCAUAUGCAACAUCCUCAUUGCCAGUGGCAAUCCAGGACAGAUCCUUCUUCCACCGCCGAAUGGUAUCAACUCAAAACUAUUCCCUCUAACAUCAACCUCUGAUUCCAUGAACCUCUCGGGCAUGAACGACUUCGAAUCGCUCCAUAUGGUCGAAUCUCUACCAAUAGCCCAUGCAUUCACCAUAAUUUGUGCUCCCUUUGGCACGGUGAACCCGGACACUUCCACGUCGGCUCUUGCCUUGCGAGGAAGAAGGAGGGGAACCGAUGGGUGUAGCCUAAAUGUCUCCUUAAUUAUUGCUUGUAGAUAAGGUAACCGAAGGAUGUCAGAUUCUUGAAGAUGUUUGUCUUUUCCAAUAACUCGAUCGAGUUCUUCCCUUGCUUUAGCAAAUGUGUUUGGAUUGCGGAGCAACUCUGCCAUUGCCCAUUCCAACGUGCUUGAACUUGUAUCGGUACCGGCUACAAAUAGAACCUAUUAAUUUUAAAAAAGCUUAUUAAAUAAUUAAAAUGGUUAAGUGGAUAAUUGAUCCGUAAUGAUUACAUCACUAUUGACAACAACAAUAAAAAACAUUUAAAAAAUAUCUUUUUAUUUUCAUUUGACUAUUAUUCGAAGAGGUUAACAUAAUGAAAUCUCAAGUUUUAGUCAUUCUCAACAUGCAUAUUAAAUAUUAGCUAAUUUGAAAAAAUUUAGUUUUCAUGUCAAAAUUGGUCAAUUUACGUGUGUUAUACUAUGAAAAUUUGACCGUUUUCACAAGAAAAUUUCAAAAAUUUUAAAUUGGCUAAUAUUUGACAUGCAUGUUGAAAAUGAUUAAAAAUCAAGUUUCAUUAUGAACACCAAUAACCAAACCAUAAAAUCUAUUAACUUAAUAAUCGAUCUGUAAUGACAACCCUACAAAUCAUAUUUGCGAUGUUGUCGUCUAAAAUAGGGAUAAUACACAAAUAAGCCCUUUUACUAUUACAAAUUAACAUCUAAUUAAGCCCCCUUACUAUAUUUUGUUCAAACCAAAACCCUAUACUUUGCUCCGGUUAAUUUCAUGUCAUUGGAGUUCGGUUUUUAUGCAUAAAAAAUGGACUCCAAUGACGGGAAAUUAACUGGGGACUUUGUUGUUAGUCGGGGCAAAGAGUAGGGGCUUGAUUCGAAUGAAAUAUUUUAAGCGGGAUUAGAUGUUAACUUCUAAUAGUAGUGGCGAUUAUUUAGAUAUAAUCCCUAAAAAAAUACAAGGAUAGACGACAAAUAACAAUUAUUAAAAUAGAUAUGAAGAGAUCAGGUCAAAUAAAGAGAGCUCACCAAGAACAAGUGCUUGAUGAGAUCUAGAUCCAUGGAAGCCUCUGCAUUCUCUUGAUCAACAAUAUCCAGCAACGUAUCCAUCAUGUCAUUGCACGUUACAUACGCCUCGGACUUUCGAUUCUUCAACCGUUCGUCGAUUACCCUUCCGAACAAAUUCAACACCUUACCGAAAUGAGUCCUCAUUCGCCGAUGUAUCCCCUGCAAAUCCAACUUACCCAAUACAGGAAAAUAGUCUCCCAAGUUCGGCUUCCCAGCUUCAUCCAUUAUACUCCUCGCGACCUCCUUAAACUCCGUUGCAUCCUUCGACCUUUCGUCCGUUAGAUCCAAUGAAAGCACAGUCAUCGACAGAGAGCUAAAAGUCGUCCUGAACGCCACCUCCCCAAUAUCAACCGCUUUCCCCUUACAGGCAUUUUGUCGAACACCUUCCAAGAGCUCAUGAAUCCUCUUCUCCCUGGACUCCUGGUUCAAAUCCAACUUCUGGGUGGUGAAUAGGUACGUGUUGCAUACUUUCCGGAGGUUCCUCCACUUGGGUCCCACGGGGAGCCAAGGCAGGCCGUAUUCGUGGUGGGUGUGGGGGCGGGUGGCGUGGUUGGGGGCGCGGAUGGCCAAGAUGAGAUGGCGGUCGGAGAGGAUCUGGUCAUGCUUUUGGAGGAUUUGUUUGGCCAUCGGUGGAGAAGAAGCAACAAUUGUUGUGACUUGGCCGAGUUUCAGGCUCAUUAAGGGACCGUGAAUAGAGGCAAGAUGGGCUAAGGAUCGGUGAGGUUUGUCGCCUAGAUUGUGAAGGUUACCUAUGAUCGGAAGGCAGGGAGGGCCCGGCGGGAGAGUGACCGGAGUUUGGUUUGACUGGAACCGGAGAAGGAUUGCCAAGGUUGUGAGGAGGCAGAGUAAGCAGGUGAUCAUCAGUAGUAGCUCCAUUUUCUGAGGAUGGUUUUGAAUUGAUCGCCGAACAAACUUUGUUUAUAUAUUAAACACAAAAUUAUUAUAUUAAUACGUUACUGCCAUUUUCCGUGUUGACUAUAUUCACGUGGAUUUGAUGGAUUCUGCUGCUCAUGCAAGAUGAGUCUGCUGAUUAUUAUUUGGUUUUUUUUAUCAACGAAUCGAUUUUAUUAGAAAAAGGAGGAAGUAUAAGAAAGUAAAUCUCAAAUUUUGAAAUGAUUAUCUAUACAUGUUCCGAUCCAAAAAGAAUUAGUAAAUGCAGCUGAAAUCAAAGUUAAAAAAAGCCUAAAUAUCAAACUCACAUGUCAAUAGCGAGAAAUUUGUUGUUUUACUAUACAAUUUUAGCACAAAUAUCACAUUUUAUUUUUAUGUUGAUUAUUAAUUAUUCACGCGCAUAAUUUUAUAUUGUCUUUCUCGCUCUUAUUAGCCUAACAAAAUUAUCACGCAUUUUUAUGAGGUAACAUUGAUGAAACAAAAUACUUCUUCCUUCUCAAUAUCUUCGGCCAAGUGUCGCAACUCACUGUCGAGAAGCCGUAGCAAGUAUAUGAUGAGUAGUAACUGGUCCAGGUUUUUCAAACGUCUUUAUGUCUACGACAUAAUCUUUAAGCACAACUUAUUUUAUUUAACUAAUAACAACACAACGAAAAUGUAUUUUUCUGUACGUCAACUAAAUAUUACGCUUAAAAAAAUGUAUUCGUAAAUUAAUUAUUCAAUUUAUAAAUUUUAAUUCAAAUCCGGUUCAAUGUACAUUUCGAUUAUAAAUCCGUCAUGAUAUAGACUGAUACGAUGGGUAAAGUCGUCAUGUAGUGUUCUGCGUGCAUAACGGCCAAUAUAUCUUGUAAACAACGUAACAAAAAUUUCACCGUAACCAGAAGAAAUACCGACACACUUAAACAGGGGCGGAGCUAGUGCGUGGCACCCCUCCGGCCGCCGGGUGAAAUAUAAAUUUAUAACUACAUUUUACAAUCUUUAAUCCGUAAAAGUUAAACAACACGCAACUAGAGAAGUUGUAUGUUGCUUACCGGGUCAUUACCGGGUCAUUACAAGAUAGAAAGUAAUACAUAUUCGAAAAGUAGUAGAUAUAUAGCGAAAUUCAUACCCUUAUUUCCAUUUUCCAUAUAUAUAUGUGUAUUAUAUGAGUGCGGGGACAACAAGUAAAGGUUUAGCUUUCUUCAAAGUGACUCCAAACUCCUCUUCCAUAUCCAAACUCAUCGGAUCGACUCCAUUUUCGAGCUUCCAAUCAAACCAAUGAACUAAUGAACCCAGCAUCAGAUGCAACAUUCUCGUUGCCAAUGGCAAUCCAGGACAAAUCCUUCUUCCGCCUCCGAAUGGUAUCAGUUCGAAACCAUUCCCUCUAACAUCAAUCACCGAUUCCAUGAAUCUCUCUGGCACGAAUGAAUCCGGAUUUUCCCAUAUGGUUGGAUCUCUACCAAUAGCCCAUGCAUUCACUAGGAUUUGUGCUCCUUUAGGCACGGUGAAUCCGCAAAUUUCCACGUCAGUUCCUGCCUUUCUAGGAACUAGAAAGGGAACAGCCGGGUGCAACCUAAAUGUCUCUUUGAUUACUGCUUGUAAGAAAGGUAACCGUGCGAUAUCAGAUUCUUGAAGAUGAUUGCCUUUUCCAAUGACUUCGUUCAGUUCCUUCCUUACUUUAGCAAAUGCGUUGGGAUUGCGGAGCAGUUCAACCAUGGCCCAUUCUAACGUGCUUGAUGUUGUAUCAGUUCCAGCAACAAAUAAAUCCUGAUAAACGAGUACAAAACAGGUGAUGAAAGAAAACAUAUUACUAUUGGUUCGACAAUAAACAUGUCGAUCAUGUUUGGUUUUUGGUGUUUUUAGUUUGUUUAAAUGCAGGAAGCUAUGGAAUUGAUAUCAAGGUAGUAUGGAAGAGAUAAAAAGGCUCACCAAGAACAAGUGUUUGAUGACAUUUAUAUCCAUGGAAGCCUCAAGAUUUCCUUCAGCGAUGUCGAGGAGCGUAUCCAACAUGUCAUUAUCCGUUACAUACGCCUCUGAUUUUCGCUUCUUCAAUCUUUUCUCGAUUAACCUUUCGAAUAAAUUCAUUAUCUUCGUCGAAUGACUUUUCAUCCUCCUCUCUAUCCCCUGCAAAUCCAGAAACCCAAGAAUUGGGAAAAAAUCUCCCAAAUUGGGCUUACCGGCUUCAUCGAUUGAACCCCUCGUAGCUUCCUUGAAUUCCACAACGUCCCUCGAUCCCUCAUCUGCCGUCAAAUCCAACGACAUAACCAUCAUCGACAUAGCACUGAGACUCGCCCUGAACGCUGCUCCUCCAAUAUCCACCGCCUUUCUCUCUGAGGCAUUUUUUCGAACACCUUUGAGGAACUCCUGAAUUUUUUCUCUCCGGAGGUCCUGGUUGGAAUCCAACUUCUGGGCAGUGAAGAGAUAAGUGUUGCAUACUUUUCUGAGGUUCCUCCACUUAGGUCCCACAGGGAGCAACGACAUACCACACUCAUGGUGACCGUUGUUACAGAAGGCGCGGCUGAGCUGCCGGUAGGAUAGGACUUGAUCGUGCUUUUGGAGGAUUUCUUUGGCUACAGCAGGAGAGGAAGCGACGAUUGUAGUAAUUUGGCCGAGCUUGAGGCUCAUUAAGGGACCAUGAAUCUUGGCGAGAUGGGCUAGAGAUUGGUGGGGUUUUUCGCCCAGGUUGUGGAGGUUACCUAUGAUUGGAAGGCGGGAAGGGCCCGGUGGGAGAUUGGACGGAGUUUUGUCGGAGAGGAAGCGGAGGAGGAGGAUUGUUAAGGUGGAGAGGAGGCAGAGCAAGCAGGUGAUGAUGAAUAACAAAUCCAUUUUUGCUACUGGUACAAGUUUCAACUGUCAACCCUGCAACGUACACAAUCAGACAACUACUUUGUUAUAUAGAGAAGGGUGAAAAUGCUAUUGAUAUGAGAACUCUUUUUUUUAUCAAUCCAAUAAUCAAUUUAAUGAUUUAAAAUUAUUUUUGUUAAAUUUAAUCUGAUAAUUAAAAUUUUAUUAGGUAUAUUAUGAAAAUUUUAAACAAUUUUUUUUCUUUUCAACUUUUCUUUCUCUCUUCUUUUUCUCCUCCUCUCACAUAAACUAAAUAUAAUAAUGACAUAACAAUAACGUAACGUAGAUAUAACAAUUAACAUAUAAAGUCGAUAUAAUGAGCCUACUAAAAUGACAUAAUUAAAACGCAUAACAGACUAGUAAAAUGUAUAUAUCACCGACAUAAAAGAGUGGUAAAUUGGACAUAACGAUGAUGAAUUCAACUACUCCUAAGAUGGACGUAACAACGACAUAAUGUGCCUGUAAAAUGGCGACAUAACAAGCUCGUACAACGACCACACUCAUGUGACUUUCUAAUUUUUUUGUGUCGGCACUACCCUCAUUCAAGUCAAUUUAUUUGACUCGUUUUCAAUCGUUGGAUGAAAAUUGACCUAUAAAUUAUCUAAUUCAAUGACCUACGAUCUGUUGAAAUGAUCCAACAAAAAGGUUCCUGAAUCAAUAGCCGUCGAGAGAAAUUAACGAUAUUCAACAACGGAAAACGGAGAAAAGUAAAAGAAGAGGAAAACAUGGAGGGAAGAAAAGUAAAAGAAGAGGAAAACAUGGAGGGAAGAAAAGUAAAAGAUAAGGAAAAAAAGAUGAGGAAAAAUAGGAGAUUGGAGAAUAAACAUUUCGUUUGAUAGUGCCUAGCUUAUUCGCCUUAGCUUAAUUGGUAUCUUUGCAAGUUCAAAGUUAGAAGUAGAAGGGAAAUUUCGGUAUUAUGCAAAAUUUACAUCGACGGUUCUUUACUAAUUUUGUAAAUAAUUAUGUUAUGUAGACGGAUAAGUUUAUGUAGCGUGCAGAAUUAGUAUAUUAAACAUAAUUUGAUAGAAAAUUAAUAGAAGGAUUUGUUUGUUAAAAAAAUUUAGAGAGUUUAGUCGAUUAAAAUUUAACAGAUAGGUGUCGAUAUAAAUUUUCGGGCUUAAGACUUAAGCCAACUAUUUGCGCCCAGUUUCAAUCGGCAGCCCACCAUUUAAAAACAAGGAGAGCCCAACAGUAAUAACAAGCCUAUACUGAGAUGAGAAGAUGAUGACCGACCGCGAUCUUCCCUCCAACGGCACACCUGCAAAUUAAACAGAUAACUAGUAAAACAGAAAUGCUGAUUUGCAGCUGCAUCCUGUGGGAAUAUGAUCAUGAUUAUAUACUCAUGGUUGAACUGUUAGAGCUGAGCUAUAUAUGUAUUUGAUGGGAACCAAGAACUUAUACGUAAAGAUUUUGAUAAGUUCUAUGUACACAGCAAAAUACUUUUGUGCUAACCUUAUUUGGACUGCAACGAAGAAGCUCCUGUGGAUCACCUAAUUAAUGGUGGUUUUGACAAACACGAAAAUUAGUUGGUGCAGUCUCAUAAAUGCAGCCUUGAAUACGUUUCGAAGCUGGGGAAGCUGCUGGUUUUCGCACUAUAAUAACAAGUGAGGACAAACAGUUAUUACUAGUCUAUCUAUCUCUUCAUGCAGCUCAUCCGUUACUUCACUUUGAUUUUGCCUUCCUUCAUUCUUUUUGUUACCUCUCUCUGUUGGCCCCCCUCUGUUUUCUCUGUACAACAAUGGAGAACAAUCAUAGCAGUUAUCAAUCAGAGUCGUCGUCGCUGUCUCAAAGAAUCCCAACUUUCAAUAUUCCUCGUCUCUCCUCCGACUCCCCAACCAGUACUUAAAUUCUCUGUGUUUUCUUUUCCCUCUUCAUUUCUGGUUUUUGUUUUUCGUUCUGACUUGUGGCAGUUACUUAACCAGUUGGACUGGGACUAGGACUCAUGACUGGCAGUGGCAGCAAAGAUGAAGAUGAUCAUGAUCAUGAUAUUACGAAUCUGCAGUUGGGGAACUCGAGAUUGGGGGUAGUGUUCACAGUGUCGCAGAUUCAAGAGCUGCAGUUGCAGUGGAUGAUCUACAAGUAUAUAGAGGCAGGAUUAAGAGUUCCACAGAGUCUCCUUGUCCCUAUCUGGAAUAGCUUACAUUCAGCUGUACCUUUGAUCAACACCCCAACCUUGUCCCUAUCUUGUAAGCAAAACUAGCCAUUUCCAGCCCCACCCGAAUAACCGACUCAAUUCUGACCAGAUUUUUAUGAUGAUUUAUUAGUAGGGACGCAGUGGAGGGAGAUGAGCAGGUACAAAAAAGGGGUGGAAUUGGAUGACGAACCAGGAAGGUGCAGAAGAACUGAUGGCAAGAAAUGGAGGUGCAGCAAGGAAUCCCUCCCUGAUCAUAAGUACUGCCAGAAGCACAUGCACCGCGGCCGUCUCAACCGCAACCGUUCAAGAAAGCCUGUGGAAUAAUUCCAAUAAAAUCGGUGUCUUUUAUCUGUUGAUUCUAUACAAUUUGAACAACUUCAAUCCUGACUCAAAAGUCCAGCAGACUUUGAAUUUGACAACUUUUUCAAGGUUUGGCCCUUUUUUCUUACAUAUCAAAACAUAUACAAAGAGAUAAAAAAAUUAUAAGAGAACUGAGAUUGAAACAAGCGAUUCUGGCUGUGUACUAUAAGUUAGAUGCCUGUCCUGUACCCACACUCUGCCUGCUGUGUAUGGAUGGAGUUUGUAUUCAUCAACAACUUGCAACUUCAUCCUGAUAUGGAAUUCUGCCUCCCGUGCCUUCACCCUGCUGUGUAUGGAUGGAGUUUUUUCUUCCCGUUUUUGCCAGACUGCACAAGAAUCGUAAGCCUACGAUAACAGAGGUUCCUCUGGCAGUGUUUUGAGCCGUCUCUUAGCGUAGAGAGUGAAAAACACUGCGGUAGUUGCUGUGCAACAGAAACCAAUGACAUUGAAGGCGAUCUGUGGGGCUGAGAGAUUGUGAUGUUCUUUUGAAGCAUCUGCCAGGGUCAAUAUGAUGAUCCCACUGCAUCAGACAGAUUGGAUUAAUACAGAUCAUAUUAUGAAAUUAUUCCAUCAAUUGAAAGCAUCGCAAAUCUUUCUCAGGGCCAAAUAUUCAGGCCAGUAAUGACAGGUUGAUUUAUAUAUCUUAAGUUUAGGGUGGUUAGCUAGCCAACUAAUAAGAUCCCCAUAAAAUUAAUAUUCCCAUCCCAACCUAGCUACUCUUACCAAAGCUUUGGCCAACCGUCCUAGACAGAUAUUUCACCUGAAUGUGACAUUUCAUACAGCCUAGAAUUGAUACUAUACCGCCAAUAAAUCCACGAUAAACUUAGGAAAGGUAAACCAUCUAAUGAAUACUUGAUGUGCACAUGGACAUUGGGAUGAACACUCAGCUGUAACUUCCUCCUAGAUCCCAAUAUAUCUAGGUUAUCAAGGUGAACAUUGACAACAAAACAAAUACUGUGAUGGCUAAAUAUUUUCGAUGCAUCUACCCGAUCAGUCUGCUCAGUACUAGAAAUGGCUAUGGCAAAGAUUCAGGCAUAUAAACAAAGAAGGAAAGCCAGGGUCUUUCUGCAGAAAGAAAAUCAAUUAAUCAGAUAGAGAGUUCUUACGUAUAGAGUGUCAAAAAAGUGUCUGGCGCCGUACCCACCAACGACCCUAGCAGAUAAGGGCCAUACUUGACAUGAGUUGCAACGGCACAGUAAUUAUACAGGACGUAAGGAAAUGGCGAAAUUCUUAUAAGCGCCACUGCACGAAACUGAUGGAACCAAUUUCCUUCACCUGCUGCUCUCAGUAUGGCAGCCUGCUUUGGAUACUUCUCUAACUGCACCUGCAUCGGCAUUGAGGGUACCAAAUAACAUGUUUAAGACGAAAAAUGCACUGAUGAAUGGAAACCAAUUCGAUAUUAGAGCAAGUUUGGUACCCGAAUUUUAUGCAGGAACAGAUUUCCAAUACAAAAUGGAAGUGAGAUUCCAACUGCCAAGGCGACGGUGAUCAAUAAGAAUCCGUAUCCAUAGCCAAAAGUCAUCCCAGCUAUCCACAUUGAAGGAGAAGAUGGAAGGAGCAGGAUUGGGAAUAAUGCAACUGACAGGAAGACCAGUAGCCCUAGCUGUGGAGUAGUAAACGUUGAUUUCUCCCAGUUUAUAAUAGGAAUAAUUUCCUGUACACGCAGUAUUCUUAGUCAAGACCAACAAAAAGGUUGAAAGAAACAUGGAACUUCUUCCACAGCUGACAAUACAAAUGAAAUUAUUAAAGAAAGGUGUCCUGCUGAAAAUGAUCAUCUAGACUCCAAGUCAGUACAAAUGAAGCCUCAUAGUCAUCCAUGAUAAUUGUAAAAAGCAAAAAAUUAUGGCAAAAUCAAGCAGGAAUUUUGAUACUUAACAAAAAUAGAAAGCUGGGGAACUCAGAGAAGUUGCUGCUAAAAUCCACCAGUAACAACAUACAAAGAGCCUAAUUAGAGAACGGCAUGAACAAACAAGAAUCAGCACCAGAAAAGAAAAAACAGUGCAUAGAGAUCCUUGGCUGCAGAAAGCAAAAUGAAAUGAAAAGAGUGAAAUCUUACGUUUUCGAUGAAGAAGGGGCCAACCCAUCUGAAAACAACGAAAGCCACACCACCCACAACAGCCAACAGAGUUACGAGCCUGACCCAAUACCAAACAACACACCAUCUCAACUUCCAGCAGAAGAAACUACACCCUGGUUUCUCAAGAAACCCUUCUUCUUCAUCAGCAUCAGCAUCGUCCCCUCUCAAUCUCAUGUACCCGCUCUUAUCAACAUCAUCAUCGUCAUCCACUCUCAUCCUCAGCUCAGAGACCAAGCUGUCAUCUUCAUUUCUAUACGUCAUCGAAAGAAGAAAAAAAGAAAUCCCCCAAAAUUUUGUUCAGAACCCUAACAGAAAGAGGGGAAAUCUGCGGAAAUGGAACUUGUUUGUGUGUCGGUGCAGUAUUGCUGGUUCAAUGUGGGAUCAAGAUACAGCAGAACAAAGAAGAUGAGGAUGAGAGGGAGAAAGGAAGAGGACGAGAGAUCAAUGGAGGUAUGAAUGAAGAGACGGAGAAGGAGAAGGCUGUGUUUCAAAGGAGGAUCCUUUUUCUUAUUUAUUAAUAAUUAAUUUUUCUCAUCUUCCCCAUUGAUGUCAGCCAAGCUUCCUCUUCUCUCUCCAGCUCGACACCUCCUCCGUGGCCUCACCCUCGAGUUUUCAGAUAUUUUAUUUCAUUUCAACAAACUACUAUUUAUAACGGUAAUGUAACCUUAACGGCUGAUUAUAAUUCUGACGAUAAAUUUUAUUAACCUUGUAAGCGGGAAAAUAAGUAACCUUUUUGCGGUUGACAGGGCUAAGUAAAACGACGAUGGAGUUGGUUAGUCAAGACAACGACGGAACCUGGAAAUACAUAAGAUUCUACUGAAAUAAUCUUAAUGAUUUUUGGGCAGGAUGGCGAAAGUAACCAAGAGACAAUUUAUUUUGAGGCAUCAGGGAAUACUUGGUUGUUCAAUCCUUGCUGUUAUACUUUCUGAACAUUUCAUAAUCGAAAUAAAUGAACUUCUCUAAAUACUCAAAGUUUCAUAUCCGAGGCGAGUUUUCAAGAAAGAGAGGAUGAUGUGGUGGAAUAAAGAAAGAAUAUGUUAUAAAUUAAAGAAGAAAAAUUAAUAAUAACGUUGGAGGAUAUUUAGAAACAUCAAAAAAAUAUGACACCAACAAGUCUGAACAACAUGUUCUGCUAGGAGAAAAAUUCACUGAUAACAACUCGUCUGGAGAAUCGGCCCCCCUCAUCGUCUCUGAUUUUUUUGGUUCGGACUACACCGACUUUUUCCUGCUUUAUUAGUUUCGAUUGCAUUUUUUUUAUUAGUUUUUUCAGGUAUUAAUGUUUGGAUCGUCAACCUCUGUUCUAGGUUAUUUUGAUUUUGAAAUAAAUGGAAGUACGAACGUGCUAACUUCUGCUAACUCUUUAUAAGUGUGUGAUUCAUCUGUUAUAAAUGGUAAUAAUUAUGUGUUCAUAUAUCAACUCUAAUCAAUCCAUAUUGGUUGCAUAUACAAAAGCGAAAUCUUAAUCAUGGAAUCAUAGUUCAUUAAAUGAAACAUAUUUAGACUAAUUGCUCGUAACUGUUGAACAAACGGCAUUUAUCUUAUCUUAAUUUUGUCUCCUUUAUUAAACUCUCAACAUACUUACUCGAAUUCCAUAAAAAAAAUCUCUAUCAUUUAGUUACAUCAGGUCCAUCGAAAAAUAAAAAUAAAAUCACAUAAAUCAAACAUCACUUUAGAAUUAUCUUUUUAUAAAUAGAUGACACAAUUAAACGAGAUCGAUAACAUUUCUACUUCUCAUGAUCUACUCCACCAUGAACAAUGGCUUGCUUGCUACUGAGGAUUUCUCCGGCAACUGUCGAAUCAACUGGCUGAAUUUCGUAUUAUCCACACAUGUGCUGCAAAGCGUCGUGGUCACUAGCUGGCAGUCGGUUUCAACGAUGGCCUUCACUGCUCGAGCCUCCUCCUCCUCUGUCGUAGUAAUUCCAGCCUCUAUGCAUCAGAUAGUGCAGCAACUGGGCCACUCGUCAUGGACGACCACCCCUACUCCAUGACUGGACUCUUGCUCAAAGAUAGCAAUGUCAACGUUGCACUUAACAAUCCCAUAUAUGUUGAGUGUUGACAAAUUAGAAGCUGUUCCUUUGGGACAUUCACAUGACGUGGCGUCAAAGCUGCAUUUUCAGUCUUGUUUAUCUUUGUUUAGUUGUCGUGACUCAACACGAUCGAGUAAAUGAAGUAUGAUGAAUGUUUUGAUCGACAUCAGCCCCUUAAUCUAACGGUCCGUGAAAAAGGGGAUUUUUUAGUAUUUUCCAAAGUAUUUAUACGCGUCGUUUUGAUGAGAUAUGUAUUUGGAGUAGAAUUAUGUUAUAUUCGAGAAUGUGAUAUUUAUGAAGUGUAAAGUGUCAAGUGUGCCGUAGGAAUUAUCAUAUUUUGGUUAAUGAGUUAUUCGAUGUGGUAUUUGAUAACGAAAAAUAUUACAUUCUCGAAAUAUUGCAGUAUUUCAAAAUUUUAGUUUUAUUUUGGUUGUGAUGAGAUAUUUGAAAUAACACGAAAAUGAAUUAUUUGAUAUAUCAUAAUGUAAAACACCAUAAAUUUUAUAUUUAGAUAAUACAAUACGAGUUAUUUUGACUCAAAUAUUUCAAAACGAAUAUACUUUAAUUGGCCAAAACAACUCUCCAAACAACAAGUUGUUGGGAGAAACUUCAAAUUUCCUGAUUGAGAAUUGCUGUGAAGUAUCAAAUGAAGGAGACAUCCCAUGUGGUGUAUUACUCUUGUUCCAGUAUGAUUCUGAUUCCCCAUGCUCGAAAUUUAAACCGAAAUCGAAAUUGAAACAAAGGUUUUUAUGAACUAAAUUCAACCAGCCUAAUCGAUAUCGAAAACUCAAAAGACUCGCAAACGAAAUUUCCCACGUGUGGCAAAUCUGGUUAAUGCCGGCGGCUGUCACCAACUACCCCUAUGAACGAAGAUCUCCCUGCUCAUCUACGCAAACGCAAUCGGCAGGAAAGGUUGGCAGAUACAGUGGACUUUCUUCACUUUCACUGUUUGACUCUCUUUUGAUUCAUCCAUGACCCUUACUGCCCGGUGGUAUCUGCAACCUCAAACCUUCCACAAGCCUCCGUAUCCACGUCAACAAUACACUACCCACUUCCCCAAAUGUAGCAAUCAACUCUUCCCUGCUUUCCCUCGCAGUUCCCUCGUCAAGUUUGCAGGUAAAGCUCCACCCUUUGCACAUUCGUUCGUUCCCUUUGAUUCUUCUCAAUCGACAGUCUUUUAUGUGCUCUUCUUACCAAUACCAGAUUUGACUUAUGUUGGAGUCUCAAUAAUCAUGCCCUCAUUUGCAAGGUGAUAAGCUCGUGCUUAGUGUAUUGUAUUAUCCCAAUGUUGUCCAUGAAUCGAAAUAGCUCAUCCCAUUAUAAUGUUUUUGUGAGGUUUUUUUCUUGUUGGCAGCUGAAAGUUCGAGACUUUUGGUGAUCAAAUGUGUUUCUGAUAAGUUAUCGGGAUCCUUUGAGCCGGAUUCCGGAAAUGGCGAUCAAAGUCAGGUAUCAAUCGUUCAGCUUUUGUUAGUCUUAUUUAGGCUGUUUAGUUACUCCAAGUCUAGUGGUGCUCAAAUUUUGGAUAUGCUUAGCAAUUGCUAAAGCCCUUAUGAUUGGUUUAGUUGUGUUCAUUCAACGAGCAUCUCGUACUGUGUUUGAAUUGUUACCGUUCUCUUUCAGACGAUUGAUAAGAGAAAAGGGUCUCUUGCCGAUAUUCUUAAGCAAGCAAAUUCGCUACUGCCGCAUGUAGUCCUUGCUAGUACCUUGGUGGCACUUGUCUAUCCGCCUUCUUUCACCUGGUUCACCACCAGGUUUGUUUUCUUUGAUCAAAAUCAUUUCAGUGAGCUUUUGUAAGUGAAUGAAUCUUCCACUGAAAGUUACAGAUUUGUUUCAGGUACUAUGCUCCUGCAUUAGGGUUCUUAAUGUUUGCAGUUGGACUUAACUCGAACGAAAAGGACUUUGUUGAAGCAUUCAGCAGGCCAACAGCCAUCUUGGCUGGUUACAUUGGUCAAUUUGUGGUGAAGCCUAUUCUUGGCUAUUUAUUCGGCAUACUUUCAGUUUCAACGUUUGGCCUUCCCACUGCGAUCGGUGAGCUACAUAUAAUAAUAUAAUGGCUUCUUUGGACCUCAAAGUCCUAUGUCGAUUUUCCUCAAACAGUUUGUUCAUUUUUUAUACUAGGUGCUGGGAUUAUGUUGGUAUCUUGUGUAAGCGGGGCUCAAUUUUCGAACUAUGCUACUUUUCUUACUGAUCCAUCUCUGGUUCCUCUAAGCAUAGUCAUGACUUCAUUGUCCACUGCAACAGCAGUGUUCGUAACGCCUUUACUAUCUCUCUUACUCGUCGGCAAGAGACUCCCUGUCGAUGUAAAAGGUAUGGUGGCCAGCAUCAUGCAGAUUGUAGUUGCUCCUAUUGCUGCAGGCUUGUUUCUGAACAGGUGAAUGGUACUUCCUUUUAUUUAAUCAAGUUUGUCCAAGAUGUGUUCUUUCCUCAACCAUUUAUCUUGUCGCUCUAAACCAUCAGGUUCUUUCCACCGAUAUCAAGUGCUAUUCGGCCAUUUUUGCCUCCUCUCUCCGUGAUCGUAACAGCAUGCUGUGUCGGAGCACCUCUCGCGAUCAAUGUGGAGUCGGUCAUGUCCCCAUUUGGUGUAACCAUAUUGUCACUCAUAAUCGCAUUUCACGUGUCGGCAUUUGUUAUUGGGUAUACCUUUACUGGUUUCACCUUCAACAAUGCGUCGGAUUUGAAGCCCCUGCAAAGAACCAUAUCAUAUGAGACGGGUAGAUUGAAAAUUUUCUAUAUGUAGUCUGAUCAUUUCGAGAUGAAAUGGAAUAUAUCUGGUAUAUGCAGGAAUGCAGAGUAGUCUACUGGCCCUUGCACUUGCUAACAAGUUUUUCAAAGAUCCGUUAGUUGUGGUGCCUCCGGCUAUCUCUGUAAGUUAUCGAAUUCCUGCUUUUCUCUUAUUAUAUCCUCAUCCAUCGCCGCAACAUCGUUGAAAUGAAUGGAAUCAACCUUGCAGACGGUAAUCAUGUCUCUGAUGGGAUUCUCCCUGGUGAUGAUUUGGGGUAAGAAGAAAGAACGACUGUAGAGGUGGAAUAUAUAAACAAAUAGCGCAUGAAGUGCAGCUUCAUUACUGCUGUUCGUUUCUUCACCUGACACAGAUGAAUGUGUGGCAGUGGAACUGAGAUGUAAUGAAAGAUCAUAGAAAAUGUCGGCUUGUCGACCAUUUUAGCCAACGAUGUAAUAUCAUGUAGUGUGCACAAGGCUACUUCCUAUUCCAAUCUUAAUGAGGUCAUCGGUCAAAUUUGUGAAGCAGUUACGUUAAAUAAAACCAAUAUAAUAUUAACUUUUUGGAAGUGAAAUCCGUAAAGUAACGCAGUUAGUUGCCGCUGGCAUCCUGGAUGUGUAACGAUUAACGGCUGGCGACCUGAAGAUGUAACGAUUAACGACAUUCUUGCCUUAUCUAUCUUCUGAUAAACCCAUAAGCUACAAAACCUGGCAUUCUUUUUGGCGCGACAUAAGAACAUUAUUUAGCAUCCUUCCAUCCGGAAAAGAAGGAUCAAACGCUCGAAAUCAAUGGCCUUCACUGCAACAACAACUGCCUUAUCAAUCUUCUCUUCCAAUUCCAAACCGUUCCCUUCUCAUAAAUCUUCCCUUACCCUUCUCGAUUCUCCUCCUCCUUCAUCUAUCUGUACUCCGACCUCUCUUCGAACUCGACCACUUGCCACCCUAAACUCCGCCAAAUGCGGCGUCGCCGGUCUAGUUGGAGCCGGUCUGUUUCUGACCGCUAUCGGACCCGCCUUUGCCGUCAGCCUACCGUUGGUGGGUGAGCUCGCGGAACCCGCCAACGCCCUCUCUUUGCCCACGUGGGCAGUCCACGUUUCCAGUGUCGUCGAGUGGUUGGAUCUUCGGUUUUCUGCAUUCCUGUUGUGUUGAAAUUUUCACUUUCUCUAAUUUUUUUAACUCCGUGGCUUUUCCCAUUUUGAUAGGGUCACAGCAAUGGCUCUGGUGUGGCAGUACGGGGAAAAAUCUGGGUUUGAAACCUGGAAGGGACUCUCUUGGGGGAUGGUUAGUUAAAGUUUCCUUAUUUACAGCUGGAAUUCGUGGGUUUUGAGCUAGCUGAUAAUAGUGAAUUGGGAUCAGGUACCUUUACUUGGUGGAGCUAUGUGUGCAUGCACAUGGCAUUUCUUCUACAAUGCCGAGUCUCUAGAGGUAAUCGAAUGGCUGUCUUUACUCUGUUCCAACUCAGUAAAAAGACAUUGAAAUUGGCUCUGGAGAAUUUGCUGAUAAGUUAAAUGACUACGUAUUAGGUACUGGUGGCUAUUCAAGCUGCAUUGACAGUUGUUGGUAAUGCAACAAUGUGCUUUGCUGCAUACCGUAUUUUUAGAGCAUCACAGGAAGGCGCUAAGGAUCUUUGAACGCUCACGUCAAGUUCUAGUAGUCGUCCAACAACAGGAUAUUGAGUUCCUUCUUCCAGGUGAUGAUAUCUGGAUAUAGUUGAUGUGAUGAAGUAAAUGUUUCUUUAUGUUUAUAUGCUUAUGGCUUCUGUUUAGAUUUGGUUACCAGUUAUCAAGCUUUUAUCAUUUUCAGGGAUCGUGACGAACCUGGUGAUAUGUCUUUUGGGUAGAAUGAGGAAGUUUUCAAUGGUAAAUAGAAUGUUGAUUAGUUUCUUGUCGUAGCAAAGUGGUUACUUGCAUCUGAAGGUCAAGCUACAGGAAAGAGUUGAGCUACAGUCUCCAGUGGUGUAAAUUGACCAUCAUAAGUGAGUCUGUCCAUCAAGUAUGCUGAUAUUCUCUUAAUUAUCGUGGUUAACAAUUGCAAAACCAUUGCCUCCAUGGCUGACUUUCUAUGUUUCCUUUCACACUUCAUGCGGCUGGUUAUGCCACUUGUUUGAAAUAGUGCUUAAUAUUUGACUCGGUCGAUUGUAUAUGAUCAUGCAUCUUGAAUUCCUUCAACUUGCCUACGGCAAUUGCUCUGUUUGACGGUUGUUUGUUUCAACAUGCAAUCAAUGAAAGAUUUGACCUUGUGAAAUAGAUGAGCAAUUUUACUGAUUAUCAGGAUCAGUUUAUUCUUGUAUGUCCUGGUUGUAUGCUUAGCGGCUUAUCCUAUUCUUGAUAAGCCUUCCUACGCAAGUUUCAGAGGGAAUUUAAGAUCUUUUGCGAGACCAAAUGUAAUGAUCAGACAAAGUUUCAUUCUUCUGAAACCCCCAUAAGAACCCAAGUAACAUAAGCUUACAUCUAUUGUCAAAACAUAUUGUCAAGGGCUUAGCUUCUAAGAUGAUCGUAUAGAACAGAAUUCAUUUUACCAGCAUGGAGCUCUAGUCAUGUUGGCUUUUCUCAAGGGUAGGCAUUCAGACUUACAAUAGAACUGGUUCCAUGUAUAUAUGUGAGACAUUAGACAUCUGAAUGGUGAAGGUUUCUUGUAGACAAGGAACUAGAGAGUGGGCUUCGUUUCAAUCCACUUAUGACUUGCGCUACAUUACAAUUUAGCAUAAACAUAAAUGUCAUAACCAUCAAAACUAAUAUUCUUGACGAUCAAUACUGAGCUAGAACAGGGGAGUGGCUGAAUAGAAAUGUAGAAUUGUUUUUGUGCUGUUUCUAAUAUUUGUACAGAAGAAACAGAGCCGCAGAGAAGCGAUCGAAAUGAGGGAACUUCUCUUGGAACUCCCUCAUCAAGGCUAAAUUCUCUCUGUGAAGAAGGUAUGCUUUCUGCCUCAGCUUCUCAUUUUCUUCUAAGAUGGUUUGGUUUUCCAAGUAUAGCUUCAAAUUCUUAAUCUCCAUAUCCUUCUCCCCAGUUCCCUCACCACACCUUCUCCUGUUUCUGCCAAAAGAGAAAGAAAUUAGCCUCAGUAACAUCUAAAAACAAAAGAAUUGAAAAGAUGCAAUCAUUUUACACACCUGGUGAGCCCAAUGACUUGAAGUCUAGGCUUCUUGGGAUGUUGUUGCCUUCUUUUUGAAGUCUCCAGAACAGAAACAGUGGACCUGUCUUCUCUGAUCAUACACAUUAUGUGCAAUUGCUAACAAAGUGGGAGAGAAAUGGAAGGUUGGGAGAGAAAGUAUGGGGAUUUAGAGCUCCUAUAAAUAUAGGAAUGAAGAAAAAGAUGGGUUGUGACUUGUGAGUGUAUUGAUUAGGCAGAGGUAGUGGGCUGAUGGUGUGUGCAUUUGAGAUAGAGAGAGAGAGCUCCUUCUUGUCCAUGGCAAUGAUUGCAGAUUGGAUUCAUUCAAGAAAUAUAAGAGACGAAAAGUCCUGAAUGAUGAUGAUGAUGGUUUUCUAUAUUGGUAACUCGUGCCAAGUUGGUACUCUCUGAGAGGGUAGAAUAGAAUCAUCACCAGCAUCACCACACCAGUCUUGCUGCUACUGGAAUUCUGGGAAAAUGGUAAACUGUCUUUUUAACUAAUACUCUUCAAUGGAGAUGGAGUUUUUCUAUGAUGUUGGUUAAGACUGUUAUGUUUUCUUCAUUCUAGCCAGUAGGUAGAGAGGAUAACAGAAAGUCGGCAUGACUAGUGAUUGCUUCUGGAAAAGUGAAAAUGAGUACAGAAGGUUAUUCUACCAGUUGGCUGGUAGAGGGAAUGAGUGGCUUGAGUAGCUGUAGAGUGAAUUCCAUGGUUGCUUAUGGCGGCAAAACUAUGAUUGGUUGGUUUGUUGCAACUGUGAACUAUUUCCAAGUCGGUUCAUGAUUAGGUGUUUGAUGGUUGAAGAUUAUAUUAUUUUAUUUGGUAAACCUUUUUCACCGUAUGAUUUUCACACUGGAUUCAUGAAUAAUCUUGCUAAUUAAAGUACAAUGAAAUAGUAAAAUUAGAGUUUAAGUUGGGAUUUUUUAGGUUUAGUUAUUUAGUGAUCUUGAUUUAUAAUUAUAAAAUAAAAUUUUUGAUACGAUUUGAAAUUUAAGUUUAUAAUGUGAUGUUUAAGUUUCAUUAGAAUUCAUAAUUUAAAUUUUGGAUUUUGGUGUUGAAGCACUGAGCACCCGCCACAUGUACCGAAGCAAGGUGUCUUUUUUUCAUCAAUCAGUCAUGUUAGGGGACGGGCGCUUGCCGCGAAAAGGAGAUAGUUUGUCCGCUCACUCUACAAAUAAGCCUAGGCUAUCCUCAACCGUCCAUCAUCAACGACUCAGAUCUAGUUUGCACCAAAUCACUACUCCCAGCAUGACUUGUGAAAAUCAAACUCAUACCACAAUUUUCCUAUAAAAAGAGUCAUUAACCACUACAUUUAAGAUAUUGAUCUCCUAGCUAAACCAACCAUACGCCCUAGGUUGUGUGCCCACAUUGCGCUAUACACCUACCAUUAGUCAGAUCCCCACCACGCCAUCGCUUAUUCUUUUUGUCGUCGUCAUCACCUGACCUAACCUUGUUGAUUUAACUACGAAUUUUAUAUUUCAAGUUUUAACUAUUAAGAAGAGUUUGUGUCGAUCAGCUAUUACUAAAAUGCCGCACUUUGCUCCACUUAUAUUUGGUUUCUAUUCAUCACAUUUCUCAUUUGGAUAACUGCAUGUCGUCUAUAUAAUGACACAUAAGACACUUCGUUAAAGUGCAAUGUAAAGUGUUGGGCAACCAACCAAAUUGCCUUGUACCUCUACUUCUACUUGUUCAGAGUGUGGUUUGGUUUGUAUUUGUCACAAUCAACCAGGACAAGCGUGGAGACAGAGAGCAAUUCCAAUACGCAACAGUAUUACUAUCGACAAACAUCAUUGCUUACUCCAAUCAUUUCCAUCGUUGAACAGCGCAAAACCCAACCUUCUUUUGAUACAUAGCAAAUUGGAACCUUGUUGCGAUCAUCCAACAGCUAGUCUCAGAUUCGUGUUCUUCAUAUACUUAGUCGGUCAUAUAACGGAAUCAUUUAUUUAGUGACAUGUUUAAUUUUUAGAUAUUUUUUAAAAAUAUUAUUAUUAGUCCUCACUUUCUAAAUUAAUGAUUAAGAUUGUAUAUUUAUUAUCUUCUUAUUUUCACAAAAAAUUUAUCUGAACCCAAUAAAUAAAAAUAAAAUUUUUUGUUGUUAGGCCUAUCCUCGUGCUCGUUACAAAACCCACACACCUAUCCAAAUUUUCUAUUUAAAUUUACCAUUUUUUUCGAUGUGAAGAAAGUAAAAGGUAGCAUUUGUUUGUGGUGUGAAUAAAUGGUGAAUGUAUAUAAAUAAAUGUAAAGAUGUGUAAAUAAUUAAUAAUCAAUAUAAAAAAUACAACAUUUAAACGUAAAUAGUGAGAGUAAGACAACAAACUCCUCUUUAAUAAAAGAUAUAAAUUCUUAUCAUACAUGGUCAUCUACAUAAUUCUAUCAUGUUUAUUUCCCUUCAAUGUAUAUGCAUGCACCCUAGGUAGGGUUUGUUCUCGAAAUCGACGUAGCCUAAAUUUCAUAAUGCACGAUCAGUCAAUUUUUGGGUUACGUCUUAUUUUUGAAAGGAAAUUUCAAAAAUUCAUCAGACGACCAUAUUACAUAUCUUCGUUCUUAAGUAUAUAGAGAGUUUGUACAUGUAUACAUAACUCUGUACUCACUUUUUCUUAUAAACGAGACACCUCUGUGUACACAAAAUUCAUUUUUAUAACGAAACAAUCAUAUCAGAUAUUCGUCUUCAGAUUAUUCGUCGGUUAGAUAAUAAAGUCACCCGUUCAAAAAAAUGAGAUUCCUCAGUGUACACAAAAUUCAUCUCUACCCUUCAAUCUUAACUUUUAAUAAAAGGGAUAAAAUUAACCGUCCAGAUUGUACUUGAUGCAUCAAAGAAUUCCCUUCUUGGAAGACAACCUGCUCUCCGCGGAAAUCGACUGGCUGCCUAUGUUUACACGGAACUGAUGUGGACCAUUACAGUUUGGAUCUCAUCCGUCAAUCGACAAAGUGUACAUCAUUGGACAGCUCUCAUCAAGGGAUCCACGAUAACACUAUGGUGCGCGCUCCACCACAGCCGGACACUGAAAAGGACAAAUAUGGAAAAUCGAGAAAGAAAAGAAGAAAAUCGUGGAAGCGUGGGGGGUUUUACAUUCGGAAUCAACAUAAUAAACCGGAGGCUCGCCCAGAAAACGAGAGACAGAGAGAGAUAGUUUCAGAGAUAGAGGUGCGGUGGUGGUGCUGCCUCCUCCCCGGUAAUCCUUUUAUCCUCCCUCAACAAAAUCAAAUUUCUCGCCGCUCCUCUUCCCGCUUAUUCUCUCCGGAUUCCUUUUCCCUUGCUCGUCCUGCGGCGAUUUCAGCCGAUCCGUUACUUCAAUAUUUUAACCGAGGUACGGUGAGAUCUCCGUCUCUCUGUGGUUUAGGGUUUUGCUUCCUUUUUAUCGUUAGCUUCUCAGUUAUCAACUAUCGUCGUAUAUAACUUGUCCGCCGCCUGCAUCGGGAUAAUAAUCCGGCGAGAGGGAGAGAGAUUAAAGGGAUAAUUACGUUCAUUUUGGUGAGCUGGAAUCCAAUUUAUUAUUGGUCUAAUAGCUCGGAGUUCCCAACUUUAUCUUAGAUUUCCGAUAAUACCCCCGCUGAAAACAGAACUCUUCCGAAGGGUGAAAUAGUAAUAUGACAAGGUUCUUGCUUGCUAAGGAAGAACGAUUAACCGACAAGGCAGCGUUAUUUAUAUAUAUAUUAAUAAUUAUUAACAAACUGAUUUCACAAUUUCAAUCGGAUUGGAAACAUAAACACGGAACUAGAAAGGAGAGAGACGCAAUUCUCUCUCUUUCUGAUAGACAAACUUCACCUGGAAGGGGAUUCCUUUUCCUUUGAAAACCCUAACAAUCGCUUUUCUGUUUUGAUUCCUUUGAAGCCUGAAGGGAUUUCUCGAGAUGGGUUCGCAGCAAAACGACGGCACGAGCUUCCCACAAUCGGAGCCGAUUCUCUGCGUCAACGGGUGCGGCUUCUUCGGAUCGGCGUCGAACAUGAACCUCUGCUCCAAGUGCUACCGUGACCUGCGGGUGACGGAGGAGCAAGCGGCGUCGGCGAAGGCUGUUAUGGAGAAGACCCUCUGCUUCAAAUCGAAUAAGGCGGAGGCAGUCGCAGCUGAUGUUGUUGCCGUCUCGAAAUCCGCUGUGGCUGAGGCGAUUGCGACGGAGAAGGCGGUGCUUGAAGGGUCUUCGUCAUCAUCGUCGGCGGCGGUGGCGGUUGAUGUGGUGAAGGCGGCGAACAGGUGUUUGACCUGCAAUAAGAGGGUUGGAUUCACGGGGUUUAAGUGCAAGUGCGGCAGCACUUUCUGCGGUUCUCAUAGGUACCCGGAGAACCACGAUUGCGACUUUGAUUUCAAGCAAGCUGGGAGGAACGCAAUCGCCAAGGCCAAUCCUGUCGUGAAGGCGGAUAAGGUCGAUAGGUUCUGAUGAUGAUGAAUGGAUAUGCUCGUGAAUUGAUGAUUUGGUUUGGAACAAGUUCUUUCUUCUUUUCCUUUCUGGACGUUUUUACUUUCUGUGUACCAAAUUUUAGUGAUUAGUAAUCCUAGUUUGUUAGGUGGGUUUGGGAUUGUGGUGGGUUUGGCUGCACGAUUAUGAAAUUUGUGGGGGUUUGGGAUAAGAGGAGGAUGAUUCCAUAAUAAUAGUUCAUCAAUGGAUUGUUAUUUGCUGAAGAACAAAAUGGAAGGAACCCGGUUCUGUGUUGAACUCGAUUGCUUUGAUGAUAAAGCUCUGCUCUUUCUUCGAUGUUUGGAUUGUAUGUACUGUCUGUGUAUAUGGAUGAUGGAUUGUGAUCCUGGGUGUUUGAUUCAUGUGUCUUGAGUUUGGAUUCUGUGUCUUGGUGGUUGAAUGGUUCAAUCUGAUACACGAUUGCGUAUUGACUAGUUUGUUGGAAUAAUCAACAGAAUGGUUCCAAGACAACUUGUAAUAUCUUGACUAUGUGUUCUCCGUGAUUGAUUUAUGCAUAUGAAUUCAUUCAGCAUGUGUUAGCUAGUUCAGAUUAGCUUAUCGCAUCUGGUGCAAACCAUGAAUGGUACAAAUGUUGGAUUUCGAUGAACAAGAAGACUGGCUGUGCUCUCAAAACUUCUAUACUUAGUUCUGUGAAGAUGUCAUGCCUACUACUAACUGCUGUUGCUACCAUUUACCCUCUCCAUUGCCUUGGUUGCCUGACUGUUCCAGUCUAGGAAACAGGUGAAGAUAGAGAGAAGAGAUGCUUGAACCAGAGACCCUGCAACUAUUCCUAUCCAGAAUCCAGUACUUCUCAGAUGAGCUGCAAAUCCAAGGGAUAGUCCCAGGGGAAGCCCAACCAAGUAGAAUGCUCCUAUGUUCAUUAACACUCCAGCUCUCUGCCACCCACAACCUGUUGCUGACCCUGCAAUUUCAAACAGGUUUUAGAUCGUUAGUACUUUUUACUUUCUAUCACAGUUUAUGGCCUUCACGGUGUGAGUAAAGACCCACCAGAGAGGACUCCUUGGAGGCUGUCCAUGACGAUGAAUACGCAGAUUAGAGGAAUGAUGGUUGAAAUGUGCUUCACAACUUGAGGGUCGUUGCUGUAAGCAUAACCCACCACAUCUCUUGCAAAGAACAGAGCAAUACUCACUAUCGAUGAUUCCACCACUGCAACAAACACCGCCACCACUACUGCUAAUCUCGCUGAUCGCGGGUUCCCUGCUCCUAGCUCGUUCGCUACCCGGGUACUAUAAUUCAUUCACCACAGAGGUUGGUGGGUGAUUCGAAUGUAUUUUAGAAAUUUAAAUGAAAACAUGAUGACAAUUAAGUACUUCAAAUUACCUGACUGCAACUCCUAGACUCAGUGGGAUUGUCAAGUGCAACGUAGUCAUUGUCAGACUGUUAAAUCGAGAUACAAACCCCAAAUAACAUAUCAGAAACCAAAGAAUUGUAGAUAUGGGACUUUACAAUAUGAAUCAUAGUUACAUACCUCACCGAUAGAACGGAUGUCUGCAAUCGAGGAUUGGGAAGAUGGCUGGAAAGUAGAGUCAGUACCUCCAUAGACCACCAUUUCAAGCUGAAAAUGUGCAAAGAAAUUGUACAUCAAUGCAAAUAAUUACACACCACUUCAGGCUGAAAGGAGUAUUGUUUCAGUCUAUUACCAAACCAUAACAGCAGCAGGCAACCCAAGUCGGAGAAACUCAGGUAUACAUCCAAAAGCACUCCACGUAAACGGCGCACGAGUCUCCUUAAACUUUCCGGAAAACUUCACGUAAAGCGCAAGCGCCGCCGCGUUCAGCCACGUGGACAUCCCGAACGCCACUGCCACGCUGGCGUCCCCCAUCCUCAGCUUAAACGCGAGGAUCCAGCUCAUCAGCGCGUGCAGACAAAACGCCAUCGUGGAAGCCAGAAGCAUGGGGACCACCACACUCUGUGCUUGCAAGAACCUCGUCAGCGGGCCCACCACAGCCGUCCCCACCAGCCCGAUAACGGACCAAAGACAAAAGUCUCGCGCCCCGUCAGCAACGACCGGGUCCUGGCCCGUAACCCGGAGAAGCCGGCCCGUGAAGGCCCAAAGCAGGCAGAUUGGAGGGCACAUCAGGAAUAAGGAGAUGAUGCCGCUGUAAGCGUAGGUACCGAGCUUCUUGUACUGACCGGCGCCGUAAGCCUGGCCGCAGAGGGUGGACAGCCCGCCGGUCAUCCCGUAGAGGACGCUGUAGCCGGUGACGUUGGUGAGGGCGGUGGCGAUCCCAACGGUGGUGAGCGCCAGCUGGCUGAUGUGCCCCACUAUUACGAUGGACACUGUUUGCUGUAGGUAUUGAAGUGCCAUUACGGCGAUCAUGGGGCCUGCAAUGCGGGCGAUUCGCUUUAGUUCUUCGGCGAAGUCCUUGCGCGAUGUCGUCGCGAAGAUGUUCGCUCCUUGCUCUUCGGCAUCGAUCACAUUGACCAUCUUCGUAUGGACCAAAGUCGGCGGGAAAUUGGGUUUUUGAGGAUGUAAAAUCAGUGCAUAUAUUUGUUGGGUCUGAGCACGAAAUGGACCGUAACUCCACUUCGAUUCAUGCUGUUUUCAUUUAUUGGGAUAAGUGAUUCAUGCUGUCUUUUGUUUAUGAUUUCGUUGGCUAUUCUUAUAAUUAGUCUUUCAAGUUAGGUUUAGGAUUGGUCAACAGUAUUCAUUUUAGAAUGUUACACAACUUGUUUGGUCGUCCCUGCAGCCUAGCUAGGACAUAUAUGCACAAACAAUGCUCAAUAGCAUCUCCGGUUAUACAAACAUUUGUUGGUUUGACAACUUAAAUAUAAGAUGGAAUUAUUAAUAUUUUCUCAUUCGUUAUUUAUUAAGAAUGUUUUUUUUGACAAAAAAUCAUAUCACUUAUAUUCCUUAUUAAAGUUAUAGCAACGUGAGGCAUAUAGGAAGUCGCAUUGGAAGUGCAGUACUCAUCAACAAGGCUAACAUGAAUCGCGGGUUUUUUAAUAGCAAAUACAUCAAUCCUUUCUUUCCCACAAACGAACACUCCAAUAGAGAUUCAGACUAAAAAUAAAAAAUAAGGACACUAACAAUCACCAACAAAAACACAAACUAGAAACAAAGAAAAAGUUGAAGUUAUAAAUAAAACUAGAAAAUAAAUCUAGCAAACUUGAAUGCGAUUAGCAACAUCCCUAUUUGAACUUCUAAGGGAGGCUAGGACCUUAGCCGCUCCAAGUCUCAGCCUCAGUGAACCGGACCACUCGCCCUUGGCUGACCGGCAGGUAACACAGGGAUGAUGUCCUGGUCAUACUUCUUGGAAGGGGGUGGAGGUGCAUCAACGAUGGUGGUAAUCGGCAUAGCAACAGCAACGAUGGCGACGUUGGCGGUGCUAGAGAUGUUGGUGACGAUGGCAACGUUGGCGGUGAUGGAGACGUUGGUGAUGAUGAUGGCAACGUUGGAAGCAAACGGAUGUAAGGCGGUCAUGGUGGUUGUGGUGAGUACGGGGCGCGGCUAGAGUUUCAUGGAGGGGGAAGGGUUUUUCUUAUGAGAGGUAACAAGGCUACUUCUUUUUUAUGAGAACAACGAGGCAAUUUUUUUCCUGCGGAAAGUAACUUUUAACAAAAAUCUAAAUGAAAUUAAAAAAAUGAAAAAAAUCAAAGAAAUUGAAGACAACUACGGCAACUAGAGUUUAUUUGUUAGGAAUGUUAAAUACAAGAGAAUUAAUUUAGGAGACGCUAGUGAUUAACAAAUGUUGGUGGGAUGAAUACACUUGUAAACUUAAAUUGGAAAAGAAUCAAGCAAGCGUCAGGUCGUAUCCAGCUCGGUUGGUCCACUUACUCUCUUUGAAUGUAUUCUUCAAAGUAAACUUGUCGCUCUCAAAUCUAAUGCACAAUCUCAAGUGACACAAGCUAAGUACCAUGCUCUUUUAAUUUUUUUUUUUAAAGGAUAAAUGCAGUUUUUAUUGCUAGUAUAAUUACUUUGGGAAAUUGGUGAGUACAACCAUUUAAUAAUGCCAUGUGACCAUGCUCGGAUAAAUUUAGAGGGAGUAUUGGAUGGUUUGGAUUGAAUUUAACGAUAAAAUCAACCCACCUAUUAAUUGGGUGGAUUGGAUUGGAUUUAACGAUAAAAUCAACAUCUAUUUAAGGUAUGUUAUCUUCCAUCCUUAUGAACCUUUAUAUGCAUUCUCAAAGCUAAACAAUACACUUCAUUAAAGCAAAAAAAUUAUUAUCCAAAAAACUCGAAGUGAAUGAAAGGUUUUUAAGAUAAUUGCAUAGGAAGGUUAGAGAUAAUAAGGAAAUUGUAACUCUCGCCGAUUAGUAUAGUGAAUUGGUGGGUUAAACGAACAACCCAUUACGUAAUCCAAACCCACCCACUAGAUAAACAAUCCGAAACCCACCUAUAUUAUCCACCCACUCAUGAACAGAUCGAUUUAAGUUACAACAAACGGGUUUGGAUAAAUUUGAUGGAUAACCCGAUUCAAUACUCACCAUAAACUUACAACUGUGCGUUUAUCAACUGUGGUGAACCACAGGCCCAAUACUUGGGGUUGCAGAAACAAAGUUGGCCCUUUUGUAGUCAUACAAGUUUCGUACUUCUUUUUCCGAUAUAUUAACGAGUUAACAUGCUCCUACAAUAAAUUUAAUAAUGAUGUAAAAGUUAGAAACAAAAUUUUUGAAAAAAAGAGAAAAAUAUUAUUUCCUCCAAAAUUUUGGUUUCCUGCUCGUGUAAUUAAAUUUUUGUUCCAAAAUUACCUCACUCAAAUAAAUUCAUUUUAUUUAUUUUUAACCGAUGAAUAAAAAUUGGCCCAAAAAUAAUUUAAUUCAACGAUUAAAAUUUGUCCGAUACACCCCUCGGAUCAAUAUCAACGUUGUUGGUUACCAGCCCCAGGGCAAGAAGAGAGACUUUCCCAGCUGGUGCUAUGACUAAAGAAUAGAUGGAGUUAUUAAGUGGGGUGAGUUUACUUUGAAUUCGAGAGAAGUAGAGCUAGGAAAUCUAUAAAAAAAAAAUGUAGUCGUACGUAGAGCAGGUUUCAAUAAUUUGAUGGACAUAAAUCAAUGUCCAUACGCCACCUAUCUAUCUAGCCAUAUGGGACAAACUCUGAGCCUAGAGGUUUUAAUUGUAGCAUGCAUAACAUCGGCUAACCCUUUUCAAUGAUUUUGCUUUUAAGAAUAUUUUAGUUUAUUGCGAUUAGUCCCGUCUGUGAGUCCUUGAGUAUGAUCUUCGGGGUUCAGGAAAUCACGAAAGUGAGAGCUGAGUGUAUUUCUAAAAACAAACCAAUACGAAAUGAGAAGUUAAUUGGGUGGACUAGUCAGAAGGAUGUUGAAGAUAUUAUUAACACCGACGAAUCGGUUAUCCAACCUCAUGGAAUUAUAGCUGAUGGCGGUGUCAUCAGGACCCCAUAAUGUGGUUGCCUGACAGCCUUUGCAAGUAAUUUGGGUAUCUAUACUAUCACUCAAGCCGAGCUCUAUGCAGCUAUUCAUGACCUCCGUCUUGCAUGAGAUGGUGAAUACAAAAAAGUUAACCUUCAAGUGGACUCAUCAGCUGUAGUUUCCUUUGUUAAUAAGGAUCUCCUUGGCGAUACCAGCACGCAGUGAACAUUUGUGAACUAAGACUUCUUCUUCGUCUCAGUUCACAAAUGUUCGCUGAGUCUGGGCCAGUUGUACGGCAUCGUUUCCUGUCAUUAAGUGUUGUGAUUUGAUUGGAGGAAGCUUGAACCGCUUUCCUGUCCGUACUAGGUUUCCUCCUUGCCGUCGAGUUGUGGGAGGAAGUGCGGCUUUUGAAUUUUCUGUUCGUCGCUUGGGAUAUUGGGCGAGGAUCCGUAGUAUUGGUAGUCGACUUAGGUAUAGCAGCAAUAAGUUGGGCCACCUCCUCUCAUCCUCGGAUUCCCGCAAGUAUUUGGCUACCAGUAAAGCCUUAGUAUUCCUCGGUACGAAUAGAAUCAUCCCAUUCCCGAGUGAUUAGCUUUGCCGGUGUCGUGAACAGAAGGUCACAGUAUUUAUCUGUGUCCCAUUGUGCCACAUAUAUAACAGAAGCGUUCCAAUCGUUCGUAUUUGAAUAAGCACUUAACGGUUUCAUCAUUAUGUAGAACGACUUUCUUCCCUCGACGGAGCGGUUUGUUGGCAUCCAACUCCACCUGAACACACAUAAACUGAUUCGUCCACUAAUUUUUGUUGUUUGCAGGAUCAUAAUCAAGGUAUCAUCUACCUGCAUAGUCCCCCAAGAUGCGUCCAACAGCUUCAGAGAAAUACUCAAAGGGUAGUUUAUGCACUUGAAUCCAGAAUGGGACUCAAUUCAACGGAACCUGUUUGGGGUCUUCACCUAUUUGUAGCUCGUGUAGAAAUAGAAGGCUACGAUCAUGGUCGUCCUUCCUUCAUGAUCCGUCGCAGAUCGACUCCAUGGUGGAAUCGGAAUAGGUAUCGGCCGUCGCCAAGCUCCUUGACCAUCAUCGCACGACCUGGUUUUCACGCAAGAGCCAUGGUACUCUUCAUCCUGGAGAGAUUGACUUCUCAAUGUCCCCAAAUUUUGCCGACAAUACAUAGUGGGUAUUUAUGCAGCGGCGCUUUCGGAGUUACCUCCCUGAGGGACACACCUUCGUCGUCGAUGUCGUCCAGGGAGAGGUCUCGUAAGCCUACAAGCUCGGUGCCGGCUUUGAUGUCUUCGGCUACGAUUUCCUGCUCGGUCGUCGGCGAUUCCAGGAUCGUGCCUUCCAUGGUAGCAGGCAUGGUGCACGGAGCGGUUUGGUUCGGUUUGUUUGGUAUGAGCUGGGGGAAGGGAUCGCUGGUGCGAUGAGAUAAUGAUUGUAUGGGGAUGGAAGGCAUGGACGGGAGGCGUGGAGGAUGAAGUAUGGAGGCCGACUGCGACGGCGAGAUCGAACCCAAAAUCCUUCCAGAAAACCCUAGCUGAGGGGAGUUUUUUAUUCUAAUCGUUUUCUUAUUAUUUUUAGAACAUUUCACUCCCAUUUGGCUUGCAUUUAAUCACAUGUCGUAGCUAGAAUUGUAAAAAAAUGCAGAGAUCCCAAUUUAAUUAUAUUACAGUACUGAAAGCCACGAAUCUGCAAUGGGGUUUUCCAAAAGAUUUGAACAACAUUCACAAGCUACCCCAUCUUUCUCUGUCGUCUCUGAACCUCCCACCUUCUCUGUAACUAAACAUGGUAGAAAAUGGUAGAAAAACAUUCGUGGUGAUGUUUUAGUAAAGCAAGUUAUUUUAAAAAAGUGAAUGUGCCACCUGCGAUUGUUUUUCAUAACUAAGUAAUAAUAAAUAAGAAUAUUGAUCUAAAAUUAUGAUUAACAUAUAUCGAAUACGGAGCUGAAACAUCAAACAUUAAAUCAGAUAUAAACAUAUACCUAAAUACCGAAAUUGCUUUGAGCCGUAGACUCCGAACACCCCUUACAUCCGCCCAUGAAAUGAAGGGACGAGAGAGGAAUUCAUUGAAGGGGCAUGCAUUAAGUUUGCCAUUCCCCAGUAACAUUUGACCCUUUGGGGGCAUGGUUGGUUCCUAGAACUUGUCACCCACCUUUGACCUUAUCAACUGCAGUCACCCAAAAAUUUAUUGUCUUCAAUUACUAUGACCCCUUUAUCACCGACCACUCCUCUCUCCUUCCUCUUCAAUGUCUUUUUUUUCGUUUCUAAUUGUUUAAUUUUGAUGGGUUCUUUAGGUUUAAAUAUUUUUUUUGACCUGUCGAAUUAUUUCGGCAGUGAUGGAAUUAGGGUGGACCAACCUAGGUCAUCGAGUACCGACAAGAAUUCUGAUCCGAAAAUAAUGAAAUCUUAUGUAAAUUUUCGAAAUUCAAAUCUUAUUUGGAGAGCCAUAAAUGGCACGGUUUGGUACAAGUGGUGUCGCCACCAUGUUGACAAACGAAGACGGAAUGCUGGAGAUCUUGCGCGAAACAGAUUUGCCGUGAUGCUCAUAUUCUGAUGACAUAGUUUCUUUGUUGAUUACAUAGUAUUAUGCUCCAGUUCUCAUAAUUAGUUGUGAACAGACUUUUGUAUGAACUUUGACCGGUGGAGUGUUGCUCUUUUCGACGCACUCUGUAUGAGAUGACCAUAUAUAAUACUGCACAUUUAUCCCAAAAAUAAAAUUUAUCGAGUUCUUAUAAUCUUUAAACUCGAAAUCCCACAUAAAAUCUCAUGUUGUCUUGAUUCCGUCAUUGCUUAAUCGAAAGAAUAGUGGACAUAUAUAAUUCUACAACUAAGACUAUCAAAAUUUAAUCAUUCUUGACUCGAGAUAUAAAGGGUGAUAUUUCAAAACAACGAGACGUUUCAAAUAAACUUUUUUAUCAUCAAAUAUCAUAUCUCAAUUAUAAUCCAUUAGCUAAAUAAAAUAAUUUUUAUUCUAAAAUACUAUAUAUACAUAAUUAAAAUAACUCAUUUAAACAAUCCACGUACAGUUUUCAUAAUCAAUAUAUGAAUGUUGCUAGAUCUUUUGUUGAACACAAGUUACCAAUGGAGCCAAUGCAAGUAGUAAGUCUAACCUUGUUGGAAGACAAAUUAAAAUGUUCAAGUUAGAAUCAAGAAGCCUACUCUACGUAGUCAAAAUACACCUACCCUCCUUAUCAUCAUCAUCAUUAUCAUGCUACAUUGACUCAAUUGACAUGUUCAUAUAUAGUCAUUCAUGUGUGCUAGCUAGCUAGCUAGGACCAUAUGUUUAGCUUAUACAAAUAUUAAUUAAGAAGAUGAUCAAUUUGACAUGUUCUCUGUGCAUAUGAUAUGUGUUUUCUGCAGUACAGAUUGAGUAAAUCUAAUGGUUGAGACAUACAAUAACGUCAUGAGACUAACAAUAUAGUAACAUGUGAAAUAUCGUUCACUACUGGUCAUCAUAGAGUAACAUUGAAGUAACAUGUCAAUGACAAUGGACUAAAACAAGACUUAACGCUAGAUAACAUUUAACUAGCAUGGUCAGACUAAUUAACAACAUAGAGACAUGUGGAAUAGUACCGUUCAUUAUCAUCAUAUAAUAACAUCGGGGUAACAUGCGAGUGACAAUGAACUAAAACAAAACUAACACUGAAAUAAUACAACACUAAUCAACACGUUGGCAGUGAUGGAAAAUAACUAAAUAAAAAGAAAAAUAACAAGAGCCUUAGAUAUAUAUACUUGAAUCAAUCGUAAACCGUAUGAUGUGCAUUCUUUUCAAAAACCAGAUCAGAUAUCAAGUCUAGUGUGCGGUUCGAUUACUUAAAUGGUCGAACCGACAUUUCCGAAAACUAAUUAAUCACCACCAACAUUAACAUUCAUACAGAUUAAUCACAAUCGACAUCAUCAGGUGCAAUCCAGUGCAGGAGAAACUAAUUGUAUCAAAUUAAACAGAAGAUAUUGCAGGCAGCACUAAUUAAUUAAAAAUCUUCCAAUUAGCUACAAAUCAAUCAACUUACUACGUCAGGCAGUUGACUUCUAUGAUGAUCGCCGAUUAGUAAGGAGGACGGCCGCCGUUACUACCCCAGAAGGCAUCGGCGGGCAAUUGAUUCAUCAAAUUUGGCGGCAACCCGUGGAACAUCGGAUCACCUGACCCGCCUCCCAUACCCGCCUGCUGCUGUUGCUGUUGCGGUACAGUUCCGGGUGACCCGAUCGCCUGACCCGCUCCCGCCAUAUGCUGCUGCGGUGGGUCCUCCUGAUAUUCCANNNNNNNNNNNNNNNNNNNNNNNNNNNNNNNNNNNNNNNNNNNNNNNNNNNNNNNNNNNNNNNNNNNNNNNNNNNNNNNNNNNNNNNNNNNNNNNNNNNNNNNNNNNNNNNNNNNNNNNNNNNNNNNNNNNNNNNNNNNNNNNNNNNNNNNNNNNNNNNNNNNNNNNNNNNNNNNNNNNNNNNNNNNNNNNNNNNNNNNNNNNNNNNNNNNNNNNNNNNNNNNNNNNNNNNNNNNNNNNNNNNNNNNNNNNNNNNNNNNNNNNNNNNNNNNNNNNNNNNNNNNNNNNNNNNNNNNNNNNNNNNNNNNNNNNNNNNNNNNNNNNNNNNNNNNNNNNNNNNNNNNNNNNNNNNNNNNNNNNNNNNNNNNNNNNNNNNNNNNNNNNNNNNNNNNNNNNNNCUGGUGGGGGUCGUUAACGCCUGUCCUGCCGCUCUUCUCGUCAUCAGAGUUGUGUUGUUGCUGUUGCUGGUGGUGAUGGUGGGAGAAUUGCUGGGGGAGGAGAUGGUGGAAAUCUCUGGUGUGGAAUGGAGGCGGGAGGGAAUUAUCGUGGGCCGUCACCGGAUCCAUUUUUUUUUCUUUAAAACAAAAAGGACAACUCUCUGCUUCUUCUUCUUCUUCUUAAUUUCUUUCUCACUCCGACUAUUUGACUAUUUCUUCCUGGUUUUUUUUUACCUUUUGGCUCGGCUGGAUUGUAGGAAUCUACCAUGUUUUAAUUUGUUUAUAAGGUAUUUAGGAUUUUCUUUUCUUUUUCAAACUAUCAAGAUCGGAUACAAGGGGCUUAAUCGAAAUGAUCAAAGUUGGUUUGUCAAAAUUUUCACGAUCAACCUUGAUAGUUGUUUCAUUACUCGUGCAGAAAUGACGACGGGCAUCGUCAAGGGCUUUGAGCUGGCAGGGUCUUUAAGAACCCGACGAUUCUCUGUCCAAUUGGAUUCCAUAGCUGAACUUGCAAUUCUUUAUAAGUCAGUCUUCUUUUGACCAUCAACAUACUAUCUUGUUCUUCAGUUUCACGAGCUCUGCAAUCGUAACAGGGAGAUCGAUGUCCCCCACACAUACCACAAAUCCAAUUGUGCAGCGGAUUACUUGCAAUUAAGGAAUGAUAAUAUCGAAGAUUCCACUAAAUAGGAGGUAUAAUUAUUCUAACAAAGUAUGUAACAGAUAGUAAUUAGAAGUAAUGUUACGACAUAUUCUGUGAGUGAUAAUUCUGCCCAAAUAUGUGUGGUAGUGGACUGAAGUAAUCGGGCAACUUCAGCCAAAUCAAUGUGGAUGGUGAUGGUGGUAGAGAAUCGUUGAGUGGCGGCUACAAGGAUAAUAUGUCGGAUUGCUAAGAACUUUAGGCUAAGUGGAGUUCCUCUAGUGAUAGAGUGUGUCUGAUGAUUGUGAGAUUUAGAGUUUGAAUUCAAUAUACCUUAUAAAAUAAAUAUUAAUAAUAUANNNNNNNNNNNNNNNNNNNNNNNNNNNNNNNNNNNNNNNNNNNNNNNNNNNGUACACACCUAAGGUUUCCACAAGCAAGUUGUGGAUUCCAUUGAGAGGUUUCAUGGUGUUAUUUGAGGUCUUCGAGAAAGGCAAGGAAAAGCAUUUUUCAGCCAGCCUAAGCUAGCUAGGGUUUAUAUUAUUUUGUUAUUAGCUAGUUUGAUUUUUUAAUAANNNNNNNNNNNNNNNNNNNNNNNNNNNNNNNNNNNNNNNNNNNNNNNNNNNNNNNNNNNNNNNNNNNNNNNNNNNNNNNNNNNNNNNNNNNNNNNNNNNNNNNNNNNNNNNNNNNNNNNNNNNNNNNNNNNNNNNNNNNNNNNNNNNNNNNNNNNNNNNNNNNNNNNNNNNNNNNNNNNNNNNNNNNNNNNNNNNNNNNNNNNNNNNNNNNNNNNNNNNNNNNNNNNNNNNNNNNNNNNNNNNNNNNNNNNNNNNNNNNNNNNNNNNNNNNNNNNNNNNNNNNNNNNNNNNNNNNNNNNNNNNNNNNNNNNNNNNNNNNNNNNNNNNNNNNNNNNNNNNNNNNNNNNNNNNNNNNNNNNNNNNNNNNNNNNNNNNNNNNNNNNNNNNNNNNNNNNNNNNNNNNNNNNNNNNNNNNNNNNNNNNNNNNNNNNNNNNNNNNNNNNNNNNNNNNNNNNNNNNNNNNNNNNNNNNNNNNNNNNNNNNNNNNNNNNNNNNNNNNNNNNNNNNNNNNNNNNNNNNNNNNNNNNNNNNNNNNNNNNNNNNNNNNNNNNNNNNNNNNNNNNNNNNNNNNNNNNNNNNNNNNNNNNNNNNNNNNNNNNNNNNNNNNNNNNNNNNNNNNNNNNNNNNNNNNNNNNNNUAUGAAAGUGGUGGAUGAGAUAUUUUCAUUAGACUAACAAUCAUUGAGUUUUGUAGAAUCCAAGGAAAAGUACUAGAGAUAUCGUCAAAGUCGAAAAACGGUGUUUGAGAUAUUUUUGAAAAAAGAUGAGUAAAUAGAUUAAUUUUAGUUUUAUAUAUUCACAGAUCAUUGUAUUCUAUUUUUUAUAUAACUAGUACAAUGCAUUUUUAUGUAUUUAAUAAUUAAACUAGUGGCUGAAUCAAGAUGAUAUGGAUCUAGGCGUGAAUUAUAAGAAAAAGUCAAUGAGAUAUAUGCAUAAAAAAGUCAAUGAAUCAUAUCAUACAAGGCAAUCGAGAUUGAACCAUAUAUGGUAUAAAAAUUGACCUAAUUUUUUUGUACGUAAUGAGGCAAUUGUUUUGUCAUUUUAUUAAUGCUGAAAUUUCAGAAUUUGAAAAUAGACUUACAUUAUUUAAGUAUUAAUAAAUUUAAUUAAGAGGUAUAUUUUCGAUAUGAGUUUACAAGCUGGACAGAAGAAAGCUACAACCAUCGACUCUGUCAGAAGAGCAAACCCGAAAAAAACAAAACGAAUCGAUGGAAACAGGCUUAGUUCAAACAUGACCCGAAAAAUAGAAUUACACUAUGCUCUACCGCUUUAUUUAUCAAAUACAUACAUAUUAAUUAUAUGACUUCGGGGUUAGGAAGUUAUAAAGCUGUAGACCCGCGUAGACACAAUGUCGGGGUUCUAAAUUUUCAUAGGGACCCCCCGGAAUUCUUUCCAACGCCUGUUGAAUAAUUUUUAUGGAUUGGGCCUUGGAAAGUUUUAGUAUAAACAGGAGGGAUUCGCAAAUCCUCCAGACGUAGGGCUCGCAGGGCUUUAAACACGACAUGCUGUUUUUUUCCAUUCAUUCCUUUCAGGAUCAGUCGCGGUCUUACAAACUAUACCNNNNNNNNNNNNNNNNNNNNNNNNNNNNNNNNNNNNNNNNNNNNNNNNNNNNNNNNNNNNNNNNNNNNNNNNNNNNNNNNNNNNNNNNNNNNNNNNNNNNNNNNNNNNNNNNNNNNNNNNNNNNNNNNNNNNNNNNNAAAAUGGUCGACUUACCCCAAUGUAAUUAUAUUUAUUUAGCACACCGUUGUCAAGAUGAACGUUAAUGUGUUGAGAAAAACACAUUCUUCUUAACCCGAAAUGGUUGGGGAGAGGAAAGGUUUACUUACCUUUACCACUGAAUAUGAUCAAGUGUUUCCAUCAACAAGUUAUAUUUGCUGAUAGUUUUACUUGAGCCAUUGCGGUAAAAUUUAUCCUCAAAAGUUAAUUUGAAAAAGAUAUAUUUAAUGAUGUGAUAUUCAAUUGAUACGUAACGCAUUAAUUUGGACCAUCAAAUCAUAUUGAACCGAAUUAAAAUGGCUGACUAACAAUAUUUAUCAGUAAAUCGCUUAACCAAAUUUAACUGUGUAAUAAUAGAAAAUAAUUAGUGAGGGAAGCGACAAAUUAAGGAGGGGGGCGUACCCACGUGAAAAUGUAAUGACUUUACUCACCCUCUUAAUUCUUAUAUAUUACUCUCACUAAUCUUGUCUUUAAUUUUGAAUCUGUUUCUGUCUUUACCUUUUCUUUUCUUUCUUAAAGCUUGUUUUUUUCCUUUUUUUUUAUCGGAAGAAAUUAAGAUAUAUAGUGAAUAUAAAUAAAAAUUAAAAAUCGAUCUAAAUUAUGAGAUCAACCCGCUACAACAUAGGAGAUAUAAAAAGAGCAUGUCACACCAUUUAAAAAAAACAAUUCUAUCAACUGAUUGGCAAACAACUUGCAUCUGGAGUCGAGAGCAUCCCGCUAUAAAGGCACCACUUGCCAUAUACCGUACUCCGCUAAAACAAACGGGUAGGAACCAUCUCAACAUCCUCUUUAAAAUCCACCUGCAAAAUGAAGAACCAAAACAACGCUCGCAUGCAUCGUGUAUGGUUGGAGCUCAAAAUCAUAGAAGUCAAAGAAGUCUAGAUAUGUCAGCCCUACCCUGCUCACACUUCAAAUGACCAACCCCGCCAUCCGAAAUCAAAACCACCUCAACCACAUUGAUUUUGAGUCCGGACAUCGAAAACAUCCCAAUCAAUCAGUCAGUGACCCCCACACCACAUUUUUCAUUGCUCCUAUGCCAUUUCUGUUUUUGGACAUGUAAAUUUCAAUCAUAUUGCAUCGUGUCAUUAUCGUAAUAAAGAUGGAAAACAGCUUAAUUCACAUAAUCGUAUCAAGGUCGGUUUCAGUCGCAUCACCUAUCAUACACUUAAACCAUCAUUGCCGAUAGUCAUUAAUAAUACAAUCAUGCAAAAAUACACAUCAACGCCGGGCAUACACGUUUGGCCGCCGGGGGAGCCAUUAUCCCAAAACGUCCAUCAGUUCCUUAUUUCCUAUUCAAAGGUUCGUCCGCAGAUAUUUCGGCGGGCAAGUAAUAGAGUCUUUUAUUUAAUAAUUCAAAUGACCCUUAGAUAUUUUUAAAAAAUGUCGUCGAUAAUCUUCACACAGUGAUUAUACAUUUUUUGAUAUUUUACUGCUAUUUUUCGUCGGCCCAAAAAGCCUAUUUAUUAAAAAAAAUCAUGCAACAAUACAGAAAUUGAUCACGACCAAGCGGAGUUCUGGGGUGUAAAAGGUGCUGACAAGGAGGGAUGAUGGGCCGGGCUUCAAAUCCAACAAUUUAAGUGUCUCCAUGUUACAGGCUUACAUAAACAGGCUUAAUUAACCCAUGUUAUCUGGCCCAAUCAUUGGUCCAUAAUAUGAUUUUUCUAUACUGUAGGCUUCUAUAUCCGUGGAAAAUCGUACCGAAUUAAUCCAAAUGUUUCAUGGGCUUUCUGAUGUCAAGGAUUAUUACUUAUUUUUAGAGUUUGAUAAUAUCAUUCAUAUCCACGUUUAUUCAACACUAUUGGAUUAAUUUUGCUAAUAUCUAUAUUAAACGAGUUAUGGAGGUGGGUAUAAGGUAUAUCUGCUAAAAAUGAGCGGAGAUGGAUCGAAAAUAAAUUUAGGUAUCGCACUCCAAUAUUACAUCAUUUGGAUAUGAAGCAAUUUCAAUUGAUUCUCACUAAUUCGUCCUCUCAUUUUUCUCUAUUAUCUCUGGUUUAGCUUCAAACAAUUUACUUUUGGUAUGAUAAUAUUUCACCAAAUUGGUCAUUCUCUCUCGUGUGAAUCAAAUGGAUCAACACAUCCUUUUGGCUCUUUUUCGCCAUGGAAGAGUUUUUUUUAAUGUUAAGUCAGUCAUUCAUUCCAUCAAACCUUAAAAAUUUAUUAUAUGAGUGAAUCAGUCAUUUGAAAAGACCAGAUUCCUGAUCGAGACAGUAAUCCAAUUUACGAGCGAGUUGAGAGAACAAAUAGUGAAAACAACUUGUAUCCUAAAAUUGAGGCAAAGGGACGAUUGCAUCGGAAAAAAGAGAGCUGCACAUUCCCACGACCACGAUAGAUCACGUCGGGUGAGGCAAUUCACCAAGGUCUAACAGCCAGAGAAGAUGCCAAUCGAGCCCGGAGAGGAGAUAGCCAAAGAGAUAGCUCCGUGAAAAGCGCGUGCCUCUACAACAAUCGGAGACGAACAAACGAUCCAUCUGGUGCUAUUAGAAAUGUUCCCCUCACUAGUCAUAAUGAUUAAGGAAAGUGGCCAGAUAAAAAUUCGAUAUAAUCAAUCAAUUAGAUAUUUAUCACACAUAUAUCUACAUAAUCGCUUUGAUGAUAAAAGUCAUAAUUAAUCAUCGAAUAGAAAAAAAUGCUUAAUAGGAACUUUUAAAUGAAAUAAAAACUUUGAGUGAUUAGCAUGAAAUCAAUUUGUAUAACUCCUCCUCCACUUUUUCUUUUCAUUUAAAUAAUUUUCCAACCCCUAUUGGGUUCUUUUAUUUAUUUACUGAUUUUGUAUACAGACGUGAAAUGCAAGCGCCACUCUCUCUGUAGCUAUUAAUUUAUGCUUUUCAAUAUUGUUCAAAUUUGUCCUAUUUAUUAUUGCAUUUUUUUUUAAAUCAUUAAAAAGUUAGGUCGGGUUACCGACCAAAAUAGGUUCACCCCAUUCCCACGUCAAGGACAAAGUUUAAGUAAAAUAAAAUACUUUAAAGAGAUGGGCAUUUUAAUUAUAAAAUACAUAUUGCUUACCACAAGCAUUUACUCAAAAAAAUCGUGAUAAUUUUGUUCUUUUCUUCAAGGUGAAAGUAAAGUAAAUAUAUAAUUAUUNNNNNNNNNNNNNNNNNNNNNNNNNNNNNNNNNNNNNNNNNNNNNNNNNNNNNNNNNNNNNNNNNNNNNNNNUUAAUUGAUUCUUGUUUUGGAAGAUGAAAGUGAGUAAUUACGUUGUCUGAUGUUAAAAUUAAUUAUUGUUGUGACGGAGUCAUUAUUGUAGGAGAGUGGUGCAUUUUAAUAAAUUAUUAUUCAUAUAAAUUCAUGAUNNNNNNNNNNNNNNNNNNNNNNNNNNNNNNNNNNNNNNNNNNNNNNNNNNNNNNNNNNNNNNNNNNNNNNNNNNNNNNNNNNNNNNNNNNNNNNNNNNNNNNNNNNNNNNNNNNNNNNNNNNNNNNNNNNNNNNNNNNNNNNNNNNNNNNNNNNNNNNNNNNNNNNNNNNNNNNNNNNNNNNNNNNNNNNNNNNNNNNNNNNNNNNNNNNNNNNNNNNNNNNNNNNNNNNNNNNNNNNNNNNNNNNNNNNNNNNNNNNNNNNNNNNNNNNNNNNNNNNNNNNNNNNNNNNNNNNNNNNNNNNNNNNNNNNNNNNNNNNNNNNNNNNNNNNNNNNNNNNNNNNNNNNNNNNNNNNNNNNNNNNNNNNNNNNNNNNNNNNNNNNNNNNNNNNNNNNNNNNNNNNNNNNNNNNNNNNNNNNNNNNNNNNNNNNNNNNNNNNNNNNNNNNNNNNNNNNNNNNNNNNNNNNNNNNNNNNNNNNNNNNNNNNNNNNNNNNNNNNNNNNNNNNNNNNNNNNNNNNNNNNNNNNNNNNNNNNNNNNNNNNNNNNNNNNNNNNNNNNNNNNNNNNNNNNNNNNNNNNNNNNNNNNNNNNNNNNNNNNNNNNNNNNNNNNNNNNNNNNNNNNNNNNNNNNNNNNNNNNNNNNNNNNNNNNNNNNNNNNNNNNNNNNNNNNNNNNNNNNNNNNNNNNNNNNNNNNNNNNNNNNNNNNNNNNNNNNNNNNNNNNNNNNNNNNNNNNNNNNNNNNNNNNNNNNNNNNNNNNNNNNNNNNNNNNNNNNNNNNNNNNNNNNNNNNNNNNNNNNNNNNNNNNNNNNNNNNNNNNNNNNNNNNNNNNNNNNNNNNNNNNNNNNNNNNNNNNNNNNNNNNNNNNNNNNNNNNNNNNNNNNCACCCCCCCACCCCACCCCUCCCGCCCCCGCGGCGCUUCCACAGCCGCAUGUAUCGGCCGGAGUUCUGCCGGCGACCUUGAUUCCCGGGAAGAAAAAGCGAGGCCGGCCAAGAAAGUACCGCCCAGAUGGGAGUGCCGCCAAGCCACUGUCGCCGAAACCCAUCUCCUCUGCAGCUCCGGCACCGCCACCUGUUAUCGAUUUCUCCGCCGAGAAGCGCCCUAAGGUGGAGCCGAUCGCCAAAAAGUAUGAACCGCCUGCGGAUAAGUUUGGUGAGUUGACAAAAAUCUUUCGCUUGUUUGUGGAUAAAUUUCGAACUUUUGGUGUUUGUUCGGAAGUGGGUUUUUUAUGGAAAAAUUUGUUAGGCGUACGGAAUUGAAGUUCGUUAGCUAGUAGCAGCCGUCCUUUCUUAUCUAUUGACAACUUUAUUUGUGGGGACGUAAAAGGAUGGAUAUCCAUCAAGUUGUGAUCUUUGAUUGAGAGAGUUUGUGGGAAGGUACUGUUGAUUUUGGUGGCCUCUUCUGCUACCGUGACAGAGUUGCAGAAGGGGCUGAUAAGAGGUGAAAAAGCUUCAUGCUUUUCUGGUUCUGGUGACUCAUGAUGACAUAAAACAUCAUAUGCGGUUCUCUCUUUUGUUGAUUAUGUUUCGGGUUGUUGGUUUCGGUUUGUUCUUUCCACCCGUAGACCUUGGUCUUUGACCGCCUGUGUUGGUCAAGUUUGCUUAAAUAGUCGCGCUUUUCCAUGGUUUGGCGGUUUGGUCUUUCCUAGUAAGAAAGUUGUGAACUUUUGAGAAUGGUGUUUGAAUUUUGAUGUUGAUUUUGUAUCAGAACAUGCACCUGUGGGGGAGUGGGUCUCAUGCUCUGUUGGCGCUAAUUUCACUCCUCAUAUCAUCACUGUAAAUGCUGGAGAGGUAAUUCUGCUGCUGCUGCUCUGAAACAUGAUUUGCUUGCAAUCUCAUUCUGCAUGUAAAAUCUGGAUUUUGAAAUAUGAGAUAAUGACCGAUUUAGGAUAUGUUUUGCGUGUGAUGACUUUUGCGAUUCAUGAUCCUAGAGUUUGUUAAGAGUUGGUUAUGACUUUGGUCUGGUUCAUCAUACUUAGGAUGUUACGAUGAAGAUCAUAUCGUUCUCUCAACAAGGACCUCGGGCCAUAUGCAUACUUUCUGCCAAUGGUAUAAUCUCCAAUGUCACGCUGCAUCAGCCUGAUUCUUCUGGAGGUACACUAACUUACGAGGUAAUAGUUUCUUCGUUCCUUAACAUCGCCUUUUACUAUGACGCACAUGGGUUUACUUCGCUAUCGUCGUUGAUUCAAUUGUCGCAGUUGACAGAACAAUUUGCAGGUUGUUUGGUCUUGAACUAUGCAAAACUGACCUCUUCCUAUCGAAUUUCAUUCAUCCAGGGUCGGUUUGAAAUAUUAUCGUUGUCUGGUUCAUUCAUGCCUAGUGAAAGCGAAGGGACAAGGAGCAGAACCGGUGGGAUGAGCAUCUCGUUGGCAAGUCCAGAUGGACGCGUCGUGGGUGGUGGCAUCGCUGGUCUAUUAAUAGCUGCGAGUCCAGUACAGGUUUUGCUUCUUCAUGUUCUUUCCCAUUUGCUCAUUCUGAUCUUUUUGCUUUCUUUGAACACUUUUUAACUUCUGCUCUGGGGAAUCAGGUUGUGGUGGGCAGCUUUCUCGCCGGGAACCAGCACGAACAGAACCCGAAGAAGCAUAAUAAGCACGAUUCCUUUACCAUCACAACCACAUCGGCGACUCACGUAUCUAUUGCUGAUCCAACAUCCGCAGUCACAUCUUCCUCGUUCCGGGGAGAUACUUGGUCUGCAGUCCCAACAGAUUCGAGAAAUAAUAAAAGUGAGAUUAACAUGACUACUGUACAUGCAGGGUGAGCAAACUAAAAACCAUGGAGGUUCCCAGUAUUUACUUACUACUACUGCUACUACUUCCCGCUCGAAGACCAAGUCAUAAGAGAGUUGGUGUAGGAUCAUUGGGAUUCUCACCGCUUAUGUUUUUGUUUGAUAUUCUUCUUACAUGUCUUUGUUGUGUCUUGUCAGCGUUACUUUUGUCUGUAUGUGGGAAAGUUGACUUCUUUUUUCUUUGUUUUUUAUGAAGACAUUUGUUGUUCUUGUUAGAUAUAGAAAAAGGGUUUUAGUGAUUAGCACGUUAGAUAGUGUGAGGCUGCUGAUUACUGUCUCAUUGUACAAUCUAUGCACAAAAUUCAGAUCUGAAUGCAUCCUUUGGUUGAUGGAAUCUAUGUUAAAACAUUCAAUACAAUAACCAACCAAAAAUAUACCAAAACAUUCAAAGCACACUCACUGAAUCUGUUCUUCUCCUCACGGGUACAACUAUGUGCUAAAAAUCGAGCUCUGAAAAUUUUCGGUAAAUCUGACAACUGCAGGCUUUUUCGUUUUAAUGAUAACCAGGAGGCGAUGACCAAGGUGAGCUGUUUUGGUUGUCAACUACGUCGUUAACUAUACUUUGAGGUCGGACUAUUUUGUCUAUGAUGCCAUAGUCCAUGGCCUCAUGAGAUUUCAAGACUAGACCCCCUCUCUUCAUGUCCUGUUCAAUCUGCACAGACACGGAUAUUUACAUACACUGCAUGCAAAAGGAAUCCAGAAACGAACGAGGCAGUAGCCAGAUAGGUCCACAAAAUGAAUGAGACGUAUGAGACUACAAGUUUCCUGACCUUCUCAACUGGCUGUCCGGUGUUCUUCGAGAACUCCUGGUAAAGAUAAUUCUUGAUUCUAACAAGUUCAUCUCUCUCGGCCUUCAUUGCAUCUGCCUGAAAGUAGAAGUCGUCAAAGUCGGAGUUAUAUAUUAGCAAAAAUAUAUUCUUUUAGUGGCCUGCUUCCAUUUAAAGUUUGCAUAGCAACAUUUGUACCUCGCCACGAGCUGCCCCAGCAGGAGCUUCUAGCGUCAGCCUACAGUUAGGCAUUCCUGAUCGAUAUCCCUAUUACAAGAGAAAAAGUGAUUCAGCUAACAUACAAAUUUCAAGGGCGUACAUGAUUUUAAAUGUAAGGCUCGUAAAGGAUCCAAUUAUUGAUCAAUGGGCAACAUCAUGUUCCGCAGUUAUCCAUAAGAUCAAGUAUGCUCUCAUGCGACAUGGAAAAUAUUACACAAGGAAACUAACCAAUGUGUAGCUAUCAAAGUUGGUUACAUCAAUCAGGAUAGUACAAAGCAAUAGCAACGUAAUAUCCAAUUCCGAGUCUGCAGUUAUUCCCAAAAUCUUCUAAAUGGACCCAAGUACUUCCUUCCUGCUUAUAUGUGCACAACAAAGUUGCACCCUGAAACCUUAGAGACUUUGUAUUUAAGCCUUGGGGUCAACAAUUAUCUAGAAAAAGUCACUGAAUCCUCCCCUAGCACAUACACAGAUAUGCAACGGAUGCUUCGAUUUUUCAAAAGUAAGGCACAAUGAAGAUACUAUAUCACGAGAAGAACAUAUGGUGGUGCUGGUAAGAAUUUUGCCAGUUAACAAGAAAUCUUACUUUGUCUCCAGCUGCAAUCAUAAAAGUUGCCAUAUUAUACGAAUACCCUAUGCAGUGGGUACCAAUAGGACUGCUCAAGGCCUUCAUAGCAUCGUAGAUAAUUAAGCUGGGACUAAGCUGCGCACACAAGAAUGCACUCUUAGCUGAAAACACACAGAAGAGCAGUGUUAUAUACCAUAUUGAGGAUAAAAGGUUAACAUAAACUUACAUCUCCACCAGGGCCAUUAAAGUAGAAAUACAUUCUCUUGGUAUCGUCGACGCUAUCAAGAUACAACAUUACCCCCAAUAAUUUGUUGCUGUAUUGUGUAUUGAUCGCCCGAGGGACAAAGAUUAUUCUCCUCCUUUGCUGCAGCAAAUGAUUUUUGGUAAGGUUUUGAGUCAUAGAAGAAAAUGGUUUUGAACCAUCUAAACCAGAGGAAACUCAUCGUCAGAUGAUGUGGUCAACUACUGUAAACUGUGUUACACUAUCAGCCAUCAAAUUUAAGGUCAAACAUCUUUACUACAAUGGAAUUAAUCGGUACACAAACAACUUACAAGGGCUGUAUACACAUCAACAUAUUGCACAGAAUUCUCCCCAGGAGUUUUACUGAGUACGCGUGGUGUACCACCGAAACUCAUUUCGAUUGCUGCUGGCUGUUUGGAGUUUCGAAUCCUGCAGAAAAAAGGCAUAACCCAAAUGAAUAAAGUAGCUGUCUUUACAACCAACAGCCCUAUACUAAAGAUUUACCCGCGGCGGCUUCGACGGAAGAAAUCUGCAGUGGAAUUGGGUGAUAUGGCACCAUAGAGACCUGCAAUUUGAAAGCACAAAGCAAUCACGACAAUGAAGAAGUUUAACGAAUUAGAGAGAGAGAUAGGGAGAGCGAGUGAGGAGAAUAGAACUUGAAGAUUGAGCCUUUAAUCCAGAGCAAAGCUUUGUUCCGAGGCUGAAUACAAAAAAAACAAAGAGGAUUCAAUCCUUAGGAUACGAGGGGAUUAUAAUUUGCAAACAUUGCCAAAUGUUUAGCUUUGGACCUGAGAGAAGGUUGAUGAAGGUUAGUAUUCAGCGUGGACGCCAUUGUUGAUGGAGUUUUCGACAGCUGAGUAGCGAGUUUUACAAGUCUUCUGGGGUUCAAGGAUUAGAAAUGGGGGGGGAUUUGAUUGAAGGUGGCAUAUACUAGUACUAUGCUGGUUCCAGUAUCACAGUAAGACUCAGCCCAAUAGCUAAGGGUACAUGGGUUAGAUUUCACUCAAUAAUUUUACAGUGGAUCAUGUGUUUAAGGGCUUGGCCCUUGUGUUUUUUUAAGAACGAAUUUAAACUGUGCCUCUUCCUUCUACGGCGAUGUCGGCUGCUGUUCUUCUCCUCUUUCUUUCGAGAAUGGAGGAAUGAAUGCAAGAGGAACUAAUGAACAAUUAGAGUAUUUUUUUCCCGGCUAGGCAACAAUUUAUUGAGCAACUCCCGUCUAACACCUUUUUGAACCUUGGAUGAAUCUAAUCCACCAAGCGAGGAGCAAACCCAACACUGUCAUCAAUCAGAAAAGGAAAAACCAAUCAACCUGACCUAAUCUUUUCCCAUGUCAAUAUUAGAUGGUGCAUCAAUUCACGAGCCAAAAUAAUGUUAUAUUUUUAACAUCAAUUAACAUUCUUCACAGUUGCAGGUCAGCGAACCUCUAUCGUUGGUCAUUGGGACCUCACGAUGUUAAUAAUCGAGAUUAUGGAAUCCAAUAACAUGUUAUAGUAUCAUGUAAGGUAUAGGCUCACCGGAGGUGGAUGUGACAACAUCAUUGUAAAGCGACAUGAGAUUAUGGUAGUGAGAACGAGGUGAUUCAAAAGUACACAACUUGAUGUACGAACUUUCUGAUGUUGUAGAACCGGUUGAUUCAAAGCACACAACUCUGAACGUAGAGUACUCUAAGAAGGCAAAUGCGAUAUUUGAUUUUGGCCGACUAUAUCGCAAUAUCUCUGCUGAAUUUCGAGCACACUUUGGGUACACAUUCAGGCAUUCUCUUACCAAUAUUCACUCACCAUUGUGGGGAAACCAUCUUGAACGGCUGCAAUGUUGAUUUCUGCUGCACUUCCUGCAUGGCUGACCAAAUUAUAGGCCUAAUCUGUAAAGUAACAGUUCAGAAUUCCAGCAAACUUCUGCAAAAUUGGGAGUAAAUAGCCGACAAAAAGAAAGAAUCCAGUUGGUUUAUGGGAACAGUACAAGGUAGAAAAGAAGCAGAGAUUUUGAUGAUGUAAAAGCUAAAGCCUUCAGACUGUAUUGAGUAGUGGGUUUGAUUACAUUAAGGGGAUGUAAUUGGAGCCCAGUUCAGUAAAUCGAGCUACAACAACCACACCUCACCCUUUUCAAAUCUCCGUUCUUUCACAAUCAUCAUCAGGCUUGCCAAUAAAAGAGGGUUCAUCACAAGGUUGAUGAGAACCAAGAUUCCUGCAAUUUGCAGGACGAAUCAUAGGCAAAGUGUAAAGAUAGAAACUUUAGACACUGUAUACAUAGGCAAAUGAGCUUUCAACCAGAAAUACUGAAGAAAAGCAAGUGAAGCUGCGUCUGAAUCUUGAUGAAAACCACAAGCAUCUUAGACAGCAUCAAGAAAAGGUAAGAGCUUUGCCGUUCGUAGAAGCAAAUUUAGAAUCCAGAAGUCAAAAACUAAGCUGAAAUUAUAUUUCCCACAAGCUGAAAGAAGAGCAAUCUACUAUCUAAUCUUAGCCAAACAAACUCCCGAACCAUUUUUGUCAAAAAAAGCUAUAAGCUGUUUAUAAUCAACAUAGAUAAGACAAAUGAUCAUCCUGGAACUCCCCCCAUUAUCUCAGUUACACAAACUUCUUCUACCUCAUUCAAUUCAAGGCAGAAAAUGUAUGGACUCUAUAUCUCCUGUGAAUAUUCCGCAACUUAGUCCAUGUCGAAGGGUACAAUUACGCAAUUUAGUCCAUGCUGAAGAGUACAAUUGCGCAACUCAGUCCAUGUCGUGAUCUUCCAAUGCCGUCAAGAUCAUCCUACAGCCACCAAACAAUGUCAAUCCAAAAUUCAACUAAAUGAAUAUCAUCUGAUGAGACCAAGAAAAUCAAAGCAGCGUCAACAUACCAGAAUAUUGCUAGAAAAAGGAGGACGAUGAGGUAGAACAAUUUAUAGAGCCGCUGCUUCUUUUCGGCAUGGAGCAAGUUGAAAACCUCAGUAACAUCUAUCAGAUGUUGUUUUCGAGUGUAUCUAAAUCACAUGAACACAAAGACUAGUAAGGUAAACUAGUCUUGAAGUAUCAAUUACAGGAAGCAGAACACAAAAUAUCUACAAGUUACUACAUACACACAAAAGGGAACAGGAAGCUUGAGGGAAAGAAAACCACAAAUUGCAACAAUAAACUGGACGAUAACAGAAAGAGCAAGCUGAAACGAUAACAGUAGUGACUAAGAAAUAGCAUCAGAUAUUCAGAUUAGUUCAGUAAUUCAGUUAAUAACCUAUCUAAGUUUUAGCUUCAAUAUGAAUGAUAAUUAACCAGAUGAUUAUCUACGCAUGAAUGUUCUAUAGGAGUGCUCAAAGGAACAAAUACCACUCGAACAUAUACAAAGAAAAAUGGCUAACUUACAGCCUGACGUUGUAGUAGAGGUAAGGAGCACACAAGAGAGCCAUACACCAAUGCCCUGUGAGAAGGUAAAACAAGCACAAAGCUCCUUCCGUGAUAUACUCUGGCAAAAUCACUUUGUUUACCCUCGAUGAAGAGUCAUAUGGAUUGAUGUAAUCGAACUCCAAAUCUGCCAAGCACAUCAGCUGCCAGCACAAGCCCAUAAUAAACACAAAAGAAAUAAGAACUAGAACUCGCCCACAUUACAAGUAAAUACAUAAUUCAUAAAACAUGGUCUAAUUAUUCUGAGUAACCGCUUCAAGCAAGCUAUCAAGGCUACAGAAGAAGUUCUUUCUAGACCAAUAACCCUCUCAUGGAGAAGAAGAUGAGAAAUCGAGUCAAGUUUCCAACUUUCAUCUAGAACUAGAACAAAGAUGAACAACGAAAAAAUGACAACAUUUGAGUAGUAAUUCAAUCAAUAGAGCGGGGGAUAGGGGAGAAUAUAAACCUGGAAGACGAUGAUGACGAGUAGGGCAAUAAGGAAAAAGAAGGAGAUUAGCCAUACGUAUAGAUCUCCCAUGCUCCUUCUACCCUACUCUGCCUUUCUCUUUAUCUCUUCUGUUCUUCUUCUUCUUCCUCCUCCUCAACAAUUGGGUUGACGGAGGUGCGCGAGAUUAAGCUUGCCGGCGAUGCCUCCUGGCUUAUUGUGGUCGGCUCUUCUCGAUCUCUCUUCCCAUCUUCAAUCCGACACUGUAUAUUUCGUUUCUGUCCGCUGGUCUCUGGCUUUCUUUUCUUCCUUUAUUUUCUGAAAUUACUUUUUUUUUUCGUUACGAGGGAGGGAACAUGAGUCUUAAUAAUUAACUAGUAACCAAUAUUAUAAUUUCGAGAGGUGGAGAGUUACUAAGUUCAUUAAAAUUAAAAUUUUAGUUUAUUUUAAAAUAAUUAUAAAAAGGUAACCAAUUUGAAAAUCUUAAAUACUAAAAAUAAGUAUAUUACAUUAUNNNNNNNNNNNNNNNNNNNNNNNNNNNNNNNNUUUUUUUUAAAUCGUCAUAAGAAGGUUUUUCAUCGUCAGAUCUUCAAAAAUAAUUUGAACCGUCUAAAAAUAAUCAAAAGCAAAAUCAUAUGAGAAAUACAUAGGCAUUUGUGGUUCCCCUAUGGCUUUAAAUUUAUUUUAAUUUUAAUAGUUUAUUUUUUAUUUUUUUAUUUUUUCUAAGACACACACAGAGGGAAAGAAGAGUAUGAUCGAUUGCUAAAUGUAUUUAAUUAUUUAAAUAUCUCAUUCAAAUAAUCUGUAAAGUUUAAAAAAGAAACUAAAGAUAAGAUAGUAUAAAGGCUUUUUUGUUAAGAAAAGGGAACAAAACAAAUAUCUUGAGAUGAAGAAAUAAAAAGUCUUGCAGUCACCGUUGAAUCCAUGAAAAUGAAAGUAGGUGUGGCGCCGAUAUAUACAACAACGAAUAUGGCCUAUCCGACAGCCUUGAACUCAAACGUUAAUGGCUCUGUGAUGUCGGGAAACACUUUGACCCGAGGCGACGAGCACAUGGUUAGUUGCAUUCUGGAGUUCCAAACCUAUGGUCCUCUGGCUUAACGGUCAAGCAGCUGCAUCCACAUGUAUCUUCGAAGGGCGGACACUUGUAGCAACCACCUGCAAAACGUUUCAAGUUGGUGACUCCAUCCAACUACUCCCAGGCAAAAUUCCUAAUCGCUUCUCUCUGACAGCUUUUCUCAGACAUCUAACAUCACCCCAUUUCCCAGCUGAUGCAUAUAUGUUAGCAAGAAGAGAAUAAUACGCAGCUGUAUUGGGUUCCAACUCAAGGCAAUGGUUAGCUGCAAUCUCUCCAAUCUCCACAUUGUUAUGUACUUUACAAGCAAGAAGCAAAGCUCCCCACACCUCUGCACGAGGCUGCAUUGGCAUGGUCUUUAUCAUCUCAUAUGCCUCUUCUAAUCUUCCCGCUCUACCAAAGAGAUCGACCAUGAUCGCGUAAUGGUCGUUUGAAGGCAUCAGAUCGUGGCCCUUCAUCACGUGAAAGCAUUUGUAGCCUUCUUCGACCAUACCGGAGUGGCAGUAUCCACUUAAAAGCCCUGUAAAUGUGGCUAAGUUGGGUGGCACUCGAGCUUCCUCCAUUGCUUCGAACAACUUGAUGGCUUCGUUGAUUUUGCCGUUCAUUCCAAACCCAGAUAUCAUUGCGCUAUAAGCAACCACAUCUUUCUUGUUUAGCCUGAUAAACAUUUCUUUUGCUUUCUCGAUGUUUCCACAUUUCGCAUACAGGUCGAUCAGUGCAGUAUUCAAUUGAUCAUCUGUAUCAAUUCCGACAUUCCUUAUAUACGACUCCUCGAUCCAUGACCCGAAUGUCAAGUCCCCAACUUGCGAGCAAGCAGAGAUAACACUAACCAGAGUGAUCUUAUCAGGAUGGAUAUGUACCUGAGUUUUCAGCAUCUGGUUGAACAACUGAAGAGCCUCCUGUGGUCUGCUAUUCUUAACAAGACAGGAAAUCAUGGCAUUGAAUGACAAAAGAUCUUUCUUAGCAAGAUUCCGAAACAACUCCUUGGCAGAGUCAACAUCUCCGCAUUUUGAGUAGCCAGAUAUCAUCGUAAUCCACGAGAUAUUAUUCCUUUGGGGCAUUUCAUCAAAGUAGCUUCUUGCUGUCUCGAUCUCACCCCAAUCAACUAGUCCAGAAAUCAUUGCAUUCCAGGACGCUAAAUUUCUUUCAGGCAUCUGUUGAAAUAUAACAGAAGCUUCGUCUAUAUUCCCCACCCCAGCAUAUCCAGAUAACAUCGAAUUCCACGACACAACAUCUUUCUCCGGAAUCUGAUCAAACACCCUUUUGGCUUCAUCUAAGUUCCCGGACUUCAAAUACCCUGACAGAAUCGAAUUCCACGACACCACAUUUUUAUCUGCUAUCUCAUCAAAAGCCUUUUGUGCAGUGUCCAUUGCACCCAGUUUUGAAUAAAGAUCAACAAGGGCUGUUUGUACAUAGACACAGCUGCCAAACCCGUACUUGUAAGCUUGAGCAUGAAUCGAACAGCCAGCAGUCGCAUAUGAGAUCCUACCACAAGCCCUCAACGUAGAACAUACAGCAAUUGUACUAUGACAAAGUCCAAGUCUCAACAUUUCAACGUAGAGACAAAAUGAAUCCUUGAACUGACCUUUCUGGGAGAAGUACCUAAUUGCGCAGCUCCACGAGAAGGCAUCUGGAUUACUUGAAAGGUAAAGCAAGCCCCGAACAUAUUGUGCAAGACUUGUGGAGUAGUUGGUGGCUGAGAGUAGGAUUUGGCGUAUCAAAAGUGGUUCAAGAUAAUGGAGUCUGCUGAUAAUCAUACAUCCAUGGAUUUGUUUCGCCUGAUGAACAGUGACAUGUUUACUCAGUAAGGUUUCCAAUUUAUGAACCAACAUUCUAGUGUAACCUCAAACAAAACCUAGCUGGUAUGGCACCAUUAGCAUACUCCUAAGUUCAUCAAAAGGGUAAUGGAUUUCAACCUUUCCAUUGAAGAAAAAUUUAACAGGAAUUACUUCCUUUCUACUUGGCGACUCAGCAGGCAAGAAUUGAGCAGAGAAGGAUGUAAGAGAGGAAAAACUUCAGAUGAAUGUCCAUAGAAAAUCAAUACAAGAGUUGGGGUUGCGCAAAAUCAUGAACUACUCAAACCGAGAUAUCGAAUAUAUAAAACAUCAAAUUGAGCAAAUGGGCUCAAUCGACGAACGGCAGAAGAACUAACUGUGGGAAAGAAACUAGCUUUCAAGUUUCAAAUGUUUUCAUCAUCGAGAGGUUUCUACAGCUAGGAGUAUUCAAUUCAAACUAAUGGACAGCUACGAAGUAUAAACGAAGAAGAGCAAGGAGAUUUACUUACCCAAAAGCUAUGAAGAUGAAACCGUACGGACUUUCGUUACCGGGAGUCGACGGCGGUUGGCUAGCUGCGGACGGCAGGCAGGAGGAAGGGCCGCCGAGCCGAGCCGGGAAAAGACAAAUCCGAUGCAUAUUGGGCCUCACCAAGAACAAAGCUCGAUAAAUAAACACAGCCCAUUAACAGAAGCCCGAUAUUUAUUAGGCCUUGUGGUGGAUUUCCGGGUUCGACUCCCGGCAGUGGAAGGGAUUCUUUUUGCUUGAUGAAGGAAUUUCUUCUGUUCUGUUAUUAGUUUAGGUGCCUAUGCCUAACUAUUUAUCUCCUUCUUUUUACGAAUCAAACAUGAUGUUCUCAUUCAUAAAUUAAACAUUUGAGUAAUUACACUGAUACAACUGCGAGGCACUUUCUAAUAAGAAGAAGCAUGUAACUAAUAGUAUUUCGCAUUCUUAAUCUUCAUGACCAUGAUCGGAUCUAGACUCGAUAAACUAGAUCAAUAUCACUGCUACCCCAAUUCUAGAUGAAAACCAAAAGUAUGACAAAACAAGACGAACGUUUUUGUAAACCAAAUCAACAAUUCAAACAAUAUAACAAACUAAGAAGGAACGGAGAGGGAUACAUCGCCCAUGGUGGAUUGACCGGUGAUCCACUUAGACGAUAUUUUUAGAAGACUAGGUGAGUCGCCUCGAGCUGACUCGCCUGUACUUCAAAUCUAUACGGAUCCAGCGAUUUCAGUGGAGCAACAGUGGUGAUGCGGCCGGUUGUCGUCAGGGUCAUCUCCGUCUUCUUCCCCGAUCUCGGCAUUCCCUCCGAUAUGCAAAAAUCCCACGACGGCCCCGAGGACAAAGCUAAAACCCUAGUUUGGACAAAACAACUAUAAUAUAGUUUAAGAUGUUUUAUGCGUAUUCUCUUGAAAACUUGACUAUAUAUCUACUGUAAAUUCCUACUUGACUUACUAACCCAGCUUGUGAAAGUAAACUAGCCAAGCUAUAUAUGUCCAAAUAACAUAUAUAGUCAAGUGCUACAAGGAUGUAAUGCUCACUUUCUGCUAAGUCGUCGGCCCGCUGCAGCUCUUCUCCUAUCCUUCAAUCAAGGUCAGAUUACACUUCAAUGAUUUCGGCAGAGAAUUCUGAUUCUUUUUUGUUAACUUUGAAUUUGUAAUUCUUUCAAUUUCAGAUGGUCGGAAUUCGUACCGGUCUGCCUCUGCCGUCGGGAUGGGAGAUUCUGUCACAAUUGCUGGUUUACUUCAUGAUUGAGGAUUAUACGAAUUACUGGAUCCAUAGGCUGCUUCAUUGUAACUGGGGGUACGAGAACAUUCACAAGGUUCAUCACGAAUACGUAGCUCCGAUUGCGUUUGCUGCAACGUAUGCUCACUGGGCUGAGAUUCUGAUCCUCGGCAUCCCGACUUUCUUGGGUCCGGCUACGGUUCCUGGACACAUUAUCACAUUUUGGCUGUGGAUCUCUCUCAGGCAGAUGGAAGCCAUUGAAACCCACAGCGGGUAUGGUGAUUAAUGACGUUAAUAAUAUUUGCAUAUGCACAGUAGUAAUGAAUUAUCUUUGCAGAUAUGACUUUCCUUGGAGUCUUAACAAAUACAUCCCAUUCUAUGGUGGAGCGGAGUACCACGAUUACCAUCACUACGUUGGAGGGCAAAGCCAGAGCAAUUUCGCAUCGGUCUUCACCUACUGUGAUUACAUCUAUGGAACUGACAAGGUGAGGAAUUUUCCAUUUUGAAUCAAGUGAAGGAGUAAAUAUACUGAUCUUGUGUUGUUGGUUUCGCGUAGGGAUAUCGAUAUUAGAAGAAGAUCCUGCAGAGAGUACGAAUGCGAACCCCUGUUUGUUUUAUCGAAUUGAUAAACAUGAUUUAGUUUUUCUGAUGUUGGUUUUGGGUUUUAUGAUGAUAUCAGAUGCAAGAGGAAGAGGGAGGCUUAAAGUUGGAGUAGAUUGUAAUGCAGAGCUGCUUUAAGUAGAAUAGAAGGAGUUGGUGUUUCUCUGAAACAGAGUUUUCUCUCUGUUUUCUAUAUGGAACCAACUAACAUGGAUCGGCGGAUACAAUGGGGGCCUCCCUCAAGCUGCUGCCGAGCCCAUUUUCCGAUUUUGAACACGUAAUUUUUCUUAUAUUUUAUAGGUUGAUUAUUAUAUUUUCUAUAUAUAACUUAGUGUUUCUUCAUUUUUAUACAAUUCGACCUAAUAUAUCAAACCAUUUUAGAUCCAUCGUUAGGAAGUGUUUUCAGAAGUUUCGCACAAAAAGUUCUUAUCCAUAUGCGAAGUUAUCCUAGUUUGGAGUGAUGUAUGGACUGAAGUGUUCAGUUUUUGUUAAUAUGAUACUUGUGUUAUCCGGAAGGGAAUUUAUUUAGUAUUUAAUCUAUUCAGUAUUUACCCCAGCUGAAGAAGAAGCUUAGUAUGUUUAUGUCAAAAAACGUUUUUGAGUGUCAUAAAAAAAAAAGCACGUCUAGCUCAGUUGGUACAGCGCAAGGCCAUUGACAUUGACUUCGUGGUUGUGGGUUCAAGCUCCAUGGUGGGUGACAUUUUUUAUUUUUUCCCCUCCCAAUUAGCUUGUUAGUUAAGUGGCGGCAGAAACUGUAUUUAGAAGAGCGAAUUAAAAUAUAAUUUUUCUUAAUAACGUUGCAAAAGAAAUAAAACUUUAAUCUCAUAAUUUUUCCUCAAUUAAAUUAACCAACAAAUGAGUAGAAUACAAGAAUUAAUCUAACCUCUUCAUUUUGACGAAGUUUAUAAGUACUUGCAUAAACUCCAGAUGGUUGGAAUUCGGGCAGACCUAAAGUUGCCGACACGAUGGGAAAUUGCGGCGCAGAUUCUCGUAUACUUCAUCGUCGAGAAUUACGUGAGCUACUGGAUACACAUGGGUCUUCAUUGUAGAUGGUUAUACAAGAAGGUUCAUGAGGUUCAUCACGAAUGCACUGCUCCGGUUGCGAUUGAUGCGGUGUACGGUCACUGGAUUGAUACGAUGGUGCUCGGACUCCCUUCUUUUGUGGGGCCGGAACACGUGGUAACCCUUUGGUUGUGGUUUUCUGCACGCCAGCUGGAGGCACUCGGAACCCACUGCGGGUACGUACGUGAGUUAGAAUAUAUGCAUGCAUGUUGUGGUUUUGCAUGUUACGUAGGUAAGCAUUCCUAAUUUGCUUUUAACUGUCACUUUUAAGUAUGAUAUAAUUGUUGGCUACCUUACGAGCUUAAUUUUGCAGGUUAUGAGAAAUAAUUUUCAUUUUUUAAUGAAAAAAAAUAAUGGUUAUUACGUAAGUAUUAUGUAACGCCUUUUAUUUUUACGUGUAACAUAUUUAAUUUUAUCUGUUAUGUAAUAAAUAAUUAUUUUUAUAUAAGGAAUAAAUAUCGAUAUGUAAGCCUUAUGUAACAUGUUUAAUUUUGUCUAAUGUGUAUAUACAUGACCUAAUGUGUAUAACUAGAAAGAUCAUUAAAUUAAUAGUUGACCGAGUCUUGACUGGAAAACAACCAGAAUUCUUCGAGGGAUAUCCUUCCAAGUUGAGCCUAGAGAACUAAAUUAAUGAGCCGGCCCAGAAAUUCGGCCCACAAAAUUUUUGUGUGUGUGAAAGUUUAGCCCAACAUUUGGCUGGCUGAAAUGUUCUCAUUUGAUUGGUCUUAUAAACACCGUAUUGCUGAUUUCCAUUCCGUCCCGUUUGUUAAAGACGGACACUGGACACUUUUAUAAUAUUUAUUUAUUAUAUUUUAUUUUGUAUUGAUUGAAAUAUUUACUAAAAUAUUAUCGUUUGGUUGCGUCUUAUAGAACUUCACAAGUAGAGUAUAAUUUUAUUUAUUUUCGGCAGUACAUCAAUAUCAUCAUAAAACCCUAAAUCCUAAAUUUUCAAAAUGGUACAUAUUUACGAAUCGUUAGUGGUUUGAUCAGAAACCAAAAGACACAAUAAUUUUGCUUUCAGACUAUUAGGUAUCUUUUCCAGAGCAUCAUUUCAUUUAGGGGGUGGGACUGGGACUUAACAAUCAGUGUAUUAUUUCUCACCUUUUUCUAUAUAUAAUCUGUACACGUGUCGCAGAUCAAUUGGAAAUUAUUAUGUAUAUUUCAAACAUAUAAAAUUAAAAUGACAAAUAGGCUCCCAUUUGACUACCGGCAAGUAGGUAAUUAAGUUGGAAGAUAUUAUUCCUUAGGCAUAAUUUUGUGGAAACGGUUGUGUCUUCUUUGAUCAGAUUUGCAUACGGUUUUUUUAUUGAAUCGUUAAGGUUCGAAAAAUAAUAAAAGUGAGAUUGAAAAUUUGUAUUGGACAUAACAACACCGGACAUGAAGCCCCCGUCAGUUGCCAAUCGACCGGGGAGAUUGUAGCAUAUGUUACCAUCAACAAUGUCAAUUUAGGUCGUGUACAAUAAUGAGACUCAAUUUAGGGUGAAACAUGGGUUUCCGGCGAAUAUAUCUUGAGUUGGAUUCAUCUAUAACAAUCUCGAGUAUUUAUAAGGUUUUAGACACUAGACUUGUAUCCACAAAACUCGAUGGCUCUUGCAAAAGGAUUAGAAUGUGCUUAUUUCACAUAUGUUUCGAGUUGAUAACCGACUAGCUUGCUCACUUUGGACACAUGGGACGUUCUUUCUAAAAAAAUAUUUGUUACCCUGAUUCAAUAAUUAUUUUACUCAUACCUACUUUGCCCUUAUUUACCACCACAAACCGUAACGUUACGAAAAAUCCAGAAUACAAAGAAACGACGGUCAACAAAUCAAGUUAAUUAACCAAACCGAAAGCUGAGGAAUCAUUCAACUGUAUUGUAUUAAUUAAAUUAUUAAAAGCAACAAAGUGGUUUUGUCUUUGGAGAAGGGACCCGUGCCGGAGGCACCGAGGCAGUGCGAAUUGGACUCAGGACCCAGGAGUAACCAACUCCACAAUCCAUCUUAUUAUCGAUUGUUUAAUGUUGAAUCGUAUAGAAGUUAAAAAUAUAUUAAAUUAUAUAUAAAAAAUAUAUUAACCAACCUAUAAAUAUAAGAAAAACUACAUAAUAUCAAUGCUCGGAAAUGAAAACUAUUCGCCCCACACGAGGUUUCUGAAUAAGUGAUUGUCUGAUAAUGAGCAAGAAAUAUACGUCUUUCCGCUAAACAGAGUGCAUUGAACUCAUAAUUCAUUAGAAACUUUUUAUGAAUGUCAACUAAGGAUCGUAAGUAAAUUGCUCCCGGCUCUUCAAUCAUUUGAUAACCGGAGUCAUUCUUUGAUAAAUGAUCACUAUGAGUCAGACUCAAUAGAAUUUGAUCAAUCCUUUUUUCUGUCGUUAAGGUGACGAAAUGACGGAAUAAAUCUCUUUCUUUAUCCUCAACCAACUCACUGGUCGCGAUAAAGGAUUCUAUUGGAUCAUCAAUCCAAUCACUGUUUUUUUUUUUUUUUUUUUUUUGAAAACAAACGAGUCCAAUGUCAAACCAAAGACCAGUUCUUGUCAUCCAACUUCUUCAGUCAAAAUUAUAAACCUUUUAACACAAAAACUUUGAAAUUCACACUUUAUUUCUUGUGUUCUUAAGUGGGUGUCAAACAAUGAGUUGGACCAAAAAUGCUUUAAUUAUAUAUAUGAGAAAAAUUGAGCCAUAAAAUGCUAGAAAUACAUAUGAAGUUUUGAAGUCUAAUCUGUUCAAAUGGAAUUAUUAAAGUGGUAGAACGUAUGUUUGAUGAUUCUGAAUUUUAAGAUUUGAAUUUAGUAUACUUUACAAAAUGAACACUUAAUAUAAUAUCUAUUUCCUUUAUAUUGACCAAAAUUUUUGUCUAUUUCGAAAAAAAAUCUACUCCACAAAAUUUAAAAAACCCAUAAAAGAUGAACUAAAAACAAUUAUAUAUUAGAGUAAAGAUUUUAAAAUAAAAAUAGAUAAACAAAGUGAAUGUAGGUUUGGACAAAAGUGGCUGAAUAUUAUGCUGGUAAUUGGUUGUUCUUUCCAUCAUCUAUGUGUUACCGAUUUUAUAAUUAGUAUUAACACUUGGUAGGUGACAGUUGGAUAUUGACUAUAUACCGUACGGCCUAUCCCAUCACGAACUUGUUAUCUACGUAUAAUCGACGUGAAGCUAUAGCAAUAUGAUGCAAGCAUGUAGCUAUUUCAACACAUACAUAGGGAUCGUUUGAAGAUGGUGAAGUUAGCGACGGGGUACCAAUGCUCGAACCAGAGACUGGUUGUCUGUGUGGCAACCACAUAACGAAUCAGCCCAGGUUCGCUUGGUUCAACACACAUACACUGCACUGUGUUUUUUAAAAUAAAAAAGACACUACUUAUAUUAUCAAUGCUUUUGGCCAAAGAUGCUCGUCUUGUCAAACGAACUUUUAGGAGGACUACUACUCAUAACGGGUAAAGCACGUUAGCACAAAGAGUUAGCAAAAGUAAACCCAUUUGUGGUACCCGUCAUCCCAAAUAAAGGAAACCUUGAACGGAGACUUACAAUCUAGACACUAAAAACUAUCCGAUUAGAGAACCAAGAAAUAAAUAAAUGUUCAAAUAGAAAUAAAUGUUGUCCAGGCAUGCCGGUGUCAGUUUUUUGGGUGUUCAUGGAUACCCUCCAACAUCGCCGCCUGUUCUUCCUUAAAAAAACCUUAGCACGAGCCUGUCACCAAGAAAGGAUGCUUGGGUUGCCGUAGUAGCUAGUGCGAGGGAGUACAAUGGUUGGCGGCGACAAAAAAAAACUAUAUAAAUAUGAGAUAGAGCAAAGGCGGGGAUUCAAUGGUAAUGGAGAAGCAAAAAGGCAAAGAGCGAAUCUCGACAAUAAAGAUAAAAAUCAAUACUUAUGCAACCUAUCAAUACAUAGACUACACAUGUUAACAACACUACAUGAAUUGUAUGAACUUUGAACAAUGAUGAUGAGUUCCCACACUACUCAAUUGCAAUCGAGAAAUAACAAGGCAAUGAAGUUCAAAGUAGUCAACCAAAAAAAUACAAAAAAUGUGAAAAACGUAUGGCUAUUGUGUCUCCUCCUACCAAAUAGGAUCUUUUCCUUCUUUAGCAAUCACUCUAACCAAUCCCCUUUUUCCUAUUUUUGUUUUUGAAAAAUACACAUUUGUAUACCUAAAUUAUGUGAAAUUUAUGUCGUAACCAUAUACUAAAUUUUAACCCUUUANNNNNNNNNNNNNNNNNNNNNNNNNNNNNNNNNNNNNNNNNNNNNNUACCCUUUUGUAAAUUUUUUCAUUUAAAUUUUAUUCAAUAUGAUAAUUGUACAUAUCACAUAAACUUAUCUAUACACGUGGCGAAAUUGAAUUUUGUAUAUUUAUUNNNNNNNNNNNNNNNNNNNNNNNNNNNNNNNNNNNNNNNNNNNNNNNNNNNNNNNNNNNNNNNNNNNNNNNNNNNNNNNNNNNNNNNNNNNNNNNNNNNNNNNNNNNNNNNNNNNNNNNNNNNNNNNNNNNNNNNNNNNNNNNNNNNAAUUUUAUAUAGUUUAAUAUGUUAAAAUUUAGUAUAAAUGCCGAUAUAAAUUUUACAUGACGCUCUUCCGAUCUGAGUAUCCAAAUUUACAAAAAUGAAUGUGCAUUCCUCUCUCUAUGUUGCUCUGCUACCUACUCUUGGAUUAAAUCCCAAUUUGAAUAAUAAAUAGAUAAAUGAAAACAAGUGCAAUUUGGAAUAUUAUAUUUGGACUAUCCGUAUAAUAAUAAUAAUAAUAAUAUAGUACUAUGAAAUGGAAGCCAAUAGCAGACAUGAGAAAUAAUUGCAAUAAUAAAUAAUAUGAUAAAAUGGAUAGAAUCUCACACACACUUUGAUUAAAUAAUAAAUAAUAAUUUUUCUGGGUUGGUUGGCAGCAGAAACUCCAAUGGAUGGUUGUUUGUCUCUUGUCUUGGUCAGAUAGCAGCAUAUAUAGCAGAAGCCACACCUGAAGUUGAGUCCAGUUUCAGUCUAACUUCUAACUUUCAUUUUUUAUUUCAUACAUUUAAUUAAUUAUAUAUAUGAAAUUAUAUCUUCAUUAAAUUCCUUUAUUUUCCUUUUUUGCCCAUUUUCUGAACCAACCCACAUGAAAAAGCAAGUCACAAAUGGAAACCUAUCCCAUUCAACUUGGAGAGUAUGAAAUCAACGAAAAAGACCAACUACAUACAUCAAAGCAAUCAACUUUUGUUUUCACAAAUUUUGAAUCUGCUAAAAAUACUUGUAUAUAGUUGAUGUAUCCAAAAUUGUCCGGGGAAGACGAAGGUUGCAAUUUCGUGAUGGCUUUAUCGAUUUUGUCGGGAGCAUUGUUUCGGCAGGAUAUAUGAUGGCUAUAGGCGGGAUAUUUUAGCUUUUAUUGACUAGAGCUGAAAUGAAGGGGAUGGAACGAGAUUGGAAUAUAAGAAUUCGACAAUUGAACAUUCAAAUGGACUCACAGUGUGUUAUCACUCUGUUACAAAACACUGACAACGGUGAACAUCAGCAUGUCAACUUUAUGGCAAGAUCUCAUAAUCUAUUUCGAAAGGAUUGAAUGAUUGGUUCUUGAUGAAGCUAAUCAUGUCUAUAUAAAUGUGAUUAGUAAUAGGUUUAUGUUUAUACUUUAUAUAGUUGAUGAAAAACAGUAGAAAAAAGACAAGAAAACCCCCUGCUCUACAAGGUCCAAAAAAAAGAAAACUCACAACAAAUUAUGUUUUGAAAAAAAAAAUCAAGAAAUAAAAUAUAAAGAUUAAAUAAAAAUAAAGGUAAAAGGGGAAAAUAAUAAAGGCGAAGGAACAUGAAAAGGAUGCCAAAACUAGAAUCCUUUUUAAUUAUUACGGAGCGUGAAGUUCACUCAUCCAAUCACCAUGGAGUGACAGCCAUAUUGUCAGUGUUGAUUUCGUACGUCGGACUGUGGUCUUACUCCACUGUAGCAGUCUCCAUCAACCAUAACUCCUUCCCCUCCCCCCACGCGCAGCCAACAUCCGCGUGAGAGCUCAUGCCUCCUUCUUCUUCGUCUUCUUUGAACUACUGCUUAAAGAAACGCAAUUUGCGCUUCCCUUUCUCUUUCUCUCUCCUGUCUUUGAAUUUUCUAGUUUUCCCCACACAGAAACGUUUCCAAAGCUCGAGACUUUACAGAUCACCACCGGCCUCCAUGGACAACGCUCGCCGGACGAGCAACACUGGGCGGAACCCACCGACGGCCUUCCCCAGCUGAAUGCACUCAAAAUAAGGGGGAGAAAAAAGGGAACAUAAACGUUACAAAAGCUCGUACCUUUUAUCAAUAAACAUACGAAGUCGUCCAAUUGUCAGAUUUUCCCCCCCUUCUUUAUUUUGCAAUAAUGGCGGCGACCAGUAACAACGCAGCCUCCGCCGCCGCGGGGGACGAGAGGGGGGGGAAGGGGGGGGCACGGCGGCGAAGGCGGCGCAGAAGAGGUACGAAGGGCUUGUGAUGGUCAGGAACAAGGCGAUAAAGGGGAAAGGGGCGUGGUAUUGGGCUCACUUGGAGCCGUUACUUGUACACAACGCCGAUACCGGACUCCCCAAAGCGGUCAAGCUCCGGUGCUCCUUAUGCGACGCCGUUUUCUCCGCCUCCAACCCAUCCCGCACGGCCUCCGAGCACCUCAAGCGCGGGACUUGCUCCAAUUUCAACGCCUCCAUUCCAAAACCCAUUUCCUCAAUCUCCCCUUCUCCUCCUCCGUCGUCGUCAACAUUCAGCAGGAAGCGCUCUGCCGUUUCUUCUCCAAGUCCGCUCACCGUCGUCGAUCCAUCGCGGUUCUCCGGCGAGGCAGCGGCCCCAUUACCGCACCAGCACCAUCACCAGCAUUUGGUGCUCUCCGGCGGGAAAGACGAUUUGGGCCAUCUGGCAAUGUUGGAGGACAGCGUCAAGAAGCUUAAAAGCCCCAAGACUUCUCCCGGGCCGGCGCUGAGCAAGACCCAAAUCGAUUCCGCCGUCGACUAUUUAGCCGACUGGGUCUACGAAUCGUGCGGCUCUGUAUCCUUUUCCAGCCUGGAGCAUCCAAAGUUCCGAGCUUUUCUCCACCAAGUGGGUCUCCCGGCGGUUUCCAAGAGGGAUUUGGCCGGAGGGAGACUCGACGUCAAGUUCGAGGUCGCAAAAGCAGAGUGCGAAUCGAGGAUUCGAGACGCAAUGUUCUUCCAGGUUUCUUCCGACGGUUGGAAAUCCGGAGAACCCAAUUUGGUCAAUUUGGCAGUGAAUUUGCCCAACGGUACGAGUGUUUACCGUCGAGCUGUGUUCGUGACCGGUUCGGUCGGUUCGACGUAUGCAGAGGAUGUUCUGUGGGAUACAGUGAAAGGAAUCUGCGGCAAUUUCGUCCAACAAUGUGCUGGAAUCGUAGCAGACAGGUUUAAGGCCAAGGCAUUGAGGAAUUUGGAGAAUCAGCAUCACUGGAUGGUUAAUCUCUGCUGUCAACUUCAAGGGUUCAAGAGUUUGAUCAAGGAUUUAACCAAAGAGCUUCCUUUAUUCAAAUCCGUUUCCGAGAAUUGCUACAAAUUGGCAAAUGUGUUCAACAACAGAACACAGUUUAGGAAAAGCUUGAAUAAGUAUCAGUUGCAGGAGUAUGGCUACUCAGGAGGGUUGAUAAGGGUUCCGUUUUCGAAUUUUGAAUUCAUGUCUGUCUUCUCGAUGAUUGAUGAUGUGUUGAGCAAUGCCAGGGCAGUACAGUUGGUUAUCCAGCUGGACGAAUCUUUGUCCGUGGAAGAAGAAGAACCCGAAGCAAGGGAAGUCGCUGAUAUGGUCGAGGAUGUCGGGUUCUGGAAUGAACUGGAGGCGGUACAUUCGCUGGUGAAGAUAAUUACGGACAUGAUUCAAGAAAUCGAGUCCGAGAGGCCGUUGUUGGGGCAAUGCUUGCCACUCUGGGAAGGGCUGAGAGCUAAAGUGAAGGACUGGUGUUCGAAAUUCGCAAUAGGAGGAGAGGUGGGAUUGAUGGUCGAGAAAGUGAUCGAAAGGCGAUUCGAGAAGAACUAUCAUCCAGCAAUGGCUGCCGCGUACAUACUUGAUCCACUCUACUUGGUGAGGGACACAAGUGGGAAGUACUUACCACCGUUCAAGUAUUUGGCUCCAGAGCAAGAGAAAGACGUGGACAGGCUGAUAACCCGGCUGGUUUCGAGGGAGGAGGCUCACAUUGCUUUAAUGGAAUUAAUGAAAUGGAGGACUGAAGGACUUGAUCCGGUGUAUGCAAGAGCCGUGCAGAUGAAGCAGAGGGAUUCUGUUACGGGGAAGAUGAGGCUUUCAAAUCCGCAAAGCAGUCGGCUUGUCUGGGAGACUUAUCUUACCGAGUUCAAGUCGUUAGGGAAAGUUGCAGUGAGGCUGAUUUUCUUACACGCCACGGCGUGUGGGUUCAAAUGCAAUGUGAACUUGUUGAGAUUGGUUAGUAGUGGACAUGGUGGCAGCCAGUCUAGAGCGGCGAUUGACAAGGCCGAGAAGCUGGUGUUCAUCGCAGCUCAUUCGAAGCUCGAAAGAAGGCGUGACUUUUCGAGCGAUGAGGAUAAAGAUGCCGAGCUUUUGGCUAUGGGAAAUGAAGAGGAUGAUGUUCUGAAUGAAGUUCUUGCUGAUACUUCCUCACUGUAACUUUCCACUGCUCCCCUCUUCCAAAGUUCCAAUCUCUCUCUCUUUUUCCUCUUUAUCUCCAGAUUUUUUAAUUAUUAGGAUUUUAUUGAAUUCUUUCUUUGGAUUAUUUCAUUUUGGUUUUUUCUUUCUCUACUUUGUUAGUGAGGGUAGGGAACAUUCGAGGAAAAGAAAAAAAGGAUUCAGAUGUAUGAUAGUUUGCGAAACCGUAUCGGUCAAUAUCUUAUCGUGUAGCCAGCAGGUUGUAGUCGAGAGUGGUUGUAGCCCCUAAAAUCGUAUCGGUCCAUCAUACACAGGCUUUUAAGAUUCAGAAGAAGCUUAACUAAAGGUGGAAUCGGGUGCAGACUUUAUGGGAUUUGCAGGAAGCUUUAUUAUUGUUUCUUCUUCGUCUUCUUUUCUUUUUGUGCUGAUGUUGCAGAGAGGAGUUCGCCAGUCAGUAGUCUAAACUUUUUCUAGUGUUGUGAAAGAUGGUGACAGACAGUUAUCAUAUUCCAGUUUGACAUUCCAGAGUGCAGUUGUAACAGUGGAUCCCUUUUGCUUUGCUUUGAUUAUCUUAAUUAAUAGGAGUUCCUUGAACAAUAAGCAUCGCUGUUCCCUUUCUGUAACCAUCAUGGCCAUUAUUCGGUAGCUGUCUACGGCCGCGGGGUUCAGUUUCUCUUGCUAUAAGGGGACCGGCGGAUUUGUUUCUGUUAAGAUCAGUAGGUUUUGGCUUGUCCCUUUCUUAUUACUCAUUAUUAGUAAAAAAAGGUUGGAAAUCCUAUUCUUCGUGGCUGCUCGCUUUGCAUAGGAAACCAAAUAUAUUUCGACGACAUGCGUGUUGGCUUCGCUCUUACGUUUUUUCUCCUAAACUCGUUCCUCGUUUAUGUUCAAUUGUAAAUAAAUAAUCACGCUGUAUAUAAUCGAUGACCGGGGUUUGAGAUUGAUGGGCCAGCCGUCAUUGAAGAAGAAUGCAUCAUGCUUUCUACACUUAUGCUCCACAUACUUUUUUUAUUUAUGAUUCAUCCUUAUGCAAAGCCAUGCUAAUCUUCUUUCUAUUGUUCCAAUUUUAUCGGAUGUUACCGAAGAAACCACUCAUGCUCCACAUAUAUUUUAGGUGGUUGAAACUAACUGUUAAUUUUUCAUCUCUAAACGAUUUUCCCAUGUUCAACCCUUUAAUUGAUUGUCAUUGAACCCGACAUGCUCUGUUUACUUCACUUGGUCGGUCAUCAUUAGUCUUUUUGAAAGGCUGGACUAAGUGUAGUUAAGUUUUGAUAAGGAUGCCAAGUAAGCCAAGAUUAAAGGUUUGGACGUUGACCCAAUUCCACUAAUCGAAGUUAACUCUGUCUUCUUCGACGAACUCGAUUCACCUGGUUUUAUUUUGGUCACAGGGAGGAGGACGAAGAAGAUGAGGAAGAAGAAGAAGGUGGAGACCCACCAUGAAUGAAGUGGAAGUCAACUUUUUUUCCACUUGGAAUAUUGAGUCUUCGAACAAGUUAAGUUGGAAAAUGUGGCGACAGUCUUGUCAAUGUCACUGAAUGGAAUCAUAGGAUGCCCCGUAACCUGGGAACAAGACAAAUAGCUUAAAACAUUCAACAACGUAGCUAGUUUUGUUCCUUAGUUUUUGACCCGGUCAAACCAAUCACAACAAGUCUUCACGUUUUGCAACAUGUAAAACAAUAGGACCAAACUAUAUAUAUAAUAUGACUAUAAGAGGGAAGCCAACUUUGAGCAUCUAUAACGUAUUGUUUUUCGAUACGAAUUUACUGCACGAUGUAGUUGAAACAAUCUAAUUGAUGACCCGUUGAAUUUUGAAUUUAAAGUUGUUAUUAAUUGAAGUAUUCAAAAUGGUAUUGGUGCUCAAGGAUCGUUCGAUUCUCGUCAGGCGCAUGUAUGACAUUGUUAAUAGACAGAUUUUACAUAUUUGAGUAAUUUGUCUUAGUAUCCUUUAACUGCACUCUGCGACUACAAUAUCAACAGAUUCUUGUUAAAAUACUUGACAAAUCCAAUUAAACUAUGAAUUUGGAUUAAAUUUAUAUUUUUUUAUUAACUUCUGUGUUAUUUUUAAAUACUAUAUUGGGUCAAAUUUGAAAUAGCACUAAUCCGAAUAUUUAAAAUCUAAAAAAAAAUAUUGGUACUAUACUUGCUAAGGACAUGAACCGUGGGCUAGGGAUGGGUCCCCAUGAUUUGCCACGGUUGAAUCUUCGAGCUUUUCAAAGUUUCAUCUUUAAUUUUUAAUUCUAGGCUCACCAUUUGAUUGAUUAAAUAGUUAGUUCUUCAGGUAAGGUCUUUAAAGCGACUCAUAAAGAAGGUGUCAGGUAUGCCCUUGAGCGAUAAUCUAACUCCUACCAAAUCAAAUUUAUUCGAUGAGACGAAUUGUAUUGUGGUUGCGGCUAUAUAAGACAAUCCACAUGUCCAAAGGAUCGUUAGAGUUUAGGCAGUCAAUUCCUGGCGCGGUUGACUUCCAUCUAAUCCUUUGUCAAGUGGUCCAUCAAAUUUAGAUGAUAUCAGUUUGAUAUAUAAAUACUUUAACCAUUUUAAACUCGGCUUAAUACUCGAUAAUACAUCAACUAAUUUAGUAACCUUGGAUGGUGAAAAAGUAUGGAAUACCAAAAGAAGAAACACAAGUGUUUCGAGGAGAGACAUAAAUUCUUGUCGGCAAAUACCGAUUGACCACUCACCCACUAAUCAAUUUUCAUCUCUAUUAUUUUUUUCUACUGAUUUUUUAAAAAAUAUAUUUAUUUAUUUUCUAUUUUGGAUUGUAUUUGCUUUUAUAUUAUUGGAAGAGCAAAAAGGGCAAUACAUAAUGAUUAGUAUUAUUGGACGACCAAACACUCUUAUCUCUUCCUACUUUUAGUUACGUACAUACCUCAAGAAUCUUCUCCUCUCUUAUGGGAUGCGGAGUUGGUCCUUUUUUGGCUGAGAUUGCGGAGUAUCUUAUAUAUGAUUGGUGGUGUUAUUAUUGUGGAAAUUUUUGUUUAUAUGANNNNNNNNNNNNNNNNNNNNNNNNNNNNNNNNNNNNNNNNNNAGAUGUACUUGUUAGACAAUUUGUUAACGGAACUGUUCAUUCAAUGACACGACGGGUUCUUUUACGUCUCCCAGAUAAUGUGAAGACCGAUAUUUAAGUCUAGUUGUUAAUUUGUAGUUGUUAUGAACUGUUGUAUUUCAAUAAUUUGAGUUGUCGAGAAAUGGUUAAUUAUAAAUUUUAUACCAUUCACUUAUACUAAUAUUAUCUGAACGGAUCGAUUUAUUCAAUCUUUGGCAAUGAUUCUUAUGCUUCAUAGAAGGGAUAAAGUUUGACCAAAGCAUCCAUUGCAUUUGUGUAUUUUGUAUUUAUCUUGAUGAUUUUUUCCAAUUCGUUGUUUGAUUUUUUAUCCUUUUUUAAUUAAGAAAUUAUCGCAUAAAAGUUGAAUGAACAAUAAAAAAAGUGUUUGGAAUGCUUUCUGCAAACGGUUGACAAAGGAAAAANNNNNNNNNNNNNNNNNNNNNNNNNNNNNNNNNNNNNNNNNNNNNNNNNNNNNNNNNNNNNNNNGACCUAUAAAACAAAAAAAAAGACUAUCUACCCAACAAACUGCCUACCAAACCUGCAAAACUAAAGCAAAACAUUUAAAACCGCAAUCAAACCCAACAAUGUUCGGUGCAACAAAUAAACUUCGGAUAUAUAACCGACCAACAACGAUUUUAAAACUAAUAAACUGUUGAGCACGUAUCUAACCAGUCAUAUGUAAAUCGAACACCAACCAACCAACAAACUAGGACCGUGGACUAACAAUAAUACAAAUAUAAUCUUUUCAAAACCGUGGCAACUUUGAUCAACUUAUUACUUGUGAUGAUGACGAUGAUGAUCCAAUGUGUGCCUGCCCAUUUUGGUGAAAUGUCACCAUACAAAUAUCAUCAUAUACUACGAAUAUUAAUUAACUUUGCUUCCACAUGCACGUUCACCACUAGGAACUAAUUGAUUUCUUCACCUCCUCCUUGAUAAAUUUUUUUUUCCGAAUCAAGCAGCAACCAAAUAUUAAUUUUGUGCCGAGAGGCUGAAUGUUUGAACAUCAUUAAUAAACUAUGUCGAAAGUAUGUUUUUUUACAGACGAAAACGCGUGGAAAUAGAAUCGUUAAACUAGCUCGUAUGUAACCAUAUUCCUUUCCCAUCCCAUGCCUAUUAGUACUACUAAUUGUAUUAAUUAAUAUAGAUCACAUUAAUUGAGUACAAUAAUUCUCUUCGAUCGACUUUUUCUCUGUGGAAUUCGUUUACCCCCCUUUACCUUUCAUCAUGAUGAAUUAUGUUAUCUCAUUAGGUGGAUGUACUCAACUACCGAAUAAUUUUCACCAAUGUGAAAAAAGCAUUGGUGCAAGCAAGGUUAGUUAGUUUGUACAUUCUUGUGUGCUUUGUGCCAUUCAUGAUGCCAUCUUGUAUAAGGUACAACGGAAGGUGAGGGUAGGCUUGACAACGGUUCGGAUCGGUGACGGUCAGUGUAUAUUAACUGUUUCACUGUUUUAAUAACGGUUACGGUAACAAGUCAUUAAGUUUGAGAGUUCAGGUUUGAUUUUAAUACAAUCACUAUAUUUCAUCUGGUGCCGCCGAUUAUUAUUAACCAAACUAACCAACCAAAUGCUCUUUCGAUUUGUUGUUGCAAGCUGGUAUCUUUAUAACCAAUAAAGUAUUAACUAUCACGGGAGGUUAAAGGACUUUGCGGAAAUCCCAUUUUUUCAUACUCUCGACUCUAGAUGAUCGCGACUAUCUCCAAGUCUAUCUAAUGGGAUUUGACGAGACUUGUGCUCUAGAUAAAACAAUGUCGUAUUAUAAUUAGCGGUUCGGGGAUGGUUACGAUAACAGUUCGGAUACUACGACAUAUGUCCCUGCACCAUCACGGUUACAUUAUACGGGCGGCUUUCACCAGAACCGUACCUGAAACCAGUUACGAUAAAUUUUCACCGCGUUUUGGUUACAGUCGGUUUUUCGGUUUGCCUUGCCAAACCAGCUACUUGUAAUGGAGCACAAAGUUGAGGGUUGUUUAUCUAUGAAUGGGCACAAGUUUGGACAUUGGAAGAGGAUCCUUCCUUGGUGGUUUCCUUAGGUACAAAAGUUGAUACUCAAGAACCACUUACAUUUUGUACUUUUGCCUUUUGGAAAAAAAUAAAAGGAGAAAUAAAGAUAUGAUGUCUUACUAUUUUUAAACCUAACGUCAUAGUCUUUAACUACUACUAACUACUACUCUUAUACAUAAAUAUAAUAAACAACCCUUCCAAGACGGCGAGAUCAACAACACAUUGAUGUUAUAAACCUUAAUAGAGUUAUACGCCGUAGGCGGGUCUCACCUCGAGACUCUUAGGUGUCUCGGCUCGAGGAAGCUCACUCAUCAACUCACAGUCACAAUCAACCCUAUAGUCGAACCACACUAUAUUGCUCUGACCGGCCCUCCGAGCGGAGUAGUUUGUUGUUGGCAAACAUGUUUUAUUUGAUCAGAGCCCAGAGGAGGAACCAAAUCACUAAAAGAGUCGGAAUAAUUAUAAAUAUAAUUAAUUUGAAGUUUUAUUUUUUGCCCAUACAACAUUGAUAAGUGACACAAUCGUAUGUAUUAAUUGAUAUGUUCUUGGACAUGAAAAUGAGUGACAUAAACUCCAUUAAUUGUUCAUUCAUAAACCAAAUAGUUGGGGCCAGGAAUAAAUAAUAGUUGCUUUAUUCCCCCCUUUAGUUGGAUGAAUGAAUAAUAAUGAUGAUGAUUGCACAUAAAUUAAAGGGUACAACCAUCAUAAUGGUGUCUUGUUGAUGUGUGCUAAGCUUCAACCUUAAGUAGUCUAAUUAAGCAAUUAUCAUCUUAAUCGAGAAAUUAUAUUUGGCGUGUGCAAAAUUUCGAACUUAAUGUUCAACAUGCUAACUAUUAAAUAACUUGUUAGACAGUUUGUCAGAAAGUAAAAAAACCCCGCUCUUAGGGGAUGCCCCCAAUGCCGAAGAACAUGAUAUUAUGUAUGUACGACUCAUUUAAAUUAUGAAUUGGGGGCAAAAGAGAGGAAAACGAUUUUCCGCUAUUGGUGAUUGGAAAACAAAACUAUAUAAAAAAACAAGCUAUUGGUGCAUGUUAGAAAGUUAAAAAAAUAAGAAGUGGAGAUGCGGGGUAUCGAUCCCCGUACCUCUCGCAUGCUAAGCGAGCGCUCUACCAUCUGAGCUACAUCCCCAAUGAAGGUUGAAUUUACUAUACUAGCUAAUUAUUGCUAAUUAUAACUUAUAUAGGUCUGUGGAUAAGUUCAAAAGAGUCCAUAAGUCUAUGCAAUUUCUCAGCCUAAUGGAUGCCAAUUUGAUAAGUUCAUCGCCGCAGUAAGCGAGUGCAAGUCACAAACUCACAAUAACCUUUUGGCAUAAGAAUAAAUAGAUUUUCAAACGUCUAAAUGAGUUGUGGGAUGCGUUCGUUUACAUCCGGAACAGAAUCCAAAGGCUAUAUCAUCCAAAAUUAUGACCUGUUUGCAUAGAAAAUAUUACGCUACACACCAGAUAGCCGAGGAAUCAAGCAGCAACUUCCUGCUCUUUAGAAGCAAGCUGGUUCUGAAUAUGCUGAGGGACAACAUCGAACUUAGCCAACUGCAUCGUGUACGAAGCUCUCCCUUUAGUCGUUCCUCUCAAAGUACUCACGUACUGGAACAUCUCCGCCAAUGGCACAAGCGCAUCCACCACCUGCAUCCCCGCAUCAUUCAUAAUGUUUACUCAAAAAGCCUUUUGAUGCGAAAAAAAGACAGAGGAAAACAGGUGUUCAUUUGCUUUAUACCUUGAGGCCACCAGGUUUGUCUGUAAAGGUAUUAAUCUGACCUCUCCUGGAGUUGAGAUCACCAAUCACAUCCCCCAGGUGUUCCUCUGGAGUCACAACUUCAACCUUCAUUAUCGGUUCCAGCAUCUUAGGAGCGGCUUUCCUAAUCCCUUCUCUGAAGGCUCCUCUAGCGGCAAGUUGGAAGGCCAGCACACUUGAAUCGACAUCGUGGUAGGAACCAUCAACCAACACAGCACGGACAUCAACCACGGGGAAACCGGCCAAAACUCCGUUGCUCAUGCAUUCUUCAAGUCCUUUCAUCACUCCGGGAAUGUAUUCCCUAGGCACUGUUCCUCCCUUGAUCUCGCUCUUGAACUCGUACCCUGAACCGGCCUCCAUGGGCUCGAAUCGUACGGUUAUGUCAGCAAACUGUCCUUGCCCACCUGAUUGCUUCUUGUGCACAUACUUCACUUCUGCUAUUCUGCUAAUGCUCUCACGGUAGUUCACUUGUGGUGCACCAACAUUGGCUUCCACCUGAAAUAGUAUAUAAGUACAAAGUUCAUAACUUUUUUGUGUAUCUUGGCAUUAUAACAUGUAAAUUUUACAGACCUUGAAUUCUCUUUUCAGACGGUCUACGAUGAUCUCAAGAUGCAACUCUCCCAUUCCUUCAAUCACAGUCUGGUUGGUUUCGUCGUCACGCGAAAAGUGGAAAGAAGGAUCUUCCUGCGCAAGCUUGAUCAACCCUGUAGCCAUCUUGUCAAUAUCAGCCUUGGUUUUUGGUUCAAUUGCAACUUUGAUGACAGGAUCGGGGAAAUCCAUCCGUUCAAGCACAACCGUAUUAUCCACAUCGCACAAAGUUUCGCCCGUUAUGGUGUCCUUCAGUCCUGCAAGAGCAACAAUAUCUCCCGUUACGGCCACCUUAACAUCCUCUCUACUAUUUGCAUGCAUCUCGAGAAGCCUGCCAAUUCUCUCUUUCUUCCCCUUGUUUGCAUUCAAGACAUAAGAUCCAGCUGCGAGUUUUCCUGAAUACACUCUUACGAAUGUAAGGGAACCGACAAAUGGAUCGUUCAUGAUCUUAAAUGCUAGGCCGGAAAAUGGUUCGUUGUCGCUGGGGGACCUUUCGAUCGUGAUUUCAGGGUUCUCAGGAUCGGUCCCUUUCAUCGGAGGAACCUCGAUCGGGGAAGGGAGAUAGUCAACAACUGCAUCAAGCAAUGGUUGCACUCCUUUGUUUUUGAAAGCUGAGCCACACAACACCGGUACAAAGUUGCCUCCGAUAGUUCCUUUCCGGAUAAGUUUCUUUAUGGCUUCCUCAUCAGGCUCUAUUCCUUCUAGAUAGUUUUCCAUAGCUUCAUCGUCCAAAUCGACAAUGGUCUCUAUCAUCUGUGCUCGGUAAUCCUGAGCCAAUUCUUCAAGAUCAGUCGGAAUGUCUUCGUACGCAAACUUGGCACCCAAUUCUUCUCCUGACCAAACAAUAGCCUUCAUCCUCACUAGAUCAACCACACCUUUAAAGUUAUCUUCGGAACCAAUAGGAACUUGAAUAACAAGAGGUUUAGCACCCAAGUUAGUUAUGAUCAUGUCUCUAGUCCGGAAAAAGUUCGCUCCGAGCCUAUCCAUCUUAUUGACAAAGCAAAUUCUGGGAACCCCGUAUUUAUCCGCCUGCCUCCACAACAUCUCCGAUUGUGGCUCCACACCAGCAACACUGUCGAACAAGCAGAUCGCACCGUCCAAAACUCGGAGAGCACGUUCCACCUCAAGGGUGAAGUCCACAUGGCCAGGCGUGUCGAUGAUGUUGAUACGAUGCUUGUUCCAGAAGGUGGUGGUGG